Podarcis lilfordi (Lilford's wall lizard) is the source of this 95607-nucleotide non-coding RNA. NCBI's taxonomy places the organism in Eukaryota, Metazoa, Chordata, Lepidosauria, Squamata, Lacertidae. The record is from the annotation of a GenBank genome assembly.
UUUACAUCCAGAGCUGGAGUAGGAGGAGGAGCUGGAGGCUCAGUGCCGGGGAAAAGGCUCUGGCAGCCGCGGCGACCUUGCGCCGCGGCCGCUCCUCCUCUCGAGUAAGCCGCGGGGAGAGCCAGGGAGCGCCGCCAUGAAGGUGAGCGGGGCGCGCGCCUCGUCCUCCCGAAGGCGCACGGGGCGGGCUCCCUCCUCUCCCUGGAGCCAGGGCGGGUGGCGAAGAGGGCAGUUUGGGGGGGCAAAGGGUCGGGGCGGCGGCUGGUUUCCCCAAGCAAAGAGUCCCCCCCACUCCCUCCCACCACCACAUAGGGAAUUCCCAUCCCUGUUCCAAAAACAAACCCAAGUUAACCUGUGCGUUAUCCUUGGAAAGGAAGGGUGCUCAGAGGGUGGUACAGUCACUCCCCACCCCCAAGCUCAUGGGACUCCCAUCAAGGGUAUACCUCGGGGCACUGAGAACGACCAUCUCAUCCAGUCAUGAUGAUAUUAAAACGUACACACAACACAUUGCCCGAACUUGGAGGUUUUUAAUCAGAAGUUGGCUAUCUAUUUAUCUAUCUGCCAGGGAUUCUUUAGCUGAAAUCCCUGCACUGCUGGGGGUUGGACUAGAUGACCCUUAGUAUCCCUUCCGAAUCUACAGUUCUAUGAUUCUUUGAAAUAUUCCUGAACUCUGGGCAUAGUCCAGGUUUCUUUUUGAAUUCUUGUGAUAAUAAAUUUAACUGGGUUUGUUUGUUUUUUCUGUUCUCCGCCCCACUGAGUGAACUGUAAGAUGGUGUAAAUUGAGUUUGACCCAGUUCAGUUUGACCCAGGCGGCUGCGAUUCUGUUGCAUUGAGUUAAUUGAUUACAACAUGAGAGACCCAGAAUGAAACCGACCUAGGCUGCAAACAGGAUCUUUGCGCUCUCAUGGUAACCUCAAUAAUAAAACUGAGGACCUUGUUUCAAGGAGUUUGCAAAAGACUGCAGUGUCCGUUGUUCAUUGCCUUUACACCAUGCGUUUGUUUCCCACUGUGUUUUUUGAUAGCUGUUAUGUGAGUUCAUGGGGCUGGAGUGAACUUGGCCAAUGCUGCCUGCUACGUAUCCCGUGGUGAUGGUAAUUUCAUCCUUGGUUGAAUUACUUUGUGGCAGCCUAUGGAGGGCGGUGCCAUACUUUCUAAAACAGACAGGUGUGCUCUUCAAAUACUGUUGGACCCCAACUUCCAUCAGCUCCCAUCAACAUGACAACUGGAAUUGCACAACAUCUGGAGGGACUACAGAUUCUCAGUCCCUGUUCUACAAUCACAUACUUUCUAUCACUUUUCUAUAUUCUAUAUUGGAAGGGGAAAUCAGCAAGGUACUUUUUACAACUAUGUCCUUUUAAAAAUCAUUCUAUCACUUCCCAGUGAUCUAUAUUGCAGGGAAGAUCAGUAAUAGCGGACUAAGGGCUAACAUUUCAGGUAGACCUAUCUGUCAUCUGUCAAGUAACUGCUGCUCAGCUUCCAAGUAACUCCCAAGUUCCUAGGAACACAAUCCAGAUUGGGAAAAACCCCACUGCUCUAGUUUUCUAGGUUGGUUCACGACUGACAAGAAUUGGGAUGGGAGUUGUAAAAGUCAGUGACAUUGUAAAUCACAGUUUAGCGCAGGAAUGGGGGCUCUCUUGAGGCUGUUGGAGUACAACAUUUGUAAAACAUAACAAAAGCUAAAACUAUAGGUGCAAUUAUAUAUGCAUAUAUAAGUUGUGAUUUGUCUCAGUGGAGAAACUGACACUGGUUUUAAUGGGGUGGAUUGCAUCCAACCAAGGAGAGGACUUUGAAUUUGAGGUGAUGGGGAGGUUAAGUAUCCAAGCUAGGACACAGAGAACCUUCUUACCUGACUUCUUAAUGUUGUAGCAGGGAAACUGAUGUGCAUGUAAUAAGCUCCCACAAACUAGGAAUGUUUCCACAGUGUGAAUAUGCAGUGUACCAGAAUUGUUCCAUAAGACACAUUACCUGAAAACUACUGCUGCAUAAGAGCAUCAGGCACAGCAAACAAGGGUGAUAAGCAUGGAGCAGAUUGCUUUCUGGUGUGUGAUGAUGGCUAGCUGAAACGCAGCUGUUUUCUUCUUCCCUCCACCUCCAUUGCUCUUCCUGUCUCUUUACCAGCAUGGAGAUUUUCUAGGCUGAAUAUCACUGUAUUCUGCAGCAAAGGGAGCAGGCAUGCUGUUGCAGGGGUAACAUCAGACUAAUUAGGGCUAUUUUAAUUUUAAUUGAUUAAUGUUGGAGUUCCAGUUAUAUUUUUACCUUGUUUUGAGGGUCAUGAAACACCAGUAAUUAUCACUUGUAAAAUGCUUUACAUGUGUCACAAAGCUAUAUUUUAAUUAAAUGACAGUUUCAUUGUUUUGCAUCACAUUCUAUUUUCAUUUGUCUAGUAUGUAAAGAGUUCUAACUCUAGUGUUCAAAUUCCCUCUGGGCUAAAACCUAGCAACAAAGUUCUCAUUAGAAAACCUGGUUUUGUAAAAUUAAGAACAAAACAUCCAUCAAGAGAUUUGUAAACUCAUUUGAGUACCAAAAACAAAAGAACAAAAAAAACCUCUGCUAAGUGCGUAACGAAUGACUUUCAGUCAUCUCUGUGGAAUAUGAACUUGAUUUUAGGCCAAGAUGCAAAUGUGUGUUUAGUUAGGACUCAUCAUUCUCAAUUUGAAACUGCAGAUUCUGCUUAAUUAGGCAUCCUUUCUGAGCAAGCUGAAAGCCCUCAAUUUUGAUAGAGGUAUAUGUUCACAUAUGCACACAUUUUUCCUUGUUCACACACUUCAAAAUACCAUGAACAUCUGUUAUGGGGAUGUUUGUAACUUUUUUCCUCACUUAAAAGUACACACCUAUAAUACUCCAUCUGAAAGAACAGACUGGAUCUUUUCAUUCAUUUCCAUCCAUUCUGUCCACAUUUACCUUCUGCUCUGUACUUUCUAGGGACAGGUUCAUGCUUUAAAGUGCUGUGUCCAAGAGCUUUCUUUUUGCCCCGGUGCUUUCUCCAUGAAAACCCGCUCUUUAACACUGAAUCAGAACAAAUGACAAUUUGGGUUUCUAUGGAUUGCCAUUUGCUCUGAUUCAGUGGUAAAAAGUAGAUUUUUUUGUGGGGAAAGCGGCAGGGGGGGAAAAGUGCUUGGACAUGGUGCUUUAAAGCACAGAUCUGUGCCUAGAAAAGCAUUACAAAAGGAAGUCUGAAUGAGACCUUAGUUAUGCCACAUCAAUCACACACACCUUUUUUGUGGCUCUGUGACACUUGCUGCUUAAUCAGAAUACUUGCCCAUAAUUGCAAAUUAUGUAUGUAUGUUUGCUUUGAAAACAAAGGUCAUAAGUUUUUACGGCAAUACUUUCCCCAAUAUUGAUGUUGGUGAGGAGCCUUGUUCUUACUAAGCAAAUCACUUUGUUAAUGGCCCUUUGCAUGUGACUUAAAGAAAGAAAAAGCUGAGGAGAUAAUUUUGUCUGUUUCCCCUUCUGCUUAAGGAUCCCUUUCUUCUGUAGCGAUCACUCGUAGCCGAGUAAGAUUGUCUUCCAUGAACAUGGUCUUAACAGUGAGUCCGUAAGUGACUGUAGAAGCCAAUUCUGGAUCCACAUGUCCUUCCACAGUGGGGACAUACGGUAGAUUACCAGGCAGAGUUGAUCACGGUGAGGGUUUGCUAAAUGUGCCUUCCUCUUAGCAUGUUUUUCCCUUUCAUCCUGAGUUUGAGCAUCUUCAAAGUCCACAACACCUUUGGUAAAGGUUGUUCUUCAAUUGGAGUGCUCACAGGCCAAUGUUUCCCAAUUGUCAGUGUUUAUACUACUUUUUUAAAAAAGAUUUGCCUUGAGAGCAUCUUUAAACCUCUUUUGUUGACCACCAGCAUUACGCUUUUCAUUUUUAAGUUUGGAAUAGAAUAGUUGCUUUGGAAGAAGAUAAUCAGGCAUCUGAAUGACAUGACCUGUCCAACAAAGUUGAUGUUGAAGAAUCAUUGCUUCAACACUGGUGAUCUUUGCUUCUUCCAGUACACUGGCAUUAGUUCGCCUGUCUUCCCAAGUGAUAUGUAAACUUUUUUUUUUUUGGAGACACCGUUGAUGGAAUCUUCCGAGGAGUUGGAGAUAGUGUUUAUAAGUGGUCCAUGUUUCACAAGCAUACAGUAAAGUUGGUAGUACAGUAGCUUUGUAAACAAUCAUUUGGUUUCCCAGUGAAUGUCCCGGUCCUCAAACACUUUGCACUUCAUUCGGGAGAAACUGCACUCACAGAGCUCAGGUGAUGCUGGAUUUCGGCAUCAAUGUCGGCCCUUGUGGAAAUACAACUGCCCAGGUAGAACGGAUUGAUCCCAGUGCAAAUGCCACCACCACCUCCCAUCCUGUUCUGCAGGUUCCCCUAGUCUUCCAGAACAGAUUUUCAGGGGCUGCAGGGGGUUGCACCAAGAACAAGGAAUUAGCAAAAUCCUCUCCUCUCCACUUACAUUAGUGAAGACAUCAAAAGCUGCAACUUCAAGUAAACAAUUUGAAGUAAGUUGUGUAUAUUUGAAGUCCUUGUUGUUCCAACUUUGUGUAAACUGGGAGGGUAAACACCAAAAUUCCUGAUUCAAGUAUGCAGUUGAAAAUGGAUGCAGCUGAUGGUUUCACAGAAUCAUAAAAUUGUAGAGUUGGAAGCGACCAUGAGGGUUAUUUCAGGUAUCUCACUUCAGUGUCUUGAGAAUCAUUAGGAAAAUAUGAUGAACUCCUCUUUGUUUGCUUUGGAAUUGCUUUGGAAAUUACACCUAACCUUUGGCAGGAGGAGGAACACCUCUGCUUUGGCGAGGCUCAUUUGACAACAACAACAAGAAGAAACUGAGCCUUUAGUAUCAUCAGCCCAGUAUUGUGAGAUGCUCUGCCAAUAGAGAUUCAGAAGGCACAUUCUAUGCCAACUUUUAAAUGCCUGCUGAAAACUUUUCUAUUCUGCCUGGGCAGACAAUUAGGAGUACAUCCUUCCACAAUGGUUAAUUGAUGUCUGAUUUUAACUUUUUUAUGUAAUUUUUUAUUGUUUGGUUUUAUGUUCUAUUGUUGCAAACUGCUUUGAUUUUUAAAAAAUGAAUUGCAUUCAGUUACACUGAUCCAGAGCUUUCACAGCCUCUUCUGCUUGAGUAGAACUGUGUGUCAUCAGCAAUACUGGUGACACCUUGCUUCAAAGCUCCUAAUGACCACCCACUCCCAAUAAUUUCAUAUAGUUGUUAAAUAUCAUUGGGGGGGAGAUAGACCCUACAGAACCCCAUAGCACAAGUGUCAGGGACCUGAGGAACACCUACCUAAGUGCUGCUUUCUGGUCACAACCCUGAAGAUAUGAACAGAACCACCAUAAUACAGUGCCUCUGAUUCCCAUUCCACUAAGUUGGUCCAGAAAACCAUGCCAUGGUUAAUGGUAUCAAAAGCAAAAUAUAUAGGCAAUAACCACACACUGAAGGGUUGAAACUGAGAAACUGAGCAUAGUUCACUUUUCAGCCAAAGUUGAAAUAGUGGAUCCAUUUUGACAGAGUAUAGUUUAAAAGUCAUCUUGUCAUCCUGUGCCCCAGAUAUGAGGAGGAAGGCAAGAUAUUCUCAGGUUUUUAUGGAGUGUAAUUAUUUUUCCUAAAGAGGUGAUGAGAACAAGUUUAAUCACUCUGGGAGAAAGGAAAGUUACCAGCAUUGAUAUCCUACUAUAUCCGAAUCUGAAAUGGUUCACAUACCAUUUUUUAUAGAUUAGCUGUAGGUCUCCACAAAUCUAGUUGCCAGGGCUGCUCUGUGACCCCUGCUCUGGCCAAGACAACUACAAGGACAUCCUUUCACGAAGUUCCGGGAUCCUCUGUAGGCUCUUCCAGACAUCCUUUUAGUUACAUAUGUCUCUUUGUGGUUUGCAAUGAUGCUUCUUCUAUCUUACAGGGGCCUAGUUCAGAAGCACAGAUGGUGGAAAGCAAUGCAGAGGCAGCUGCUGAAGAACCACCUCCUUAUUUGCAGGAAGAACCUCCUCAAGGUAGAGUGCUUAGACUGCCACUGUGAAUUUCUUAUAACUUUUCAAAGGGAAACAGGCCAUAAGUUUCAAGGUCCAUUCUUGUGAUCCAAGGGAGUAGUAUGUGAUGUAGAAUGCUUCAUGCCAUGAUAGCACUGUUAAUAAUCCUAACUGAGUCCUUUGACUUCUCAAAUACGUAUAAAACAGGAUUGUAAACCAAACUCCGUUGGCAUUCAUUAACAAUAUAGUUCUAGUUUGGCCUAAGCUACUUAUUGGGUGAUGGCAUCUUCCCCCUUUCCACAAAGUUGAAUUAUCUGUAACGUUAAGCAAGUGAUUCCUUUUUGAUUGGAUUGACUUCUGUUGGUGAAAGUGCCCCAACUGAGAGGUUUGGAGGGUGGCAAUACAAGAACAGGUCUUUUGGAUGGUGGGUCCCUGUUGGUGGAAAGCUCUCCACAGAGAGGCUCGCCUGAUGCCAUCAUUACAUGUCUUUAGGUGCCAGGCAAAAACAUUUCUCUUUACCCAGGCCUAUGGCCAUUAAAUAAUCUAUGCCAGACAUAGGCAAACUCCGGCCCUCCAGAUGUUUGGGACUACAAUUCCCAUCAUCCCUGAGCACUGGUCCUGUUAGCUAGGGAUGAUGGGAAUUGUAGUCCCAAACAUAUGGAGGGCCGGAGUUUGCCUAUGCCUGAUCUAUGCCCUGUUAAAGCUGCAGCGGUGCUGGUGGGGCUGUUACUAUGAUUAUUUUUUUAUUAUGCUGCCUAUUAUUAUGCUUUAUAUUAUGUGUUUAUUGUUGUGCUCCAUAAAGUGUGUUCUUAAUGUUGUACACCACCCUGGGAUCUUUUGAUAAAGGGUGGUAUAGAAAUCGAAUAAGUAGUAAAAAUAAUAACUGUGAAGGUAGGCCUGUCAUCUCACUCCUAAGGGCAUGUAUGGGACUUUUAGCAUGGCUGAGCCAAAGCCCAUUCUGAUUCCCUAAGAAACCCAGCUCCCUCUCCUCUUCCCAGUCUGUUGCAUGAUCCCAGGAGAUCAUAGGAUCCUGCAAUUAAUUUUCAUCACCCCCACCUUCAUAGGUGCUCAAAAUCACAAUGGUGACAGAAUGCUAAAGGUGUGGGGUUCCCCUCUCCCCCAUAUGUUUAAGUGGUAAGUGAAGAUUCCCACAACAUUAUGGAUAGAAUUGAAUCAAGUGGUUGCGGUUAUUCUGGAUUAAUUAAACUGUAGUGACAGAAGGGGAAGGUGAUUUGAAUUAAGGACAAGUGCUUAUUUAAAUGGUCAUCCAAGAGUUGGACUUGAGUCACUUCUUUAUUUUAAAUCUGCCGUUUUUAUUUUAUUUUAUUUCUGCUGUGGAAAAGACCUCUUAAUAGCAACUACAUUUCAAAUCCAGAGCUUUCAGACUCUAUUCUACCAGCCCUCUUGGAAAGCUAGUUAAGCAGCCUGAAAUGAGAUUGAAAAAGGGUGUCAGCGGGAGGUUCACAAAUGCCAAUCUUAAUUAAAAACCUGGUUUCCAGUUAAAUGACCCAGAUUACGAUGAGUAUGAAUCUCUUUCUCUCUGUUGCAUGAAUGUUUCUUUAAGUAAACUUGACUACUGUUUUCUUUGGAAGAAGGUCCUCAUAUUCAAAGGACAGAAGAUGCUAAUUGGACCUUUUAUCUCUACAUUCACGGGGACAUGCAAAACUGCUUUCUGGUUCAUCUAGUCCAGGGGCAGCUGAAGUGGUACUAUCCGUAUGUUUUUGGACUACAAUUCCCAGCAGCCCCAGCCAGAAUGACCAAUGGUCAGGUAUAGUGGGAAUUCUAAUCCACAGUAUCUGGAUGUCAGGGACUGGCUGGAUGAUGAAAAAUGGUGGGAGACUCCAGCCAGAGAACCCCCUAGGGAAGCCACAGAAGAGGAAGGCUCAGAGCAAGGGGAGGAGUGGUAGGACAUAGUCAGAGGAUGAAGGGGGGUGGAACAGAAUGGUUGGAUGCUGAACAAGCAGCUGGCUUGAGUGAGAGAGGAGAAGAAGAGACAGAAAACACUGCAGACAUAAGACAGGCAGCUGAGGAAGAGGGAGCCUGCUGGUAUUCACCAUAGGUUUUUCUGUUGGUAUUCUGUUUCCUUGAAUAAAGAAUCAACCUUACUGCUCGUCUCUGUGUCUCUGUGAUGACCUGUGGCUGAACCAGCCCUAACACUGUAGGAUGCUUGUUACCCCUGAUGUAGCCUAUUGCUCCUAACCCAUUUGGCAGCAUCAUGUGCUGUACCACUGAUUCCUCUCCAGCUUUUUCUAUCUCAUCCAUUACUUUUUGGGGGGACAGGCGUGAGAAUACUAUUAAAUUUUUAGAGAAAGCUUUUAGAGAAAGCCAGGUUGCUUUAUUCAUGCUUUAUGGGGGAAACUGGUCUCUGUCGUGUUGGAUUAUGAUUGCAAUAUAACAUUUUUACCUUGGGCUUUUAAUUGGUUGUCUUAAAGGAAAUGAACAUAUCUAAUGCAAACUGUAUAGUGAUACCAUAUAUAUAUAUAUAUAUAUAUAUAUAUAUAUAUAUAUAUAUAUGGUAUAGAGAUGGUUAUACUUGGUACAAUACAAUUUUUAACAUGCUUUUUAACAGAAGGCCGCAGAGCAUUUUGCAGAUAUGAAUAAUGCAAAGCUUCCAUAUAAGAUAAUGUAAAUUUUGUUAAUUAAAAAACGCAUGAGAGUCGUCACAAUGAACAUUAUUGAUUCAAUAGUGUCUUAGGAUGUGUAUAAUUUGGGAUUCAAUGAUAAAAGUGAUCAUGCUGCUUGGUUAAGUGGGUGGUGGGGGCAUCAAAAAGUCCUGAUGAUGUUAAAUUAGUUUUGCUUUCAUUUCUAUGACCCGAGCGAAGGCAAGGCAUCAUUUAAACUACCUUAGAUUCCUUAAAGGUCUGUGAGUGAGAAAGGAGGGUUGGGAAGAGUGUCUUGAAAUGUGUUCCUUAUUUUGUUUAAUUUUCAGCCUGAUGAAGAGCUGUAGAUUACUCAAAAUCUUGUUCAUAACUUUGUGAUGUCUUAGUUGAUCCAUUACUAGGACUUUUAGGGUAUUUUUUGUCUUCUUCCUAAUUUCAGCCUGAUUACCUGUAAUACGCAGUUUACUGAGAAAGUGCCACUGAGUCCAGUGGGAUUUGUUCCCAAGUAAAUGUGCAUAUAGGGACGCGGGUGGCGCUGUGGGUUAAAUCACUGAGCCUAGGACUUGCUGAUCAGAAGGUUGGCGGUUUGAAUCCCCGCGACGGGGUGAGCUCCCGUUGUUCGGUCCCUGCUUCUGCCAACCUAGCAGUUUGAAAGCACGUCAAAGUGCAAGUAGAUAAAUAGGUACUGCUCCGGCGGGGAGGUAAACGGUGUUUCCGUGCGCUGCUCUGUUUGCCAGAAGCGGCUUAGUCAUGCUGGCCACAUGACCUGGAAGCUGUCUUCAGACAAACGGCGGCUCCCUUGGCCAAUAAAGCGAGAUGAGCGCCACAACCCCAGAGUCGGUCACGACUGGACCUAAUGGUCAGGGGUCCCUUUACCUUUACCUUUUUAAAUGUGCAUAUAAUGCUAGCUCUGGGGCUCUGUCAACCAGUAUCACCCAUGAGUUCCACCCACACCACAGACUUGCUUCUGCAAUGCUUUCCCUACAUACCCUACAGAAAUGCAAGCUGAACCUUCUCUUCUUCCAUCUUUCACUCACUGAUUCAUCAAAGUAAUUGAAAUACUUAACACUAGAAAGCUUUGGUCAGCUUUCCCCCUGUUGUUGUUUUUUCUCCAGCAGGAAGCUAGUGCUAGAAUUAACAUUCCCCGUGGAAGUACAUCUUUGGCUUGACUGUCUACAACUGACCCACACCCACCAUUGUGGAAAAAUGCAAGAAAUUUAGAGAGAUGCAAUAAAUUAGUUGAAUAGCUCAGUUGGUUAGAGCGUGGUGCUGAUAAUGCCAAGGUUGCAGGUUCGAUCCCCGUAAGGGACAGUUGCAUAUUCCUGCAUUGUAGAGGGUUGGACUAGAUGAUCUGCAGGGUCCCUUCCAACUCUGAUUCUAAUGCACCAAAGCCAGAAGGAUGCAUGCCAUAGUCCUAGCUAUAUAUGUUUGUUUGGCAUCUGUGCCAGGAUGAAAUGGGGCCGGUCGGACUGUGCAUAUUGUUGGAGCAGAGCGGCGGGGGGCUGCCCUGUUUAUUUCCAGCACACAGCAGUAAGACUUACGAUAGAUCUUCUAGGCUGUGACACCAAAGCCAUUAAAACAAAGUGGCCCGCAAUGAGAAUAGAUUGCUGAAGUUCUUUUAAUAGAAAAAUGCCAUUAUGCACUAUCUCUUUUGUGCCUUCCCUUUUUAUUGCUGCUUGCUCCUCUUAACAGCCCUUUCCCUUGUAAAAAUCAGAAGCUUUUGAAGGAAAGAAAGAAAAAAGCACAUAAAUAAUAAAAUACAGUAAAUUGUAUUGUUCCGACUGUGCUGUGCUUUGGUUUCCUGGGCUGUACGAAUUCGACUGCUGUGUCUGCUCACCUUCCCCUAAUGAGAGCACCAGGGACCUCGGGCUCCCUCUGGAGGCCUCGCUCUUCUGGUUUGUUCCAAUAUUUCGUGAAAUUGCAUCAUGACGAUGGCAGCUUUUCAGGCUGCAAAGCACGUGCCUGCUGCUUCUGGAGGGAGAGAAAUUGGACGUGUAUGACACAUUCUCUGCAGUAAAAUGAAAGGUUUUGCCCUACAGGGGUUACCUUUCCGUUUCAAAGCAAUAAGACUGCAGUCUGCUCCUCUGCGCACGGAGGCCUUGAACUCCAUUUAGAUUUUCCUCUGUGUCUUUAUGGUGUCAUCACUCAUCAGAAUAGAGCUGCCCGGUCGUACAGCACCUUUCCCUAUGCACAUGAAGGCUGUUACUUUAAUGAGCUCAUCAUUGGUAGUGAAUAGCUUGAAGACCGUUCCCAACUAAAGCUAAUCUGGGGAAAGUUUAUCUGAGGCCAAAAGGGUCUUGGAACUUUGCAUUCUGAUGUGCUCCUGAUAGCCUUUCCAAGAGGGCUCCCAGCAGGGCAGGUGAAUUGCACAAGGAAGAAAUUUUCUUGAGGAACAGCAGUGAGAUCUGUGUCUAAAUCAGAAACCAGGAAUAAUUUUGCUUCCCUGCCCACCUCCAGCCCACUUAUUUUUCCUCCCAUCAUCAUCAUCAUCAUCAUCAUCCUCCUGCUAAGAGUUAAUAUUCUAGCACCCUACAUGGCUUUGAUUUUAAUCCCCCUUGAAUCAUAUUGUGAUAGGUGACCCUUAUAGGCUGUCUGUUAGCUCAUGGUGACAAAUGACUCUAUUACCUGCUGUCUUAACACACAGCACCCGUUGAUUCUGAACACAUCAUGGAGAAUGGAGAAAGAAAACCUCAUCAAGGAGAGCAAGGGGGCUGAAAUGAGGUCAGCCCCGAUGGCAGGACAUUUCAACAGAUUAGGUCUGCAAAGGCAAGGCACAAGCUCAAAGGCAAGGCACAAGCGCACUCUUUGAACACCCAGUUUAAAGUAGGCCAUUUUAGACAUCUCUGCAGAGCCACAUGGGGGUGCUACUUGCCUGAUAAUGUAGCAGCUGCCGACUUGCCAGCCAAGCCCACCGCUUCCUAUACUAAUCCCUUUGUUGGAACAUUAUUACAGACUGAGGCUUAUAGGGACGCUGUGUUACUAGAAGCUUUGCAUUAUCUCAGCCACAUCCACGACAAUGAGGAAAAUGGUGUUUAGUCUUCCUAGUUUUUGAAGGUGCAGCUGUUUGCCUCAGCGUGUCUAUUCCCCUUUCCAAUCUCUGCUUGUUCCAUUGUUGCUCUUUAAAAUAUUGUACCAAAACUCUGUUUGGUUGUUCAUGUAGUGUGUUAAUUUUACUGUGAUUGUCCAGGUUCUUGCAAACCAAUCUGUCACUAUCGGGUUUUGUUUUUUGGAACAAUUGUGGGGUUUUUUUAUUACGUUAUGGAGCAAUUAACAACAUGACAACAUGCAGCCAUGACAAAAGCUUUGCUUUGUUGUACAUUUUUCUUUCAGUAUUCUUUAUCCUUUACUUUGUACAAGCUAUCAUUAUUUAUUUUUGUAUUGGGCAAUGUUUUAGUUACCAUGAAAUUGGACUCCUGUGAAAGUACUAUAUAUGGGAAAACUGCAGCCAAACAAAAGGUAGGGGAUUACACAUCAUCUGUAGAGCAUGCCUUACUCCAAAUGAACAAUAGGCACAUGUUAGCAUCAGCACCAUCUUGAAAGAGCAGCAGCCCCGUGGAUAAUUUCUGCUUUAAAAAUCCUGUCUCCACAGCCUCUUUCUCGCUUUGCUUACUUUCUAACUCCGUGGGUGGAAUUCAGUGUCACACCAAUGUGAUGCAAACAUUUCUGCUAGCAAGAUGGUGCAGUCUCAACUCUCCUCCCCCUUGCAUGCUGUUCUGUGGAUUCCCCCGACCCUCUGGAGUGGAUUUGGGGGGGGGGUGCCCAUUGCUCUCGAAGGAGCCCUUCUGCUGACUUUCACUCGUGUACUGAGUUAGUAGAAUCCGAUCCCAUGUUUCUGAAAAUAAAGCCAUGAAGUGGGGCCAUAGGUUAAAAUGGAUGCUAGCUGGACAGUGGAAGGUGUUGUUUGCUUGCUCCACCCUCUGCCUUCACAUCCACUGUGGGAAAGAAACUGUGCCCCUGUAUCUUCUUCCCACGUAUGGAGAAAAGCACUUGGGGGGGCACUUUUCGGGGAAACAAUUUAUUAAAUAUUGCCAAGGGGGUGGUGUCUUCCCAGCAGCCCUUAGAUCACAAGGCGCCUCUAUUGCAGGCAAACUGAACUUACUGCAACACUUUUCUGGGAGACGGUUCCUUAUGAAAAUAGUGGCUGCUCUUAUCCAAUGUACUGUGCAUUGUGUCUCAGGACAUGGCGCCUCAUGCAUUUCACAGCUUGUUUACACAAGCAGAGAGGUAACAGUGGUUAAACACUGACAGAUGAUCACUCUGUACCUUUGCUUGUGCGGGAAAGGAAUCCAUGGGUAUGUUGUUAGCUUUUUUCCUAUUCAGGCAAGUGCUCUUCUGCACAGUAGCUACUGAUAAUAAGGCUUCCUAAAAAGUAGGUUAAGUUAAGUGUUAGAUACUGGAAAGCAAGAAGGAAAGGUAAGUGUGUGAUAACCUAAAUUUGUGAGUAACUAUUAGUCUCCUCCCCCUUGCCUUUAUUCCUUGCCUACAUAUCUUCUUUCUGUUGAGAGAGCUAAUGUUAACCAUUAUAUAUGGGUUUGCUGUUGCCAGUUUGUCUGAUUGGAUCAUGCUAACUGGAUUAGGCUAACUGGCAUCUUAUAAAUCAAGUUAUUUCAUUAUCUGUCUCGGGAGAGAGCCUGUUCAUAAGAUCUGAGCUGCUAUAUCCCAUGUUCACAAACGCUUGAAGGGGCAAUAUAGCUGAAUAACAUUUCCCCCCAGCUUGCUGGAAACUCAUUGCACUCAUUAGAAAAAUCCACAGGGAGUUCUUAGUAAUAUAUAUAUAUAUAUUGACCUCAUGAUACUGUUCUUCAGGAAAGAAAAGAGUUUAUGUACCGUAGUCUGUAAAUCUGGCUUUAAGUGAAAUGUCUUACAUGCCACGCACUAAGUAUUGUGGAGGGUAAGGCAACAGCAUGGCGCUAGACUGAAAAGGAAGGACCCAAGGACCCAACCUCUCUUCAGAUACAGUGGUGCCCCGCAAGACGAAUGCCUCGCAAAACAAAAAACGCACAAGACGAAAGGGUUUUUCGGUUUUUGCGUCGCUUCGCAAGACGAUUUUCCCUAUGGGCUUGCUUCGCAAGACGAAACUUCUUGCGAGUUUUUUUUCCUUUUUCUCAAAGUGACUGCAAAGGUGAGCUCCGGUCGCGCGGCCAAGGGAAGUCCCGCUGUGGGUCGUCCAAAGUCAGCCCGAGCACGCCACUCACCUAAAAGGCAUGGAGAGACGGAGGGAGCGCGCGAGGAUCCCGGUGCAGAGGAGGCUCCUGCAGCAAAAUAAAGGCAGUCGGCAGCCGGAGGGCUCCAGGACCCGGAGCUGCGGCGGGGCCGUCGAUGGCGUUGCCGGAGACUCCUCCCUCUGGGCCUCGCUCUCUCCACCUUCGCCGCCGCUUGCCCUGCCUGCGAUCAGCCGGGCUCAUCGCUCCACUCUGCAGAGCGCUGCGCAAAGGCGCGGUGGGACAGGUGUCCGGGGACGCUUUGGCUGAGCGCGCCCCGGGAUCGGAGGUGCGGGGUGCUUGCUGCAGAUCUUAUCUUCCAGGGUCGCUGGGAUGGCGGCGGUCGGGGCUUGUGUUAUGUAAGCGCAUCAGGAGGGACUGCUUAAGAGGCCGGAUGAGGCUUAUGCAAUGGCCAGAUGCUCCCUAGGGGUCGAGGCUUGCAGUUGCGGGAACGAGUUUAUACCUGUAGCCGCUAAGCCGCGAAUAGCCGUGCUUCGCAAGAUGAAAAAACUGCAAGACGAAGAGACUCGCAGAACGGAUUAAUUUCGUCUUGCGAGGCACCACUAUAACAGUUCCAGACUCUGACUGUAGAUGAUGAAUCAAUUGUUUGCUCAAUGGAUGACGACUUCAGACUUUCUGUGCAUGUUUGUAGGUCAGGGGACAAUUUCUGUUCUCAGUUGUGCCUUUGAAAUUCCAGUGGACUCAAAGGAUGGGUUUGUAUGAGAGAGUGUGAGAGAUGGGCAGGGCCUUAUUUUUUCAUUUAUUUAAUAAAAUGUAUAUACAAUAUUGUUGACAGGGCUCUUUUUUCUAGAAAAAGAGAUGCCGGAACUCAACCUUUUUAAGGGGGAAGCACCCACCCAAAGUGGUUGAGCUCCCCCCCUCCCCCGUUCACUCGCUCGACCCAACGCCGCAGGGAAAAUAUAAAAAUUGAGUGCUGUGCAGGGGGACGCCACCACAACUCUAAAGACCUGCCAGAACGUGCCAGUGAGGUGCUGGAAUGCAACAAAGAGGAGCUGGAACUCAGUUCCUGUGAGAUCCGGCUCAAAAAAAGCCCUGUUGCUUGAUGGCAGAAAACCUCAUAGCGUUUACAAGAAGACUAAAAGAAUAAAAUUUAUUAGUUGAAACAAUUAAACAUUCAAAAAAAUGUCUUUUUUAAAUAUAAUUUUUAUUAAAUUUUCUGUUUUACAAUUUUAAGUACUCAUUUUUACAUCCUUAAAAUAUCAAUGACUUUGCUUCUUCUCUUUCCAUGGUUCAUUUUGCAUAUCAUAAACCCCUGCAUAUUUUACGAAAAACUAUACCAUUCAGUAUUCCAUUAUUGUAUCCAUCAAAACUUAUUUACACUGUUGAAUUUAUCUUAAUGCUGCCAACGUUUGCAGCUGCACACAGUUAUUUCCCAUAUAUUCAAUAAACGUUUUCCAGUCUUCUCUAACCGCACGUUCUUCUUGUUCUCUUAUUCUAACAUAUAGAAUAACAUACUGUAUAGAACAUACAACAUUCAAAAGAUUUAAACCAGCAGUAAACAAAUACAAUGGUACCUCGGGUUACAUACACUUCAGGUUACAUACGCUUCAGGUUACAGACUCCGCUAACCCAGAAAUAGUACCUUGGGUUAAGAACUUUGCUUCAGGAUGAGAACAGAAAUUGUGCGGCGGCGGCGCGUCAGCAGCAGGAGGCCCCAUUAGCUAAAGUGGUGCUUCAGCUUAAGAACAGUUUCAGGUUAAGAACGGACCUCCGGAACGAAUUAAGUACUUAACCAGAGGUACCACUGUAACACAUUGGCAUUCUGAAUAUCUGGAUAGGCUUGCCUAAACAGAAAUGUUUUUAGCAGGUGCCAAAAAGAGUACAUGGAAGGUGCCUGCCUGGUGACAAUAGGUAGGGACUUCUAAAGUGCAGGGGCAGCCACACUAAAAGAUAGAUUCCCUACAAAUGCAGAAUGGAUAUUAUGUGACACCAGUAACAGUGCCAGCUGUGUGUGCUCCAGCUUGACAUGCUAAUGGGACCAUUGCAGACAGCAGUGUAGCUAGUCGCUCGGGUGCCUGGGGUGGCGUGCGCACCCUGCAUCCGGGGGUGGAGUGAGCCAAGGCAGGGUGCGCUGCAUGGAGCCUCUUCGCAGCCUCCCCCUCAGCUGUAGGGUGGCUGAGGUGGUGGGCAGACGCAAGCCCCGCACUGCUCAAAAAAGCAGCGCGGAGCUUGCAGGCAGUCCGCCCGCCACCUCCCCCUCAGAAGAAACACGUGGCUCAGGCAUGCUGCAGGCCCCGUGGUGUGACGCCCAGUGCCCCCAGCCUCACCUAGCUACGCCUCUGCCUUCAUGCUCACCUAAGUGUGGAUCUCCAAACACUUCGCCCUCAAUUCCCCGAGCUCUCCCCCCAUUGCUCUUGCUCCCUACCAUAGGAGAAGAAGAAGAAUUUGGAUUUGCUUUAUCACUACCCUACGGAGUCUCAAAGUGGCUCACAAUCUCCUUUCCCUUCCUCUCCCACAACAAACACUCUGUGAGGUGAGUGGGGCUGAGAGACUUCAGAGAAGUGUGACUGGCCCAAGGUCACCCAGCAGCUGCAUGCGGAGGAGCGGAGACGCGAACCUGGUUCACCAGAUUACGAGACUACCGCUCUUAACCACUACACCACACUGGCUCUCAGCGGCUGGACUGUGGCUGGAUGUAUACUGAUGGUGGCGAGAGGAAUGCAGCCUGCUUAUGGAGAGGGGAAGAAAUGGGUCCGGAUGGUGGGUUUCUGGCUAAUUGCAGAGAUUCAAAAGCCGCUUUUUAGGGCAACGGCUUCCACCAUACAGUCAUAAAAUCCAGAGCAACCCGGACCCAGCAAAAAGUAUUAACUCAUGCCCACACUGCCUCCGGCAAUAUCAGAAAAGCAGCCCUCAUGGAAACCUGUCCCAAGCAACCUCAGCCCAUUUCAACCCGAUCAAGCCUUGGAAACCUUCCAGGCACCUGAAACCUAGCAGGAAAAUCCCCGCCGCCCCACCCCCCGGCUUCCAGGGGGAGCCUCGCUCUCUGCCCAGCUGGCCGCGCCAGGACUCUCCCGGUUCUUGCAGAGGGAAGUGGCUUUCCUCCACGGUGACUUACUGUGCCAAAGCGAGCAGGUGCGAAAGAGGAGGAGGCAGCUUAGGCAGAUUCAUGGAGGAGAGGGCUGUCGAAGGCUACUAGCCAUAAAGGCUGUGCUCUGCCUGCACAGUUGGAGGCUACAAUGCUUCUGGUUUCUGGAAAUCACCCGAGGGGAGAGUGCUCCUGCAGUGGGUGUGGGGGUUAUUUUUUGUCACCCCCUCAGUGAUUACACCCGGGGCGGCCCGUACCCCCUGCACCCCCCUUCCUACGCCACUGAUUCCAGGCACAUGCUCCUCCAGGUGGCUGUUGCAUCCCUCUGCUAGUAUGGUAUUAAUACAGAAAUGGUGCAAUACAUUCCCCACCCUCAUAUACUAUAGGGAAAGAAGACUGGCUUUGCUACGGUAACUGAAAUAUGUAGGAGGAUUGUUACAGUCUCUUGAAACUGAAAGCGACUGGUUUUAAGUCUCCUUUCCUGUGUUACAAAGAGUCAUUAGUAAAAUUCCUGACUUCUGAAGUUCAGCCAGUAAAUUGUGUAUUCUGGCAGGUUUUCUACUGGUCCCAGAGACUAGCAGUUCUUCACAAAUGCUACAAUCAGGAUGAUCUUGCAUACAAUCAGGAUGAUUCACAGGGCUCAUACGGAUGCCCCUGAGCUCUGCAUUGUAUCAUGUUCUCAAAGUACAUGUAUGGCUCUACGAACCAAACAGCAUGGAUAUUGAUGCUUCAUGUAACUGCAAAUAACUCCUGCUUAUGGAAUGUCCUCAGUUCUUAUAGCUUAAGCCUUUACAUGUUUACUCAGAAGUGAAGUCCCACUUAAUUUUGGUGGGACAUGCCCAAAUGCCUUAGGCUUAGCCUUCCAAGUAAAUGAUCUUGCUGAGUACCCUUGCAUAUGUACAGAAAUCUCUCAUGUCUUACUCUGAGCAGUUAUUAUUAUGCAGUGCAUGUGAGCUAUAUGACCAAAGAUUUUAGAAAACGCUCUUCAGUAACUACUCCAUUUAGUUCAAAAGCAAUGUUUUUGUUUUUUUUAUUGUUGUAGCAACCAAUCUGAAUGCAUGCGUGCUUGCUUGCUUAUUUAUAUUAUUUAUAUUCAUAUCUCACUUUUUUAUGUGUGGUACCCAGGAUAUGGGGACGCGGGUGGCGCUGUGGGUUAAACCACAGAGCCUAGGACUUCCCGAUCAGAAGGUCGGCGGUUCGAAUCCCCGUGACGGGGUGAGCUCCUGUUGCUUGGUCCCAGCUCCUGCCAACCUAGCAGUUUGAAAGCACGUCAAAGUAGAUAAAUAGGUACCGCUCAGGCGGGAAGGUAAACGGCGUUUCCGUGCGCUGCUCUGGUUCACCAGAAGCGGCUUAGUCUUGCUGGCCACAUGACCUGGAAGCUGUACGCUGGCUCCCUCGGCCAAUAAAGCAAGAUGAGCGCCGCAACCCCAGAGUCGGCCACGACUGGACCUAAUGGUCAGGGGUCCCUUUACCUUUACCCAGGACAUGCUUGUCUAGGAACUGUAUGCAUUUCACAAUGGGACAUUUUAUUUAAAUCCCCACUGAGUUUAAAUCCCUUUGCCCUCCCCUGCUGUAGAUGGUGGCUAAAUGGAUUCAAGGGAUCAGAGUGUCAGGUUUCAAGGUCCACAUUUUACACUGACUCCUCACACUGACUUGCUUUGCAGGAAUCCAUGGCCUUUUUCCCUUAAGGCCAGCCUUUGGUCUUCCUCUCCCGAAUCUGCAUAAGUAUUAGGCCUGUGCUCUUGGGGACUAGGACUGUGACACUAAUUCAGCCACUUUCCCCAUAGAAAAGCAGCUGUGACAACGUGUUGUAAGAAUCUCCCUUUCCCAGCAGCCCCGGUUAGAAGGCUGAGACAAAUUAUUUACCAGAAAUAAGACAGCUUUUUUGUGGAGAGACAUUGUCUGGGCAGGUGUGGUGGUGUCUGUACCUUCUGUCCUGGGAGGAGGUGUGUCUGAGAAAGCGCUCUGUGUCUGGCUUUUAAACAAAUUAUCUUCUCUAGCAUAAUCCAAGUUUCCCUUCCAUAUGCAAUGAGGUGAUAUUUACAAAUCCCUGGCACUGGAGGCAAAAUGUGUAGUCACAUGUAAUGUGCAAAGAAAAUGAGGUCAGGCACUGGAGACUUCUUCAGAAAUACAACUGCAAAUGAUAUUUUGGGCAACAGAUUUGAUCUGGAUUAAGUUUAUGUGCAAGUUUUAAUUCUCUUAAAAUUUAAUCUGUUGUCAAAGCAUCUCUGAAACAUCUGCUUUAAAAAUUGACAACAUUACUAUUGCUCUUAUUUAUUUCUCUGUUUAAAGUGUGAAUGGGGAACUUGUAGUCUUCAUGCAGCCUUUAUUUCAUGCAACCUGCAGAGAUGUGAUAGCACAGUGUGUGUGUGUGUGUGUGUGUGUGUGAGAGAGAGAGAGAGAGAGAGAGAGAGAGAGAGAGAGAAGGCCCUAUAUCAUCCUGCAAACUCCACCCAUCUUUGGCACUGGUUUCUAAUUGAGUUUUCCCAUAGGUCAAGAGCCCUUCAUGGGGCAGAAAUUUACCCCAACUUUAAUUUAAAGCAUGUGGAGAUCUGCAACUGCCACCUGGCCCAGCCUGAAUGGGAACCCACCAAAAAUGUCCUACAGCCUUUCUGGGCUAGAGAGGCAAGACUGGAAAGGGAAGCGAAGGUGAGGGAAGUAGGUUUCCCUCGUUUUCACUUACUACCUCCCAGGAGAAAGAAAAGACAUUCUGUCCCCUUCUCCCACCAGGUGCAAGUGAAGACAAAACUCUUGAAGUCAGGAAGCGAGAUGGAUUGGCAGUAUGGGUAGCACUUGAUAUCAGAACAUAAAUUAAUUUCAGGAGGAAGAAACCGUUUAAUGUGGGGCUGUCUUUCUGAAGUGGGCCCUCCCUUUUAUUACAUCACUCCGGGUCUUAACUGUCUCUGGAAGCUGGUUGGUGUGAUUCUACAAGAGACCUUUUUUUGUGGGGGGAGCUAUUUUCCUUAAGACUGCAAUUAAAUAGAAAUAGAUUGGGAUUGCUGGAGGUGCGUAGCAAAAUUAAACUUCUCAAACAAACCAAAACAGAAAUCCUAUCACCCAAAAUAGCUGUUAGUGUUGAGCGCCCAGAAAUCCCACCAGGGCAUGGAAAGCAGCAAAGAUGGCAGAUCCUUCUGAAGUGCCAGGUACCUGCUCUUUGGGUGGAGCCUGUGAGUGUAAUUGAGAUAAUUUCUUGGUAUCCAAACAUGGCUAUAGAUGCCUUGUGUUAAACAUCCAAUUAUAAGAUCAGUAAGUGCUUUCCAAACAGAAAUAUGCAGGAUUUGUUCCAGCCGCCAUCUGAAAUGCAGUCACGUUGCAUGUGAAUUAGUGCAGCUGUUUAACAGCUGAAUAGCAGUAACACCCCACCGAGUUUUAUUCUUCAUAUUUCCAUUUUACAUAAUGUAAUCACUUGACUUAGAAUGUUGCCUGGAGUCUAGAAGUAAUGGUUCUGCUUGCUGUGGGGGGAUGUUAAUGACCACAAAUGAACAGUACCUUGAUUCCACAGCCUCCUCCCACCCCUCUUUCGCCUUCCCUUGCUGCAGUGGCUGAAAUUAGUCACCUUUGCCACAGCAUGGUUCUUUCAGAGCAAACUUGGGCAUUACAGGGAAGUGGUAAGGUUUUCCGGAUUAGCUCCUCAGAAACUUCCAUUUGUUGCAUGCUGGCAGAGGUUGCAUCUAAUAUCCACUUGUCGUGACAGCCCAUCAGACAUAUGCAUCCAGUGGUGAGCUUUAUCAGGACAGCUGAAGAAGGGAAGCAUCUUUUGCUCCCUCGGAAGACUGUGUACCUUUCAGGGUGCUUUGCUGUGAAGUAACAGCCCAAGAGCUUACUUAACAGGCCAUUGGACCGAUAAGGCCAUGCCUUUGCAGGCCACAUUGUAAGAUGGAUCAUUGUUCGUUUGCUGUAAAUAGUAUUCUCUCUGGAGGCACAUGUCUCCAGAGAGGGGACACCUCAAAGCCCACCCCCAAUCUCAACAAGAGGUGCUGUUUUCCUGCUCUGUAUAACUCCCAGUCUUGCAUAGUGCAUUUUUAAACAUCUGCCUUUUCCUCCCCUUGUCUAGACAGUAAAAGAUUCAAGUGGAAGUUAUGGGCCACCUGGUCUGCUUGGGGGAGCCAAAGAAAACUCGUCCCUGAUUCUAGUGCAGGAUCAUGUGAGUUCAUAAUAUGGCUUGGAGGUGAGGAUAGCACUUAUUCUUGUGAGUGUUCCUCAGUUCAGAAGCUUUUUUGAGGGAGUGGGAAUCAACAUAUGUUGUUAGCAUUGGUGUUUUGUAAUCUGACUCUAUUUUGGUAUAACUUUCCUUGUAACCCAGCCCAGUCAACCAUCUUCAUCUCUGUAGUCCCAAAGACAGUUUAAGGUAAUGCUGAGUUGUCUUCAGUCGACCAUCAUGAAGCACUCUUUCUACCACCAAUGCCCUUAAUUUUGCUGAUGUUCUCUGAAGCGCUCCAUCUUUCAUUAGAGAAGCUGCAGGUGCUGUAUUCCUUUGGCUUUGGCUUUCCGCUUUGUUAAUAUCCUCUUUGUUCUCCAAAGCAUCCCAAAGCAAAUAAGGAAGAAUGGCUUUUGCUUAGUGGAUAAUGCUGCACAUUUCAUUUCCAAAGCUUUCUAUUGUCCCAUAUCAAUUCUUUUGAGGUCCUAUACCAAGGAUCUGUGGCUUUAAGGCUCAGUAUAACAAAAGAAUAUCAGUUGUAUCUGAACAAAUGAUCGCAAUCAUAAGAGAAUUAGCACUGUGUGAGAAUUAGGAGGUGUGCUGGAGACUGUUUCUGGGAGGAAAGUUAGGAUCCAGGCCACUGCAAAUCUGUUUCUUCCUAAAGAUGCCAAUUCUCUUAUAUAUUACAGGAGCUAUGCAGCUGGAUCACAAUAAAGUUCUGCCAGGGGGCAUUUGUCAGAAAACAGCUCUGGACACUCCUCCUCCUCCUGUGUCUUGUCUCUCAGCAAGGGGAUCAUGAUUUGGGACAUGCUCUCCGCUGCUAGAAUUUAGCUACCUUAAGUUUGGUUAUUCAUAUUUUUAUUAAAUGGCGGCUUCUCUGUUUAUCUAGCAGGGUAGGUACAUUGGCACAUAUACCUAGAAAGAAGCAGGAAAGAAUGCACCUCAGAAUAUUGAACUGGACGGGGUCCAUUAAGCCUUUUCUGUAUCUAAAAUCUGUAAUUUCCUGUUUCAUCUGUUCCCCCGCCCCCUGCACAAAAGCAAUGGAUUUCCACUUAGAAUUCCCUGUGGUUAUACUGAAAUUGGAUUAUGAAAGGGUGGUGCCAAGUGUGUUAUCCUCAUUCGAUUCAGGGCUGUGCCCCCAAACGAUUUUCAGUGGCAAGCCUCUGUUACAUAGCCAUCAUCAUAUAUUCACCAGUUCCUGGCUUGUAUCUAUCUCCUUGUCACACUGGGAUGUAACUGGAAUGGGUGGGUGGGUGGUGGCAUCAAGGCAGUGUUGUUGUUUGGAGAGAGUACAAGGUACCCUGACCAAGCUCUGAGAGGCAGCAGGGCAGGGAGAAGCCUUUCCACCACCCCACCAGGUCAUCGGGACCUCUGGAGACACAUGCCUGGAAAACUGGCCCUUUACACUUCUUUGUCCAGUGACAGUAGCCACUGUGGGAUGGGUGGGUUUGUGCCCAGUCCCUUUUUUCACUGAACCCCAAUGUGGGUUCAACAAGAGUCUACACCCAGUCCCUUCCAUGGUUGGCAACACAUGCUCCUCUUUGUUGCCCCAUCAUCCCCAUUGUGAAAAAGGACUUUUGAGCCAAUUUAACAUGGGGCCCACGAUGUCUCAAAGAACUAGCUGAUGACACAUGAUGCCGUGUGAACUCUUAAGCCUCUGCAUCAGUCAGUUUUGUUUUGAAGUAGCAAGUUGGCUGGAGAGUUUUCAGCCGCAAUAAUUUUCCCCACUCUAAUCCUCCCCUGGCUAUCUUGCUUUUCUCCUUGCUGUUACGGCAGAGUAGCCUGUGGGUGGCGGCAGAGGCCAGAGUAGACAAUUGCCAGGCAAACUAUUAAAGCUGUGCUUAAACCUAUCAUGACAGUUAUGAUUAGAAUAAUAGAUUGGCAUUUUUUCCCCUUAGAUCGUUGAGCUUACAUUUCUCACUUGCCUGAGUUUAAAGCAUUAAAAUGUGUCCUUCCGUUUCAUAAUUAAUUCAUCUCAAAGAGAAAAAUACGAAGGUGGCAAAUGAAUUUCCCACCCCCUGCUUUCUCUCGCCUUGCGCUGGGUGUGAACCAAUUUUCGUAUUAAUGCUGUGGAGGUCUGAAUUCUUAUCAGAAAGAGACGGGCUCCUUUCUUUUCUUUGCAGGGUUGGAUAGGGGCGUGAAACAGGAAGUGUGUGUCAUGUGGUGGUGAUGGGGGGGAACCUCUGUAGGAUGUGCAGAAACACAGAUCUUUCAGGUUUGACACAGCACUAAACGUCAUAAGUCGCCCUAUUCCCCACCUUUCCUUUAUGCUAUCUGGCCCAUAGGAUUCCGCCCAGGCCACACACCCUCUCGCAAGCCACUCCCCCUUUCGCCAGGCCACGCCUCUUCCUGACGUGGCUUCACAUCCUCCUCGAGUGCUUGCCAGGAAUGUGCUCUUGAGCAAAAAUGAAAAGAAAGGAAGAUGUUAAGUGAUUAAGUAAAUUUUAUGAGAAAUUUGUUUUGGAAAAUCGUUACAAUGAUAUAUACUGAAAUUCAGUCAGGGGAAUUUGAGGAAAUCACUUAACAAUGUUAAUAAGAUUGGAUUAAGUACAGUUAUGAUGUAUGUAUGUUUGUUUGUUAGUUUAAAAAUUUGGGAAAAUUAAUUAAAUAAAUUGGGGGGGAAAGGAAUGUGGUCUUGAAAUCUGGUGAUGACUCUUGCCUGUCUGGAUGAAGGAUAGUGAGGGGAGUGUGAGUGCAUAUAUAUCUAGCAUACUGUGCAGAGGAAAAAUAAUAACAAUAACAAUAUAAUAAUAAUAAUAAUAAUACCCUGCCCAUCUGGCUGGGUUUCCUUGCAGCAUCCCCAUUUGCCCACAACUGGCAUGUGGCCCCUAGAAAUUUGUGCAGAGGGGAAUGUGGCCCUUGGGAUGCAAAGGGUACCAGCUCAUAAUUAGAGCCCAUUGGAUCAGGCCAGUGGCCCACCUAGUCCAGCGUCCUGUUCUCAUGGUGUCCAGCCAGAUGCUUGUGGGAAGCCUGCAAGCACCUCUUUAUGCCGUCAAUUUCACCUUCCCUGUUUAUCACACAGCUUUUCAAUUAGGCUCCGACACAGCCCUGUGUUUCUAAAUCAUGAAGUGCCUCUUUGACAAGCCUGUUUUCUAGUAUCGUUCUGAGGAAUUGGGACGUUUGCCACUGGCAGGAACCAUGGUUAUUCAGUGGCAGUUGCUAAGGUCUACAGGCCCCUAUGAGAACAGGAUGAUGGGCUAAAUGGGCCAUUGGCCUGAUCCAGCAGGCUCUUCUUAUGUUCUUAAUGAGUUCAUAUUGCCGUGGUGGUUGCGUGGCAGUGUGGUCAAGGCAUCUGAGGGCAAUGUUUCAACAGCUGUACUUGGAGGGAGGGAAAAUCUCUCCCAGAGCCUUUAGUGGACUGUGGAGGAUUUCCCUGUUUAAUAACCUUCCGCUCCUUAGGCCUCUGUGUUUCUGCUUCUGUACUAAAGAAAUGCGAAAGCAAACAGUUUCUCUGAGGGCAUCUGCUUAUUCCUGUCCUCAAGGAGAACUAAUCCCCUCUGCUUAGCAUGGUCCAUUUCCAGAGCAACAAGUUGUAUAGUAACAAAGGAUUAUGCUACUAAGUAAAGAAUGAGAGGGGAGGGACACUGCUGAAAUAGAUGAAAGUGUUAAGAGGGGCUGCAUAACUGAGAAAAGUUGAAGUUACCCUAAACCAGGGGUCAGCAAACUUCUCCAGCAUGGGGCCGGUCCACUGUCCCUCAGACCUUGUGGGGGGCCAGACUAUGUUUUUUGGGGGGGAAAUGAAUGAAUUCUUAUGCCCCACAAAUAACCCAGAGAUGCAUUUUAAAUAAAAGCACACAUUCUACUCAUGUAAAAACACCGGGCAGGCCCCACAAAUAACCCAGAGAUGCAUUUUAAAUAAAAGGACACAUUCUACGCAUGUAAAAACACGCUGAUUCCCAGACUGUCCGCGGGCUGGAUUUAGAAGGUGAUUGGGCCGGAUCCGGCCCCCGGGCCUUAGUUUGCCUACCCAUGCCCUAAACCUUAGGGGUGAGAUACAAAUAAGGUUUUUUUGUGUGUGCGGAACAAGGUCUUCUGACAAAAUGAGCUUCCUGCCGCCGCACCUCCCUCACGCCCCCUAAAUCUACUCUGGAGGGUUGGGGAAAACAGCAGAAAAGGUUGGGGGAGCUCACAGGAGAAGAGAAUGGUAAAGCCUUGUUGCAUGAAUAGACCUCUCCCCAUGUGCACAUCCCCCACUUAAGAGAGGGAGGAAAACUUUUCUCUGUCCAUCCCAUUUCUCCAUGCCAUGCAUAAUCUGGCAAACCUGUUACUUGCUUUUUCUCUAACCUGAAAAGCCCCAAAGAGGCUCCCUUUCAUUGCAGAGGCUUUCUUCCACCCCCUUGAUAAUUUUGGUCACCCAUUUCCAACUCUGCAAUAUCUUUUUGGAGGUGAAGCAACCAGAACAAUACACAGUAUUCCAAUGCAGUCACACUAUAGAUUUGUAUAAUAGCAUUAUGAUAUCAGCAGUUUUAUUUUCAAUUCCUUUCCUAAUGAUCCCUAGCAUGGAUUUUGCUUUUUCACAAUCUCUGCACACUGGGUCAACAUCUUCAUCGAGCUAAUAUUCCCCUGAUUACUAGUUGCUUGGGGAGAGGGGAGAGAGAAGUUACGUUUCAUUGUGCCCUGACUGUGAGCAUCCUAGGAGAUCUGCUUUGAAGCCAUGAGAGAAGAGGCUUGGAUCCUCAGUUCCCACAAGCAGACCUCCGCUCAAGAAAUGCUCCCAAGACACAAAGGGGCCACACACACAUUUCUUCUCUCUCUCUCUCUCUCUCUCUCUCUCUCUUUUGCAAGUUUGCUCAUCACCUUGUUUCCUGUGUCACCUGAAAAUCUUCUCUGGAGGAUUCGAAGGUUUGGGGAAAGCACAAGUGCUAGAGCUGGGGAGGGGGGGCGAGGAUAGGGGAACCGGCAGAUAUCUCCUCCCUCUGCUUUCCACUGGUGGGAUUCCCCACUCAAUGGAGUCACUUCUGUUAAUCAUAGAAUUGUAGAGUUGGAAGGGAGCCCUGAGGGUCAUCUAGGCCAACCCCCUGCAAUGCAGGAAUCUCAGCUAGAUCAUAUAUGGCAGGUGGUCAUCCAACCUCUGCUUUAAAACUUCCAAGGAAAGAGAGUCCACCACCUCUCUUGGGAGUCUGUUCCACUGUUGAACAGCUUUUACUGUUAGAUGCUUAGUAGGUAUCUCAUUUCUUGUAACUUAAAUUGGGAAGGAUGCCUUCUGUCUGUGAAAGGGCAACUGAAAUGCAGGGCAGAGAAUUAGACUACAUGGUCCCCUGGUCUGACUUAGUAAGGCCCCUGUUAAGAGUUAAUGAUGUAUUUUCUUUCUCGGAGGUUAGCCUUCCUCUUCAAUAUGUGUCUUUAUUCAUAUGCUUUAGUCAUCUGCAUAGAAUCAUAGAAUUGUAGAGCUGGAAGGGACCCUGAUGAUCAUCUAGUCCAGGGUUUCCCAAACUUGGGUCUCCAGUUGUUUUGGGACUACAGUUCCCACCAUCCCUGACCACUGGUCCUGCUACCUGGGCAUGAUGGGAGUUGUAGUCCAAAAACAGCUGGAGACCCAAGUUUGGGAAACCCUGAUCUGACCCAACCUCCUGCAAUUCAGGAAUAGGCAGCUGUCCCAUACGGGAAUUGAACCUGCAACCUUAUCAGCACCACGCUCUAACCAGCUGAGCUAUCCAGGCAUCUACAUGCAUCAUUUGGACAUAGGGACAUAGAAAGCUGCCUUCUAUUGUGUCAGCUCACUGGUCUGUCUAGCUCAAGAUUGUCUACAUGGACUGGCAACAGCUGUCCAGGAUGGUUUCAGGCAGGAAACUCUCCUAUCCCUGUCUGGAGAUGCCAGGGAUUAAAACUAGGGUCUUCUGCAUGGAAAGCAGAUGCUCUCCCAAUGAGCUAUGGCCCUUACUCAUUUGACUACUACUUGGAUCCCCAGAUGUGGUUGUCUACAAUUCUUAUCAACCCUGACCAUGCUUCCUGGAAGAGUGGUCCAGGUUGUGGUCCAGUAACAUCUGGGGAUCCAAAGUGGAGGAAGACUGGCCUAUAUCAUAUGCAGACUUAUCCAGAGCUGGUGAUGUGAACAGAUUCAUGUAUGAUUCGACCUCAUGGGGGCAUUGACUGUGGGAAGGACUUUUGUCUGUUCUAACUCGGGAGUCUACCUUUUGUGUACAUAGAUUCAGGUAGGUAGCUGUGUUGGUCUGAUGCAUUUGAAAUAUAUAUAAAAAAUUUAAAAAAUGCCCCAUGCACACACGAAAGCUUAUACCAAGAAAAAACUUAGUUGGUCUUUAAGGUGCUACUGGACAAUUUAUUUAUUUUUUAUAUAUUUUGUGUACAUAGUUUGAAGAAUAAAAUUUCCUCCCCAAAACAGAAAGCAGUAAAUAGAACUGCUUAGCUGAUUGCAGAAGAUAAGUAGAUAUGUAAAGUGACCCAUUCAGGUUUUUUCCGGGAAUGUAAUAACCUCAAGUGAAGUACUGACUCCAGCAGACACUGAAGACGUUCUCACCUUAUUUAACUCUUAUUUUAUUCAUCAUAGGAAUGGGUUUCAUAUCUCUUUCAAUCUGCCACUGACGGGUAGGAAUAAUUUUUCAGGCAGUGUAGAUGAGUAUGCCGUGGUAGAGUCCAUUUGCCACCUUGACAAGCGCUUAGUGCCAUCAGCCAUGGAGUAAGUUGGAAAAAUGUUUUCCUUUACAGUCUGACUUGAACAUGAGCAUGAUGUAUGUUCAGAUGUGGUGGUGGGGAGGGGGAAAUGACAGAGGAAGGUCGCUGAGUUGUGUGAAGCUGAGCAGUGAAUCCCUGCCACUGAUUUCUGUCCCUCUCAUAGCACAAGCAGAAGCCUGAGACAAUUAACUUCUUGUUUCUUGUGGAUGGAGUGGAAAAUGGGGUUCAAGCUAAUACAGUGAAAUUCAAAUGAGACGAAUGUAAAAUUUUGCAUUUAGGGAGAUUUAAAAAACAACAACGCACAAGUGUAAGAUGGGGGAAAUCUGGCAUGUGAAAAUGGAACUCAGAAUUGCAGCUGAGUGCAAACUGAACUUGAGUCAGCAGUAUGAUGCAGCUGCAGUAAAGGCUAAUAUGAUUAUGAUGCUGCCUUAAUAGAACCACAGUUUGCAAGUCACAAGAAGUAUUCAUGCCAUUGUAUUCUGCCAUAAUCAGACUUCCUCUAGAUAGAGCACUGUGCCCGGUCUUGGGCACCACACUUUGAGAAGGAUGUAGACAAAUUGGUAAUGCAUUAGAAGGUUGGUUAAGGGUAUGGGAAACCAUUCCUAUGAGGAAAAAGUUUCAAUUAAGUGGGCACAGUUAGCCUGGAGAAGAGAAGACAAAGGGGAGAUACUGUAUGCUAGCACUCUUCAAACACCUGAAGGGUUAUAUUAAUGAAGAGUACAUCUCUCAACAUCCAUAACCAUUGUCCCUGCUGACUGAGGCUGAAGGUACUGUAUUUUUCGCUCCAUAAGACGCACUUUUUCCCUCCUAAAAAGUAAGGAGAAAUGUCUGUGCGUCUUAUGGAGUGAAUGUGUGGUCGAUCGCUGGCUCCCUUUCCAGCCCCAGCCCCUUGCCCAGGCCUCCAUUGUUGAAUGUUCUGCAGAUGGAGGCUGUUUGUUUCCCCAGUGACAUGUGACUGGCUGACUAGAUUAUCUGUCUGGAAACUGUAGAAACAGCUCCCUUUCCUUUCCUAAAGAAGCUGCAGAACUGUGAGUUGAGCCCCAUAAAAACAGGAUUUUUUCCCCUUUGCAAAAUAAGCUGCACAACUUUGAGCUGAUCGUCAAAAAACCGGGGCUUUUCCCCUUUGCAAAAGAAGCUGCACAACUGUGCGCUGAUUCCCCCCAAAAACGGGGCAUUCCCCCUCUAAAAACUAGGUGUGUCUUAUGGUCAGGUGCAUCUAAUAAUAAUAAUAAUAAUAAUAAUUUUAUUUAUAUCCCGCCCUCCCCAACCGAAGCCGGGCUCAGGGCGGCUAACAACAAUAAAACAGUACAACAGUACAGCACAACACUCUAAAAUCAUUCAUUGUAAAAUUAAUUCAAAUCAAGCCACUGGCAACCAUUGGGCCAGAGCUCCGCGAAGAUUGCCGAGGGAGGGAGUCAGGCUGUGCCCUGGCCAAAGGCCUGGCGGAACAGCUCUGUCUUGCAGGCCCUGCGGAAAGAUGUCAAGUCCCGCAGGGCGCUAGUCUCUUGUGACAGAGUGUUCCACCAGAUCGGAGCCACAGCCGAAAAAGCCCUGGCUCUAGUUGAGGCCAGCCUAACCUCUCUGUGGCCUGGGACCUUCAAGAUGUUCUUAUUUGAAGACCGUAAGUUUCUCUGUGGGACAUACCAGGAGAGGCAGUCCCGUAGGUACGAGGGCCCUAGGCCGUGUAGGGCUUUAAAGGUUAAAACCAGACCUUAAACCUGAUCCUGUACUCCACCGGGAGCCAGUGCAGCUGGUAUAGCACCGGGUGAAUGUGAUCUCGCAGCGAGGACUCCGUAAGGAGUCUCACUGCAGCAUUCUGCACCCGCUGGAGUUUCUGGGUCAGUCUCAAGGGCAGCCCCACGUAGAGCGAGUUACAAUAAUCCAGUCUAGAGGUGACCGUCGUGUGGAUCACAGUGGCUAGGUCAGGGCGAGAGAGGUAAGGAGCCAACUGCUUAGCUUGGCGGAGAUGGAAAAAUGCCGCCUUUGUUAUAGCUGCAAUCUGCGCCUCCAUGGAAAGGGAGGUAUCGAAGAUUACACCCAAACCCUUAACGGACGGUGCUGGCACUAAUUGCGCCCCCGCAAGAGAUGGGAGUUGCCCCCCCAAUCCCAUAUCAUCCCUUCCCAGCCACAGGACCUCUGUCUUCGAAGGAUUUAGCUUCAACCGGCUCCCACGUAACCAUCCAGCCACAGCUUCCAAACAUCUGGUCAGUGUGUCUGGGGCCGAGUCAGGAUGGCCAUCCAUCAACAGAUAGAGUUGGGUGUCAUCGGCAUACUGAUGGCAACCCAGCCCAAAACUCCGAACAAGCUGGGUGAGGGGGCGCAUAAAGAUGUUGAAAAGCUUCGGGGAGAGUAUCGCACCCUGAGGUACUCCACACACCAAGGAGUGGCGCGAUGACAAUUCCCCCCCAAGCGCUACCCUCUGUCCUCGACCAGAGAGAAACGAGCACAGCCAUUGAAGGACUGUGCCCUGGAUCCCCACGUCGGCAAGGCGGUGGUCCAGGAGUUCAUGAUCGACCAUGUCGAAAGCUGCUGACAGGUCUAGAAGAAUCAGCAGCCCCGACCCGCCUCGAUCCAGCUGUCUACGAAGAUCAUCUGUUAGGGCAACCAGAGCCGUCUCGGUCCCAUGACCAGCGCGGAAGCCGGACUGGAAUGGAUCCAGAGCCGAUGUUUCAUCCAGAAACCCACCAAGCUGUUCAGCAACCGCUCUCUCAAUCACCUUACCCAGGAACAGAAGAUUCGAAACCAGGCGGUAAUUGGAUAGAUCUAAAGGAUCUAAUGAUGUUUUCUUUAAGAGCAGGCGCACCACUGCCUCCUUCAGUUCCCCUGGGAAUGUCCCUGUGCCAAGGGACAAAUUGAUGAUAUCCCCCAGGAGGGCCCGCACCUCAUCUGGACACACUCUAAUCAGCCAAGACGGGCACGGGUCGAGAGGACAGGUGGUGGGCUUUCCAGCUCGGAGGAGUCUGUCCACAUCGGCUGGGGAUAUCCGGUCGAAGUGGUCCAAUACUGGACCUGAGGACAGUCGAGGGGCCUCCACUUCCUUUAUUGUAUCCAAAUUGGCAGGGAGGUCAUGGCGGAGCAACAAGACCUUCUCCUCAAAAAAGCUCGCAAAUGCCUCACAGCUGUGUGUCAAAUUGUUAUUUAAAUUUGGCUGUCCCUCAAGGGACGUUAAAGACCUAAUUAUACUAAAUAAUUGCGCCGGGCGAGAGCUAGCGGAUGCAAUGGAGGCCGAGAAGUAAGACUUCUUAGCAGCCUUCACCGCCAUCUGGUAGGUUUUCAUAAAAGCCCUAUAAGAUGUUCUUGAGGCUCCAUCAUGGGCACCCCGCCAUACUCGCUCUAGCCGUUUGAGGUCCCGCUUCAUUUUCCUGAGCUCCUCGGUAAACCAGGGAGCCCGGUUUCUGCGGGGUCGCAGAGGGCGCUUAGGUGCGAUCUCAUCGAUGGCUGCCAGGAGCUGGAUAUUCCAGCCCUCAACAAGCUCAGUCAAUGAGUCGCCAGGGGGAGCAAGGUCCCGCAAGGCUUGGCGGAAUCUAUCAAGGUCCAUCAGCCUCUGCGGGCGAGCCCAAAUCGGCUCGCCACCUAAGCAGGGUGGGGGUGGAAAGUCAAUCCUGGCUUUCAGAGCGUAGUGAUCAGACCAUGGCACCUUCAUUGAGGAGACAUGAUCACAUCUAUACCUAUGCCAAAGAUCAAAUCCAGCGUGUGGCCUGCUUGAUGUGUGGGGCCCGAAACAAACUGGGAGAGCCCUAGUGUUGCCAUGGAAGACACCAGGUCCAGAGCCUGUGAGGAGGGAGUGGCAUCAGCAUGGAUGUUGAAGUCCCCCAAUACCAAUAGUUAGAGAACUCCAAGGCCCAGCCGGCCACCGCCUCCAGUAGGCCUGACAGGGUGGCUGCUGGUGCGCUAGGUGGCCGGUACACCAGCCAGACAGCCAAGCUCUCCUCGGAGCCCCACACUAGGCCAACACAUUCAAUGCCGGGGAUCGAUGGCGAUGGUAGAGCCCUGAAAGGACAAUCUUCCCAGAUUAAUAAUGCCACCCCUCCCCCCCGGCCCACAGUCCACGACUGGUGGAGGAUGGAGAAACCCGGGGGCGCCAUCUCUCGUAAGGUAACUGUUUCCCCUUCACGCACCCAGGUCUCCGUCACACAAGCCAGGUCGACCCCCUGUGAGGUAAAGAAAUCUCGCAGGGUGGCGGUUUUGUUGCCUAUAGACCUGGCAUUGCACAGCACCAGUGACGGAGGUGGGUAAUCCUUGCUCACCCUACCCUCGUCCCUUGGGAUGAGGCGCAGAUUGGAAGGGGUACGAGCAUAUCCAUAUCUCGAUCCCCUUCGCCUAUAACAUCUGCCCCCACUGCCAUACCUCCCUCGCCCCUCCACGGUAGGAAUCCCAAGCCUCAUAUUAGCCUCCAUUGAUGGCAAUUAAUGUUAUUCUUUCGCAGCCUAAAACAAUAAAACCUUAAAACAAUUUUAAAAAACCCGAGAAAACAAUAAAACAAUACAAAUAAAAAUUGCAAAAAUUACAAAUCCAUCAAAAUCCAACAAAUUCCCAAGCCCACCCAAACAUCCAUCCCACCCCCAUAUAUAAAAGAUCUAAAGGGAAAGGGAAAUUUUAAAACAUGUUAAAAAGAACUCUGCACCCCUCCGGAUCCUCCUGGGCAGUAGCAGCACCAGUGGCAACAACCGUCCUUGUGAGGCCCCACCCUGGGCCUGGGCCUGGAGCGAAAAAUACGGUAAUUGGGGUUCACCUGUCCUGUACUGAAUGAGGUGCAAGGCCAGUGACUGUGGGAGAGAGGGCCUUUUCCAUGGUGAUGCUCCUGCUAUGAAAUGCCUUCAGAGAUAUUUGCCUUGUGCCUACUUCAGCACCAGGCAAAGAAAGCCCUUAUUCAUUUCCCCCGACCAUUCAAUCCGCUUUAGAUUUAAUCUGUCCUUACUCUCAGAUACUGCUUUUGUAUUGUAUUUAUGAUUUCAUUGUUUUUGUUAUUACUGGACUUUGCAUAGGGCAGCUUAUAAAUUUUGUAAUUAGAUGCACUUGUCUCAUAUGGUUUUUAAGGACUGGUCCUGAUAUUGUGUGUGUGUGUGUGUGUGUUUUAAUCUGCUGCUGUUGUAUUUUGCUGUAGCUUAAUUCGUUUUUUAAAUUAUAUAUUGUUUUAAAAUAAUGUGCCCAGUCUGGAGUGCUGGGAGGGUGGUGUAUAAAUGCUUUUAAAUAGAUGCACGUUUAUUUUCCUUGUAUGUGUAUGUGUGCUCAGAGUUUCUCCACUUUAGGAUAAGUUGCUCUUCUUGAAUCACAUCAUUAAAAGUUGAUCUCUUUUUCUUUGCACAGUAUUGUAAUUUCCAGCUUCUGCAUUUGGCCAUACGUUCCCCCACCUCCCCCAACUCUAGGCUUGCACUGCAAGUACUUCUCUCUGUACUUCUCUCUGAUUUCAAAUCAUUGAGACUAGAGAGGGUCCAUAGUACUUGCAGUGCAAGCCUAGAGUUGCCUACUGAAUUCAGUGGGACUUACUGCCUUAUCCUUAUGCUUCAACCCUCUACCCAUUGGCUUGUGACUAAGACUCUUUGAACUCAAGAAGCCUUAAUCCUGUGUCGGCUUCUAUAUGACUGCACUGUUUUUGAUGAUUGCAGUGGAAGGAGAACCAGGAUAAAUAGGGCCUUUCUUGUGGUAGUGCCUGCUAUUUAGAACACUCUUCCACUGGAAAUAAAGCAUGUGCUGAUUUUCUUUUCACCCAGAGUUUUAUUUUAUUUCAUUUUUUUGUUGCCCAAGUAUGUGGCUGGUUACUGUUAAUGUGUGGCAUCAUUAUAUUUUAUAUCAACUUUAUGUAUCUCUUUUGUUGUUGUUGUUGUUGUUGUUGUUGUUGUUGUUGUUGUUGUACAUACAAGUAUUACAAUAAAAUAGUUCUGUAAACCACACUGGAAAAUUAAUUGCCCAGGAACAAGAGGAGGCUCCUGGAAUGACAGGAGCUACUGGGGCAUAACCAGGAACAUUAAAGAAAAGCCAAUCUCAAAAUGGCUUCCCUGAGUGUCAGAAGUUGCCACACACCCCUUUUAUUUGAUAAUAGGAAAUUCCUCCUUUCUUCUCUGUUAUGCAUUAUCAGUAGAAAUUGCCUGGUGCAUGAAAAGUAGAGAAACUGCUUAAAAUAGACUGAAUUUCACUGGGGGAGAAGAAGAAGAAAAGAUUGCUGAGUUCCCUGUAUCAUUCAUUAUUUCAUCUUUAAUUCAGUGAUAACCUCAUUUGAAUAGCUGGAGGCUUAUCACAGAAUUUCCAUUUGAGCCCUUCCAAAGCCAGGAGCUCUGCACAAUUUAGGGUCCAUUUUGUGUACUUGGCCACUCUUUGAAGGUUGCUCACAAAUGGACUGCAGCUGUCAGUGGAAGCUAGGCUAGGCAGAUGCAUGGACCUAGUCCAAACAACACAUGACUUAAAAUGUUUGUGAUCACUGCCAGGGGUUGCUGUUAACUGAACUCAGCCAUUUAAAAAGAAUAAUAAUAAUAAUCUGUGCCUACAUCUAAAAACAUUUAGCUAUCCACUAAUGAUUAGCAUUUAUAGCAGGGAGUACUGUAGCUCAUCCUAUGUAUGGGUUGCUGUAGAUGGAAGCAUGUCUUGGUGCUGCUAGAGCAAGACCAGGGAAAGGUUGGUAGCUGUGGGGACUGGGGCAUGUCCAAUGCAGAAUGCAGGUGGUCCAACAGUAGGCGGAGCCAAAAGCCAUCGACAGGCAGAGACAACUAAUUCUCGUUCCCCCACUGCAUCCUCACCCCUACUGAGACUAAAGAGGAGGAAGCCGACAGCCGUUGCCACCCUCUGAACCAGAUGGAAGAAAGAAGGCAGACAGGGAGCUGGCUGGCUAAUGAUGCUCCAUUUUGUCCUAAUAGGCCAGAAUCCUCCAGUUGGCCGUCAGUUUCUAGGUGUAAAUGCAUGUUCAUCAACAGAGAGGGAAAGAGGAGGCCCUUGCAGUUUAGGGAGAUGCGACUUGAACUUUGGGAAUUGCUAGUAUAUCAUAACUUUCCUACCAUAGCUGCUCUGAACCUCCCCUCUCCCACAUUGUCGUUAAUUAUCCCACAUCUCUCCUCACGAGCUUUUGGACCUUGUUACUGAGUCGGAGUGGUUCGUCUGGUCUGCAUUGAUUUCCCCCACUCCCUGCCCCUCCAUCAAUCAUCCAUCAAUAAGAAGUGCUGUGUACGGCCGUGCGAUACAUUGCUAGACAUUAAAGAGGUUCUUUCUCUCUUAACGCAUUUAAUACAUUUGGGUAUUUAAUUUCAAGCUUGAUGUUAAAUUUAAUAAGUUCAAUAAUUCUUUUGGAAAAUGUUCCUGAUGAAAAGGUUUUACAACGCUCCUCAAACAGAUUUCCACUCUCUUUCUGAAAUGUUGUAAUGCCUCUGCUUAGCUUGAGCAUUAAAGCUGUAAUGGCCUAUGAGGCGGAGGCUGGCACCGUGUGACAUUCCCAGUGCUUAACAUUCAGAGUUCUUUUUUGAGGGCGAAAUUCUAUUUGUAAACAAAUGAGUGACUUGUAUAUUAAUGAGCCGCUGAGCUCAGUAGUGCUUUUCCUUCUGACAUGGGUAAUGAAUGUAUUGUUAAUGGGAUGCUGAUUCCCCGCCCGUCCCUCCUGCUUCUCCGAGGCCCUAAACGAUCUUUCGAAAUCACCUCAGGAAUUCCUAAAUCUUCAGUAAGCACAACAAUUAUUCAUUGGAUUACUGGUUUGUAUACAAUUCUUCAAUAUUAUUGCAUCUGAGAUCAGGCCCAGGCAUCUGGUACAUGCACUGGCUCUUUUGAUCCUAAUAUCCUGAAGCUGUUUUUCAUUAAAGGGAGAAGGAAAAUCUAUUUGGCUUUCAAGAACUAAGCACGGCGGUAAAGCCCAAGUGUUCAUUGGGGGUGGGGGGGAUCCAACUCUCAAAGACAAUUUCCAUCCCUCCUUUAUAGGGGUGUAUGCCAGACCUGUCACUUUCUGGGCCUGAAUGUUUUUGGACUGGUCAGGACUUGCAGUGUCUCUGAUACCUGUGUGGUUGCCAUUAUCUCCAGCAUUUCCAGUGCUGCCGUAUUUGGGUGCAGUUUGCACUGGCCUCUCAUGCAUGUGCCGCUGUCCACCUUGACUCCCAGCUUUCUUUCCAUUAUAAUCAUUACUUCCUCUCUUCUCAUGCACUCACACCUCCCUAAGGACUCUGGCUGUCAAAGCUGGGAGAGUGGUUCUGUAACAAAAGAGCCAACCCUAUCAGGUAGCCUAGUAGCCUGGUCUGUCCUGUUCCUUUCUGCCUGUAGCUUCCGCCAACUGAUGUGUCACUUAGGGCCAAGGCUGAGAUAUUUCCACUGGGCUUAUGGUGGUCUCCUUGGGAGUAGGGAAACAGCCAGCUGAAUUAAAAAUCUCUUGCUUGGCAAAUUCAGUCUGCUCUCCCCAACAAUUAACAACCAGUAGCAUAUUCCAAGCAUGGGAGGACAACCAGCCAUUGAGUUUGAUCAGAAACCAGUACAGUGGUACCUCAGGUUAAGAACUUAAUUCAUUUUGGAGGUCUGUUCUUAACCUGAAACUGUUCUUAACCUGAGGUACCACUUUAGCUAAUGGGGCCUCCCACUGCUGCCAUGCCACUGCUGCUGCGCGAUUUCUGUUCUCAUCCUGAAGCAAAGUUCUUAACCUGCGGUAAUAUUUCUGGGUUAGUGGAGUCUGUAACCUGAAGCGUCUGUAACCUGAAGUGUCUGUAACCCGAGGUCCCACUGUACAGCCAGAAAUCCAAUUCAGCCAUUUCUUCAAAAAGAGUAUGUGUAGGAAAGAAGAGGCAGAGGAACGGCAACUAUGCUGAUCAAAACUGAAACAGACAGAACACUAUACCAUAAUAUUGGUCUAAUUGUUCCUAUGACAUGGUGUCUGUGUUGAAUUUUGGAAGUCCUGUGUUCCUCACCCUUGUUGAGCCCACCUGCAUCCUAAACAGGAGAUGCCUCCCCUCUUCCUCCUCUCUCAUCCUCCCUUCCCCAAGUUUGCAUUUCUUAGGGAGACCACACUUGGUUUGCGCAACAGAGAGGACCCACCAAGAAGCUGAUGUUCCAGGGUUCUGGGUGCUGCCACUGAUUUGUCAAAGUAUACAGGACAGGAGAGGUUUUCUCAGCAGAGCUGCCUGCAAAUGGUUGUUUGUAUUUUUGCUGGGCGGUAGAGGAAAGUAGUAGAAGGCAAAUGCAAAGAAUUAUUUGGUCUAUUUCAGUCAUAUAUUUAUUUGCAUAUCAAUAGACCACUUCUAAACAGAAACAUAUCAAGACAGGACACAUAAAAAUUGAACAUCACAAUAAGAUCAAAUACUUGUUGGUAAAGGAAUUAUUGCUGCUGAAGCUUUACUGGCAGGGAGUUCCACUGGACAGGGUCUGCUACCCCAAAGGCUCAAUCCUUAGUGAUUGUCCAUUUGUCUUUGCAUGUUGCUCCAGCCACUUUUGCCUCUGCCCCACUGGCCUGUGGCCCCACAGGAGGUUGUUCAGGAUGGAAUGUGGCCCUUGGAUUGUAAAAAAGAUUCCCCACUCUGGUUUAAGUGGACCAUGGGUGCUGCUGCUGCGGGAAUAAGAAAAGUCCCCCACCCCACCCUAUCCAUGUGUGUGUGUUGGGGAAGUGAGUGUAGAGUGGGAGAACAAGUGAUUCACCCCUUAAACCACUUUAAAUGCAAGUGGUUGGAUGCUGAUAUUUUCAAGGCCCACCUCUCUUGGAGAACAGGAGGAGGAACCUAAAGUGUCUCUCCUGCCCAUAUCCCUGCUCAGAAAAGAAGACUUUGAAAAAUAGAGAGAGGCAAUGGUUCAUGUUCUCAAACGCGGAUACCAAACUGAUAAUCUGCCCUCCCAGUGUUGUGCUGGCUGGCUGUUUCAAUCUGUAUUCCUUUUACUACCUCAAAUACCAGAGCAGAGGUGGAUAUCACAAUAGUUGCAAAAAGUGGGAACACCUCAAUUUUGUUCAUUUCCUUGCUUUUUGGCAUUUAAAUUGCCUUCACAUCUCUGCACCUAAUGGGGGUUUCUUUUGCCAUUGAAUGUGAUUGUUUGAAUAUGUGCGGAGCUGACAGUGGAGUCAGUGAAGUGAGGCUUCCCUUCCUGCAGUCAGAAAUUGCAAUCAGGGGUGAUGGACUGGGUCAGAAAUGAAUCUGUAUGUGUCACUGAACUGUCAGCUGUCAGCCCAAAUUCCCGUCUUUCCAUUAACCUAUGCAAUGCUGUGAACGUGGAUAUCUUUUUCUUCAUCCCAGAAGCAUCAUUAUAGAGCUGUUCAGUACAAACAAGCCACACACACACACACACACCUCAUUUUUAUCAUCGACAUCAGCCUGCUUACUCUGAAACUGGCCCUACUUUCUUAAUUCAGUUCAUUAAAGAAAGAGAGAGAAAGAAAUUAUCAGCAUCUUAUUUUAUGCAGCAAAUACAUUUUUGCUCUUGUUUUAAGGAUGCUGAGAAUCUGGAACAAAGUAUAUGGAGGGCUAAAAGAAAAUGUAAGGCAUUCAUUUAAAGAUUAAAUUACUCCAUACCGUUUUAUGGCUUUCCUAUUAAAACGAUUCCGCCCUGGAUCACUUUAUUAAAACAAAAAUAGCACAGCAUUUAAGCUUUCGGUUUCAGGCAUCUAGCAUUUCCGCUUGCAUCCACCCUCCCCUCUUGGACUUCUUUGAAAGCAGCAAAGAAGCAGAAUGGUACAAGAUUCUGUUUAGUGCAGGGGUGGGCAGCAUUUUGUCCCAAGGGCCACAGUGGUACAUAGUGGUGGGCAGAUGGUUGGGGGCCGCAUGCCCAGGAGUAGGCACUGUGUGUCCUCCCCAUCUUUUUAGGGAUGGGCACCUGAGAGCCCAUCUUUCUCAUUUCCACGUGGAUCUUUUUAAGGAUAAUUUUAGUCAAUCUUUAAAAAUCCACAUGGAAAACAUGUGAAUUAAAUAUGUUUUAAAAUGCAAACUAAGCCACAUAUCUAUGUUCCAUUCCAAGUACUGGUUCAAGGGUUAUGACCCAGGGUACAGUAGCUCCGAAAUUUCAGAGUGAACAAAAUCCUCCACCAUCCCCACAUCCUUCCCCACAACCUCUCCGCUGCUCAUUCAUUGGCUCACACACAUGGAUACCACCUCCUGCUCACACAUACAUAGAUACACAUGUGCACACAUGCACACCAUUCCCCACUAUUUGUCUUUCAAAGCUGACAUCACACCAUCAAUCCUCAGCUGCAUCAGGGUUUCUCAGGAGUGCAGACUUUCGCAUAAAAAACAUAAGCAUACUCACCAACGGCACCAAAUGCAGCACUAGCAACCCUGCUGUGUGCUGCGCUUGCAAUAACUAGCUGUAAUGCCCCAUGGGUUAGCAUGCCAUGUUCCUGAAGUAUCUUCUUUAUUUGUAAGGACUGUUAAAUACCUUGUCACUACUCUGUACACCAACCCAGGGUGCAUAUUUUGAUCUGGAUAAAUGUAUCUGAGCUCAGUGACAUGCACAUUACUAGUGCUAUAUAAAUAACAACAAUAAUGAAUUAAAAUGUACUGGGCUGCCCAGCCUGUAAGCUUUGUACCUGAAGAAGCAAUCUAUAUUUAAUCACAUUAAUCUUACAUAUUUUGAAACCUUAGGUGUUUAGUGGGAUAUAGGUGGCUUUGAGUGUGAAAUAAAUGCAAUUCUAAAGAUGUUUUCUUCAGUGCAAUUCCAUUAGCACACAUCCUUUGGCUCAUGAAGCCCUUUCUUGGAUGGAGCCUAGAUUAUCUUUGCUGUCUGAGUUCCUGGCUAAAAUCAAUGAGAUCAAGUCCCAUAAAAGUCCUUUCAACUUACAAGUUGGGUUAGCAAAUAAUGGAAGGAACCCAUAAUUGCAGAAGACAAAUGUUUGCAUUAUGAACUCUGAAUUGGUAGCUCAGAGAAGGCAGCCAGCUGGCUACAAGGGUGGUAACUGGUGGUCCUCCAAAGGUUGCAGUGGCAGGCAGUGUUCCCAGCACAGCAGCUACUAUAAAUUAAGAUGCAGUAGUCACGUGGUUUUCUAGCCAGCUUCAUGCUGAGCUCAGCAUGGAAGAGGGAAAUGGAGAGAAUCCUGUGUAGUUGCUGAGCAACUAUGCAAAAACAGUUGCUUCCGUGCUUUUCCUAUUAUUUCCUCUUUUCCAACUUAAACUGUGAUUUUACUGACAGCAAGCAUGAACUUGCCUGGGAAGUUAUGCUUAAUGUUUCAUUAAAAAUGGCUGUUGGUUUGGCAACCUCAUUAGGGGCAUUGCUCCUCCCCACACUAUCCACUCCAAGAGCACCAUUGUUUUGUACUAAGGUGAGGUGGAGUGAGUGGAAGGUUGUGAAAUGUCAGGAAGUGAAGAAGAUGAUCCAUUGAUUCAGUAUUUGGCUCCAGAUUGGCCAGGCUAACUGAAAGCCAUGGAUCAUGCAGAAGUCAGUUUCAUUCUGUGCACAGAUCAUAAAGAGAUGAGACACUGAUAUUUAUGUUAGUGCAGGAUUACUUGUACAUCGUUGCAAACUGCAGGUGAUGUACUAUUUCCUUUCUUUCUCUUUUUAGAAGGUUGCUUCUGUUUAUGGAACAUUCAUCCUGAUUUGUUUGCACAAAGUUUGCAGGGAGGUUAUACCAUGUCGGCUGUGUAUCAAGGGUUCAUUCCGAUGUGUUUGUGGGGAGGUUGAGUGGUGUUGUGUCAAGCAAUUGUUAGCCAACACUUUCCACUGCACUUUUCCAUACUGCUGCAAGUCUGGGGUGGGCUUUGGCAGUGGAGCUCUUGCACUAGAGUGCCACAUCCACUUCAACUGUGAAAAUUAAAUUUGCCAGUAUGCACGUGAAUCCCGCCUGGAAAAAUAGCAACAGCUUGAGAGUACCUAAAAGACAUGUCUUCGGCAGCAGAGAACAAAGGCUGGUGUGCCAUUUUUGAGGCUAACAGGUUUGUUGUGGUGUGAGCGUUCAUAAACACAACCACUCCAUCCAUCUGGAAAACAGACUGUAACCUAUGAAAGCUCCUGAUGCAAUAAAUCAGUCAGUCACCAGGGUGCUACAGCCUUUUAAUUUUUUUUGUCUUUUGUUGCUAGAUUAUAUUUCAUUAAAAGGCAUUUGACUGUCAAGCCUGACCCACAGAUUUAUCAUCCUUCAUCAGCCCAUGUUUUUGCUAUUCCAAGCAGGUUUGUUACUGUUUGCAAAGUUGGGAGUGUACAAACAUUGACUGAUGCAUAUAGAAACCAAGUAACUGCAGUGCUGCAAUGUUACAUUUUAAUUGGACUAUUGUAUAGCUUAGGGGAUGAGCCGCAAGAGAGUAGCCAAUUACUCUGUAUAUCUGUCUGAAAGCCUUUCCAUUAUAGAAUGCUGAUUGAGAUUAUAUAGCUCUAUAUUGUUCCAUGUUAUUGAUUUCUACACCCUCUCCCUCCCACACACGUGAAUGGUCUCGUUAAUUGACAAUUACCUUUUCCCUGUGCUUGAGAAAAUUGACGUGAGCAAGCCGAGGUGUUAAGUUUAAUUUGGACCAGGCAUCUUCACGUCUGUUUAAUCUUUAACAAGAUCCAUUAGAUUUCCUGCUUUUAAUUUGACAUGGGCCAUAAAUGCAUCAUGGCAGGGAAGCUGUGACCCAUUCAGUGUGAGAAGUGGAAGAUCUAUGCAGAAAUAAUGGGCUAUAUCUGUGGUUGGGGUUUUUUGGCUCUUUUGUUAUGACUGGCGGACGGAAUCAGCAGGCAGAGCAUUAGCUGUUAAGUAGGGUUUCGGUCUGUUAGGUGGCCUCCGUUCUUGCCUUACACGAAGAACGCACAUCAGUGGCUCCUCAUCACAGCGGAGGGAGGUUUUGACCAGGUUCCUGCACUGGAUAUGGCAUUCUUCAACAUUGUUAUUAAUGACUUGGAUCGGGGUGGGCAACCUUCAGGCUUUGGCUUCCUCUCAUGUGUCCCUUUGUAUUAAUUUCACGCCAGCGGCAAUCGGAGGGAGAUGGGGAGAAGAGGUGGCAGGAAGGGAGAGGAAAAUGGGAACCAUCGUUGAAGGGGUGGUGGGAAUCCAGAUUUGCAGUUAACAGAAAAGCGGGAGGCAUAGCUAACACCUCAGAAAACAUGAAUAAAAUUGGGGAAGGGCCACAGCUCUGCCACAGGCCAGGGCUAAAUGUCAUGUGUUUAAGCCAUGAGUAAGAGCAGUUCAACAGUGGAAGUGAUUAUGUCGGGAGAGGAGUGGACUUUCUCUUGCUAGAGUUCUUCAGGCAGAGGCCAGACUGCCAUCUGUUGGGGUGUCUCAAGCUCUGGAUUUCCUGCAUUGAGCAUGGGAUGGACUGAAUGGCAUACAAGGCUCCCAAUCACCCUGCAAAUUUAUCAUUUUCAGCUGCAGCACUCUUGAACAUUGGGCACCUCAUCUAGUGUUCUGUCAUGUUUUUGCACAGCUGUAUCCAUAUUCUCAGGCAGCCCUUCCUUUUGCACAGAAGAACCCAGGCCGCUCUAGCCUGUGAGCCACUGAGUUUGGGAAAUUGCUGGUCUUAUUCCUAACACUAUUUCCCAUAUAAAUUCCAUAUAUAAGUUCAGUAUGUUGCCAGACCACAUUACAGCCCUAUUUUCUGUACUCACAGCUGCUGCUGCUGCUGUUGCUUCUAUUCCUCCAUCAGGCCAGGCAAUCACUGCAGUGAUAGCCAACCUUUUAAGACUUGAUUUGUGAGACACUUCCCAAAACAUGAGAUGCUGCUAUUUUGAGGAUGGCAAAGUACAUCUGCAGCUGGACCUCCUCACUGUGUCUCUUUCUUGCUGUAUUUCUGGCUGAGGAGGGCAUCCAGUCUCCAGUUCGGCACUGCUUUUUCAGUUAAAGCCGACCUACUCUUCGGUGCUUGAAUUAUUGAGGGAAGACAGAGGGUGCUUAGCUGACCCCCUGACUUUUUGUGAUACUGCCCUUUGCUUCCAUUUUGGGAAUGCUUUAAGGGGUUCCUAUGAUUGGUUAAAAUUGAGGGGAUGGGGCGGCUUUUUGGAUAUCAUUAAGGGCUCUUUCCCCUUCUCAUGAUAGCAUGACUGUUUCAGGGAGUCAGUCAACUGACCUUCCUCUUCCUGUCCAGGUUCGCCCUGUGCCAUCAGUCGUUUUCCAUUUCUUCCUUUCCUGCCAAAGGAGUCUUAUGACCCUUUGAGGGGGGAAAAUACACUUUCCCCCUACCACCUUCUUAACCUACUUCCCAUUUUGGAAUCAAAUCUACAUAGUCAAUCAAAUUGUUCUUCGCAUAUGAAGCGUAACUGAAACCUUUUUGAUUGGCUCUAAAUCACAUGGUUUUGUAAAGUCUUCCUAAACUAAAUCUCAGCAGGACUUUGUGUUUAAUGAAAUAAUGUUUUGCCUCUGCCUACAGCAGAGAAGCUUUGAGUCUUCCCCCAUCUGCCUAUAGGAUUACUGAGCACCACCUGCUGCAAAGACAGACCCCGGCUCAUUUUAUCUGACUGAAGAAACAGUUCCGUGCUCCUUUAAUCAAGCCCUAAUAUUAGAAAAUAUAUUGUGCCCAUGGGAACUAGAUCCCUGCGGCUCUUUAUUGAUCUUCCGGGCAGAUUGUAUUGCCAAUCAUCUUACGCUGUAACGAUGGAAGGAUCCGAAUGCACCAGCCAAUGGAGGGGGUGCUGAAAAAGGAUGGGCAAUUGAAAGAGGAAUAUAGAAGACUAGAGGGAGGGGAGAAUGGGCACUUUAGUAGAGGUUUGGUCACAUUCCUCAAUGGCUGUGAUUGGAGGAUAUUUCAGUUAGUUUUGGGUCACUCCUCUCCCCCCACCCAUUUUGUCCCUUUAGCUGCACGUUUAUUUUAUUGGUUGUGGGUCAUAUGCCAGAUAAAAAUUGCAUAUCUUGAGCUCUAAGCAGUCAGCUCUAAAUUUGGCAUGUCUAGAAGGAAAGUGGGUGUUUGAAGGUACGACACCUGGAUGCUAGAAAAGUAUGGAAAAGCAAUUAAACAUGUUUUUUGUUACAAUAUUUAGGUGGAUAUGUGGUGAUGCUGAAUAGUCUGUUCAGCAUAUCAUCUCAUCCAGGAAUUCUUCCAGCUGUAUGCAGACAUUUGGGGUGACCUUGUGUGAGUUUACAGUGGGGAGGGGCACACAUGCAACCCCACAUGUGUUAGCUCUGCUUGAGAUCUGAAGGUGGCUGGCCUCAAAGUGCCUUCAGUUAAUCAAACUUUGAGGCUUCCUGUGGCAUGGCAGAGAGCCAGACUUUUUUUUUUAAAGUUACUCGAACUUCGUUUUAGCUUUCAAAAAUUGCAUGGCCCUAAUGGCAUUCCACAGCACCCUCCCAGGUUGUAUUGCUUGCUGGGGUGUCAGGGAAGCUGUGGAGCAUCACAGAGUGGCAUGAAUGUGUGCUUUUUAAGAGUUGUGCUGGCCCUCCAAGUCUCUAUCUGGCCCUUGAGCCUCUCUCUCAAGCCACUCUCUUCCCCCCCUCCCAAGCCACACCACUUACCUUGUUUCGCAACCAUCCUGAGUGUUUUUGUCUGGCUGGAAUGUUCCUUUGCAUUCAGAUGAUGACUCUGGCUUGCCUGGACAGAGAGCAGAGAGGGUUGUGUAGAAAAAACAGCCUUGCGGUAGAAAGGCAAACUUUACAUUUGUUGCUCCUUUCACUUUUGCAUCUGACUGCUCCAUCACUGGUAUGUGGUCCCAGAAAGGUGCCCAGAGGGUAAUUUAGGGGAAGGGCCUGUUAAGUUGUGGGUGAACAUAUCAGACGACACAGCGAUACCUCAAACAGCUCUUGUUUAUUCACAGGCCAGAACAGAACUGAACUGAAAGGUUCAGCCAGCCUGCUUAUAUAGAGCUCCACUAGAACGCAACAGUAACCAUUUUCUGUAACUAUCCAAUCACUGAAUGUCACUUUCAAUCUCUUAUUUGCAUAUGUGGACCUGAGUGAAAACCAUCUACAGUAUCCCCCUGCUGGCCCAGGGUGAGAACUUCAGUACAUAACAGGGCCCUAGCUCAGUGGUAGAGCACUUGCCUUGUAUGCAGAGGGUACCAGGGUCAAUCCAUAGCAUCUUCAGGUAGGGCUAAGAAGGACUCCUGCCUGAAACCCUGGAGAGCUGCUGCCUGUCAGUGUAGACAGUACUGAGCUAUGUGGACCGAUGUUCUGACUUGGGAUAAGGCAGCUUCCUGUGUGUUCCCAUGUUCCCUUGGCCUGAAAAAAGUUUUAUCCCCCCCAGCUGCCUUGUACGUUUAACGUUAAGGUACGUAUGCACUGGCUCCGCGCCUUGAAAUUAUUUAGGAGAAUAACACCUUGCUCACCUCUUGAGGGGGGGUUUUCACCCUUAACCCCCACAAAUGGCCCCAAAUCAACAUUUCUAAAUGAUCAGAACAGCCAUAAAUCAGAUUAUUAAGCAGAUUAGGCCCAAGCCUAGAAGGUUUCCCAGUGAUGACCUAUUCUUUAAGGAAUCUCCAAGAGAAAGGGGUUUCAUUUUAUUUCUUUGAGAAAAUGUCAGAUAAGGUUCACCGUUAAGUGCAAAGAAGUGUGCACUGUGAAGGCACACAGUGUGCAUAACCAAUCAGUUAUCGCUGCUCAAGAAUAAUAUCUCUCUGAUCAUUAUGGCUUCUUUUUCUGAAAAUACCAGUUUAUUGUUCCUACAGUCAUUUGAAGAGCAAAUAGGGUGUUGGAAAUAUUAGGGGGAAACCUUUCUGUUUUACCAAGCUAAAAAAUCAUCACUUAAAGGGGUAGAAAGCAUAAAAAUACCUUAAGAACUUUGUAGAAAUUAUAACCUGAGCACUGUGUAUAUACAAUCUCCAGAAAGAUAUCCAGGAACUGCAAAAACCUAGGAUCAACAUAAGUAGUGUGGGGAACUGUACACUGAAAUAAAAUAACACAUUAAAAUAUGCUCCCUUUUUAGAUGGAAAAAGACAUCAAAGAAGGGGUAAGUUCAUAGUAAAUGCAAAUGUACUUUGAGGACAAAACAAGCAGCAAACUAUUGCACCAUGUAAUGCUAGAGUAUAUCCUGUAAAACUUAAUUUUAUUUAUAUUUUUAACGUGCUCAUCCCACAGUUUUUGAUAGGUCACUACAUUUAUAAAACCAAAGUAAUAAAAAAAUUGCCUGAGCUAUAAAAACACCCAGAGUAAAACUCUGCCGUAUCAGAGAGAUUAAGAUCUUUGCUAAAAUCCUUCCAGCACCAGCUUAAUUCCAGUAAAAGCAAUCCUGAGGUAUAAUAAUAACCUUUACACACUCGAUUCCUGGAGUUGGCAUUUAAAAUCCGGCAGGUCUGUCAUUUUUAGUCAUUGUCAUAGGCUGAAUUGAUGUGGGGCCUGAGGCCUUCAACUGCAGGAUUUGUCUGGCGCAUGAAGAAUCUCAUUACCGCAGACUGAACUCGCUCUGUAGGGUGUAGAGAGGGCCUGAUGACUCACCGAGGGUUAACUCCUGCACCCUGUAAGUCAGUGUCAUUUGGGUGCUUAAUGGCGACGCUUCAGCCACUGUUCACAUUCAAUCAUGUACUUGAACACUGGCGAAUGAGGAUGGUGACUCAUGUCUUGAUUACUGAUGUCCCUCUCCCUUCCCUUCCUCUGCAUUCAUGGAUCUUACAUGGUGUCUUAACGAGCAAUUACUGAAGAGGUCUGGGUGCAAAAACCUGGUGAUGAUACCGAGAAGAAAAUGAAACGUGCCUGUUCAUCCCUUUACGUACGAAUUCUUUCUUUCUUUUUUAUAAAGCUGUUGUGUGUAUACACUCCAUUUCCAGAAAGCCUUGAAAAGGAAUUGGAACACCUCUAGCCCUUGGAGAGGGGUGAUGGGUUGUAGAAUAUAUAUAUAUAGGCUCAUGCAUUCAAGCCACGAAUGAAGAACAUAUAGGUGACAGUAAUUAAAUGGUGGCAGUAGAUGUGUCUCACUAUCAGACAUUUCUCCAGGCCCUUCUGCCCUUCUUAUAAGAAUGUAGCAUUAUGUGAAUAGCUCAUGAUUGAUUAUCAUCUGAAUCCUGAGAAUGCACUCCUGAUAGCGUGCUCAGUAGCUUAGCUCCCCUGUUAAUGGGAUAUGGUAUUUGAAUUCUCCCAUUAUUUAUCCCAUAUAGAACAGGCUGAUUUUAGGAUAAGGUUGGUGGUUUGAGAAUGAAAAGGCCUACUGUGAAAUCAUAAUUUAUGCUUGUGGCAUUGUGAGAAAGGAUCACAUUGAAAGGACGGCUAUAGGAAUACAUGACUGGCGAAGUCUAAAGUUCAGCCGAUUGCAGUAAUUUAAUUACAAAGCUUUGUGCUCACUUGGUGCCUUUUCAGAAUAAUGAAGUAGUUUUGCAACUUCUGAAGGGUUUCCUACCAGACAAAUUAACUGCUUACCCUGAUACACCGAGCGAUGAAAAGCUUUCUGCAAGCACAUUUGGUGAACUAUGGCUAAAAUCAGGAGUUUGAUCCAAAUGUGAAAGGAACGAACAGUCAACAUUUACUGAAAUUAUACCUGCUGAAGUUGGACAUAACAGCCCUAAGUUACCCCACACACAACCGCAGGAAAAAAUCCACUAAGCUUUGUCUGAUUUUGGCUUUUUGUGUCAUUUUUUUACAAGUCUAUUUGAGGUAUCUAGCAUUUGCCACAAUUAGAUUGUAGGUGAAAUGGGCCAUGAGUCUGAACUCCUGCCUAUAAUUCCUGUCCACUCCAUGUGUACUAAUGCAAUAUCACAUAUAUACAUGUGUCAGGGAACUGCCAUCAGACGGAAGGGAGGUGAAAGGGCUCACACAGGUUGGGAGAGACGCAGCAGCUGAAGAGGGAACCAGCAGGGAGGUGAAAGGGCUCACACAGGUUGGGAGAGACGCAGCAGCUGAAGAGGGAACCAGCAGGGAGGUGAAAGGGCUCACACAGGUUGGGAGAGACGCAGCAGCUGAAGAGGGAACCAGCAGGGGAGAGGAGCUGAGCUGGAGGGAUGGCUCAGAGACACUUCCAGCGAAAACAGUGGGGAGGUUUCAGGACCUCCUGUAAGAACACCCACUCCUCGCCGGAAACUGUCACGCAGAGAUUCCAGAAGACGUGUUUCCGUUAAGGAGCUUUUAUGUUGGAAGCGAUUACGAAAGCAACCACUGUCGGAAUCUGCUAGUGACUAGAGUAGCCAUGUCUGAGGGGCUCCGUCACAGACAGAGGUUUGUGGACUUGAACAAACUCUGAGGGGAUACGAUUUUACGCACAAGCAGCUCAUCAUCCCAUCACAGCAUUCCGACAGUCUUUGAAAGCAGCUUGUGCAGGAGAAGGCAUCAUGAGCAACCCAGCCGGAACCGGAGAAGCAGGAGCUGGAGCGGGUCCAAGCCUGGAAGAAAGGUACCAGAUGUUGGAGGUCCAGCUGGCGAUGCAGGCGGCGAGGCUUGAGGAGAGGAGGGCUCAGGAUGCAGACAAAAGGGAAAGCCACCCAGUUCGCCAGAAAGGUACCAGGAUUGGUGCAGAAGUUUGGGAGGCCAAAAACUAUCAUGGCUUUCGGACAGAAAUGCAAUAUGCCCUCAAUCUGCAGUUUGAUGAAUUCCCUGACGAGGAAUCACGAGUGGCUUUCGUGAUUGAGCAUCUUGAAAAGGGGGCGAGAGACUGGGUUAGACCCCUGAUGGCAGCAAAUAGUGACGUCUUAAAGGACACGAUGAAGUUCUUUCGCGCCAUGGAUCUGAUGUUUUCCAGCGAUAUUGAAAAGGGAGUGGUGCGCAGACAGUUAAUGGGUUGCAAACAGGGAGCCGAUCUGUCCGUGAGUACUGGACUGAGUUCACCAUGCUUGUUCACAGAUUGGGGUGGGACUUAUCGGCGGAACCCAUUCAAAUGCUCUUUGAAGAAGGGCUUUCUUCGGCUGUGAAAGACGAACUUUCCCGGGCGCCCAGGGCGGAGUCUAUGGACCAGCUGACCAAAUCAGCGCUGGCCAUAGGAGCGCGCCAGGAGGCGAGAGCAUUGAGAGGCGGGACGGGCAAGGGAACGUUGGAAGGAGUUCCGCAUUCCAGACAUUCCAGAGCCAACUUUCCCACCGGCAGAGCCGAUGGAAAUCGGAACAGCGCGCGCGCCGCAGUUUCAAAGCCCAGUGAGGGGGCAAAGAAGGAGGGAAAAGGCGCCCGGAAAUGCUAUCUCUGCCAACAGCCAGGUCACUUUGCCAGAGUCUGCCCCCAGAGGAAAGAAUGGCAAGGGAUGGUAGGAGCUGUGGAUGGAAGGGAGGAAGAAAUACCGGAGCAAGUAAUAGCCAACGCCUGGCUGCCACUGUCAGGGCACAGCAGCCAGGCCAAAGAGCAGUGAGAGUGCCCACGCCAGAACCUCCUAAACCCGCCCUAGUGAUAGAAGUGACGCUAGAGCUGCCCACCGGACACCCUCUAACGAUAAAGGCGCUGUUGGACUCAGGCAGCUCCUGCAAUUUCAUGAGCAAAGAGUUUGCAGCUGAACACCAGAUACAGACAAUCCUUUAAGCAGCCCCCUGCAGGUGACCACGAUCGAUGGCAGGGAGCUGUUGGGUGGAGAAGUCAGCUUGCAGACCGUCCCAAUGAUAAUGAAGGUAGCAAGGCACACCGAACUGAUAGCUUUUAAUGUGGCCACCUUGGGAGGAGCUCCCAUUAUAUUGGGGAUGAGCUGGCUAGCGUUACAUGAUCCGCUGGUGGGCUGGCAUCAGAGAGUGGUUUCUUUUGGUUCAGCACAUUGCUUAGAACACUGCAAAGAGGAAAGGGUUUGGCAGGGGUCCAAGCCACCCUAGCAGGGACUGAAGUAACAGAGAACGUGAAGGUACCACGACAAUAUGCAGAUCUCCGUGACGUCUUCAGCGAAAGGGAAGCUGACCAACUACCCCCGCAUAGACCCUUUGACUGUCAAAUCAACUUACUCCCUGGAGCACAGCUCCCUGUAGGCAAGCUGUACGCCAUGUCAGACAGAGAGAUGCAGGAGUUAAGAGAGUUCAUUGACAAGAACCUGAAGAGAGGGUUCAUCAGAGAGUCCAGGGCGGUGGGGGCAGCCCAGUGUUUUUGUGGAUAAGAAAAACACGAACAAGCCGAGGCUGGUGUGUGACUUCAGGGCCUUAAAUGCAGUGUCAGAACCAGUAGCCUUCCCUAUGCCCAGGAUUGACGACAUUUUGACAAGGGUGCGGAAGGGAAGAUUUUCACAAAGCUGGACCUAAGGGGGGCGUACAACCUGGUACGAAUAAGGAAGGGGGAUGAAUGGAAAACCACUAUGUUCACCCCUUUAGGGGCAUUUGAAUAUUUGGUUAUGCCCUUCGGCCUACAAGCAGGCUCCGCAACAUUUCAAUCGUUUAUGAACCACGUCCUGGGGCCUUUGCUUUACAAGAAUUGUGUGGCCUUUUUAGACGACGUGUUGGUGUAUUCUGAGAAUGAGGAGCAGCAUGUGAGAGACGUCAGAGAAGUGUUGAGCAGGCUGCAAGCCAACCAGCUGUGGGUGAAACUGGAGAAGUGUCAGUUUCAUACCAAGGAGGUGGAAUUCCUGGGGUAUCGCCUGUCAGACAAGGGAUUGGCCAUGGAUCCCGGCAAGGUCCAGGCGGUGCUGGAAUGGAAAACACCCAAAACAAAGAAGGAUGUGCAGAGGUUCCUAGGAUUUGGGAACUUCUAUCGUAAGUUCAUCCGAAACUUUGCCCACCUGACGGCGCCCAUUACGGACUGUCUCAGCAGUAAGAAGAAGUUCGUGUGGACUGAGGAGGCGGAGCGAGCAUUUGAGGAACUAAAAGGGCCUUCGCCUCGGAACAACAACUCCUGCAUGUGGAUUUACAAAAACCGAUGAGAGUGGAAACUGACGCAUCAGACAGAGCGGUUGGGGCGGUGCUUCUGCAGCCAGGCAAGAAGGGGUCAGAGUGGAGACCGUGUGCCUUUUUUUCGCGAAAGCUGAACAAAUCCGAGAGGAACUACACGGUGUAUGACCGAGAACUACUAGCCAUUCAUGAGGCGUUCCGGAGAUGGAGGCACCUGCUAAUUGGCGCACAACAUAAGGUGCAAGUGUGCACUGACCACAAGAACCUAGAGUAUUGGAGGACGGCACGAGUGCUCAACCAACGGCAAGUGAGAUGGGCCCAGGAGUUCUCCAAAUUUAACUUUGAGAUUAGUUACGUGCCAGGCCCAGAGAACAUUAGGGCGGACGCUCUCUCACGCAAACCUGAAUAUUUGGAGGAGGGGGCACCGAAGAGAGACAUGUCAUUCCAGAGGACCGCUGGGUGUGUGGGGCGGCAUUGGUGGGACAAAGAGAACUGGUAGAGGAAACAGAGAAUGAUGAAUACGCCCAGAAUAAGCUCAGAGGUCUUAGGGGUGAUGGAGAGGAACCAGGGGUUUCGAGGAAAGAAAUGGAGCUUUGUAUUACAAAGGGGCACUGUAUAUCCCUGAAGGAGAGUUAAGGGGAGGGUACUCAAGCAGUUGCACGACAGCCCUACGGCGGGGCAUUUUGGACAACACAAAACCAUGUGGUUGGUCACCAGGGAAUUUUGGUGGCCUAAGGUGAGGGAAGAUGUACGUGAGUAUGUAAGAGGGUGCGAGCAAUGUCAGCGAGCCAAAGGGGAAGGCGGGCGCCGGCGGGGCUGUUAGGAACCCUUACCAACCCCAGAACGACCUUGGGAGGCAGUGUCGAUAGAUUUUAUGACUGAUCUGCCGAAGUCCAAAGGGAAAACAGCCAUCAUGGUGGUGGUAGACCUACUAACAAAGAUGUGCCACUUUGUAGCUUGCUCGCAUGCAGUCACGGCGGAAGAGACAGCGAAGUUAUUUGUAGAAAACAUUUUUAGGUUGCACGGGGUGCCAUUGAGGGUGGUCUCAGACCGAGGAAAACAAUUUACUUCCAGGUUCUGGAGGAAGCUCAUGAGCUUACUGCAGGUGGAGGUCAAUUUUUCGACUGCCCGGCACCCUGAGAACCAACGGGCAGGCGGAAAGAGCAAACGGUGUCCUCCAGCAAUACCUGAGGUGUUAUGUCAAUGACAGAGAGAAUGACUGGGUAGAAAAGUUGGCGCUGGCGGAAUUUGCCUACAACAAUGCCGAGAAUGUGUCCACAGGGAUGAGCCCCUUCUUGGCUAAUUAUGGGUGUCAUCCCAGGGCUUUCCCAGGGGAGAUGGGGAGAGAUGGAGCGUCCCGGCAGCCGAGCAUUUUGUGGAAGAAAUGGAAGCAAUCCAUCGUCAGCUCCAACUCAACUUAGAAAGGGCGAAGGAAGAAUACAAGAGGCAGGCAGACAAGAACCGAAGGGAAGGUGAAACCAUAAGGGUGGGAGAUAGGGUGUGGCUGUCAACCCAAGGGUUGCCGUUCAAAGGAGGUUGUAAGAAAUUAAGACCCAGGAGGUUGGGUCCCUUUGAGGUCAUUCAACAGGUCAACCCAGUGGCUUUCAGGCUCCGGUUACCCAACCACAUGAAACUGCACCCAGUAUUUCACAGGUCAUUACUGUCACCGUACGAAGGGGGACGAAGGGCUGGCCACUCGGGGACCGGUCGUAGAAGAAAGAGAAUGCAGCAGCCAUGUGGCAGAAAUCCUCGACGCCAGGUGGAAGGGGGAUCAGGUGGAGUAUUUGGUAGCGUGGGAAGGAGAACCGGAGUCAGAAAACACUUGGGUAAUGGCUGAAGAUAUCAAUGACGAGGUAUUGAUAGAAACGUUCCAUCAAAGGUUCCCAAGGAAACCUCAGCCUGUGGAGAGGUUCCGGAGGGAAUACUUUGGGACCACUGAUGAAGGGGAGGAGUUGGAAGGAUUCCUGGACUCGGAAGGGGAAGGGAGAUGGACUCUGAGGAGGAGGUGUACUUCGAGAACAGGAACCGCAACAGGUUGAGAGAAGUGUUCGAGACAUCGGAAGAUGAAGGAAGUUCAUUCCGGGGUUUGCCUCCUCACCGCCCGUAGAGGAGGGCGAGAGGGGGUGAAGGGGGCCCUGGAGGGGAGGUGGAUGUCAGGGAACUGCCAUCGGACGGAAGGGAGGUGAAAGGGCUCACACAGGUUGGGAGAGACGCAGCAGCUGAAGAGGGAACCAGCAGGGAGGUGAAAGGGCUCACACAGGUUGGGAGAGACGCAGCAGCUGAAGAGGGAACCAGCAGGGAGGUGAAAGGGCUCACACAGGUUGGGAGAGACGCAGCAGCUGAAGAGGGAACCAGCAGGGGGAGAGGAGCUGAGCUGGAGGGAUGGCUCAGAGACCCUUCCAGCGAAACAGUGGGGAGGUUUCAGGACCUCCUGUAAGAACACCCACGCCUCGCCGGAAACUGUCACGCAGAGAUUCCAGAAGACGUGUUUCCGUUAAGGAGCUUUUAUGUUGGAAGCGAUUACGAAGCAACCACUGUCGGAAUCUGCUAGUGACUAGAGUAGCCAUGUCUGAGGGGCUCCGUCACAGACAGAGGUUUGUGGACUUGAACAAACUCUGAGGGGAUACGAUUUUACGCACAAGCAGCUCAUCAUCCCAUCACAACAUGGAAAGUGGUUCAUGUUGUUCUCAAAGUGGUAUACUUUCCUAAAGUGAUGUAAUAACCCUGAGUUUCCCCUUAAGCUUUGAAGAAGGAAAAUGUUAGUGAAGGAAAGCAAUGGAAUACAGAAUGCAGCACAGGUUCAGUAAGAAGGGUGGGAUGGAAGAGGAGACACGUUGUGCCAGUUCCCUUGGUUUGGUUGUUGAUAUGGUGCUGCUUCUGCUAACCUGGUGCCCUUGAGAUGUUUUGGACUACAAAUUCCAUCAGCCCUAGCUGCCCCCCCCCCAAAAAAUUGUCCCUGUUUUUAAUAGAAACAGAAGAAGCUGCCUUAUUCUGAGUCAUACCGUUGUCCUACAUCAUCUUCUUCUUCUUUCGUGAUCACUCGUAGCCAAGUAAGUUUGUCUUCCAGGAACAUGGUCUUAACAGUGAGUUUGUAAGUGACUGUGGAGGCAAAUUCUGGAUACACACGUCCUUCCACAGUGGGGGACAUAGGUUUCCGGGCAGGAGUUGAUCAGUGAGGGUUUGCAAAAUGUGCCUUCCUCUUAGAUUGUUUCUCCUUUUUGGCCUGAGUUUGAGCGUCUUCAAAGUUCAUUACACCUAAAUUGUCUCAACCUUUUUUUAAAAAAUCUAUUACCGUAUUUUUCGUCCCAUAGGACGCACCUAAUUUUGGGGGGGGGAAUAAAGGGGGGGAAAUUUCCUUUAUUCCCCCCCCAAACCAGGUCGGGGAACAGCGGGAUGGCGGCGCUGCGCCUCCCUGCUGUCCCCCGAGCUUGUGGGGCUGGCCGAUGUCUGCCCAGCGCGCGGGGCGCUCUGCUUCAGGGUACUCUGCACGCCGGGCGGCAGGCUGCUAUCCGCAGUGUGGGGAGCCCUGUGGGAACUCCUGCAGGGCUCCCCACGCUGCGGAUGUCUGCCCGGUGCGCAGGGCGCUCUGCUUUAGGGCAUCCUGCGUGCCGGGCGGCAGGCUGCUAUCCGCAGCCUGGGGAGCCCUGCGAGAGUUCCCGCAGGCUCCCCAGGCUUGCUGAUAGCUUCCUGAAGCCUGGAGAGCGAGAGGGGUCGGUGCGCACCGACCCCUCUCGCUCUCCAAGCUUCAGCGAAAGCCUGUAUUCGCCCCAUAGGAUGCACACAGAUUUCCCCUUCAUUUUUGGAGGGGAAAAAGUGUGUCCUAUAGGGUGAAAAGUACGUUAUAUGUUUUUUAGAAACUGCAAGUUUUUACAAUACUCUUGAUAAUGUCUUCACCUGUUUGCAAUUUGUUUGUAGGUCUUGUUAUCUUGAUUUCUUAUUCUUCUGAUAAGUUUUGCCAUUUCUGCAUAUUCCAUUAAUUUCUGCAACCAUUCUUCUCUCGUUGGGACUGAUGCUGUCAAUUUACAGUGAGACCUUCUGCAUGCUACACAGGGUAGGGCCUGAACCAAUAGGUUCUUAUUACCAGAAAAGGGAUUUAGACUACUAUACCACUGAGGGACGCGGUUGGCACUGUGGGUUAAACCACUGAGCCUAGGGCUUGCUGAUUGGAAGGUCGGCGGUUCGAAUCCCCAUGACGGGGUGAGCUCCCGUUGUACGGUCCCAGCUCCUGCCCACCUAGCAGUUCAAAAGCACGUCAAAGUGCAAGUAGAUAAAUAGGUACCGCUCCAGCGGGAAGGUAAACGGUGUUUCCGAGAGCUGCUCUGGUUCACCAGAAGUGGCUUAGUCAUGCUGGCCACAUGACCCAGAAGCUGUCUGCGGACAAACGUCUGCUCCCUUGGCCUAUAGAGCAAGAUGAGCGCCACAACCCCAGAGUCGGCCACGACUGGACCUAACAGUCAGGGGUCCCUUUAUCUUUUUACCACUGAGUCAUGGACCUUCCACACCAGUUAUUCCUAGUUGGAGAUGUUCAUAAAGUAAAGGUAAAGGGACCCCUGACUGUUAGGUCCAGUCGCAGACGACUCUGGGGUUGUGGCGCUCAUCUCGCUUUAUUAGCUGAGGGAUCCGGUGCACAGCUUCCAUGUCAUGUGGCCAGCAUGUCUAAGCCGCUUCUGGAGAACCAGAGCACGAACCGCCGACAUUCUGAUCGGGAAGCCCCUUGCUCUGUGGUUUAGACCACAGCGCCACCCGCGUCCUGGAGAUGUUCAUAGUAUUGUUUAUUAGGGUUCACACCUUUUGUUGGGUGCCCCUUGCUCUGUUAGCUGGCUAUAUGAAUUUUACUGUGUACUUUUCCUCUUAAGUUGCUUGAGCUGGUCCCCCACCCACCCAAUUUUUAUCCCCACAACAAUCCUGUAAAGUAGAUUAGCCUGAGAGGUGGUGACUGGGUGGGGAUUUUAGCCUGGGUUUCCCUGUUCCUAGCCUGACACUCAGUGGUUCUCAAAGGGGGAGGUACCAGGUACCAGGGCGGGUGCUAAGAGGCAAGGGGGGGGGAGCUGAAGGUGUAAAUGACUGUCAGACUUUGAAAAGCUGGUAUCACUGGAUCAAGUGUAUCAGUUGUAUUGAAUGAAUUAAACUAAAUAGUCAUUAAUUGUUGCCAUUUUGAAUUUUAUUGUGCUAUUAUCUACUGUGCAAACCACUAUUUUGAAUAGUGCUUUUUAUAGGGGAGGGGGCACCUGGGGAUGAGUUUAUGGAACCAAGAGGGUGCUGACCCAAAAAAGUUUGGGAACCACUGCUCUAACUGAUAUACCACACUGGCUCGCAGAAGCUGGCUUCAGAGGCACUGGCACUCUGCCCGUUUUGGCAUUUGUUCCUUUUUCUGUUGUGCUUGAGUUUCCUUCAUUCUGUCUGCUGUGCUGCGUAAUGGGAUUCAUACUCAUGCAGCUUACAGAGGUGUUUUGUGUCUGUGUGUCUGUGUGUGUGCUUGUUUAUCUCCGACUCAAAAAAUAAAUAAAUUGUUAACAUGCAUGUUGUGCUGCGAUGGAGCUGCUGAUGGCAACUUCUCACAGUGACCUUUAGCACCACUGAGGCCAUUCAGCUUUGGAGCAUCCACAGUUUUCCAGCCCCGAUAACCUCCAACAACACAAUUUGAAACAUUGCUCUAAAGUUAACAACGUUGCAUCAUGGUGAACACACACACACACACACACACACAGAGAGAGAGAGAGAGAGAGAGAGAGAGAGAGAUUAGUUCACCUGUCUUCCCAAGUGAUGUGUAAAAUUUUUUGGAGAUACCAUUGAUGGAAUCUUUCAAGGAGUUGGAGAUAGUGUUUAUAAGUGGCCCAUGUUUCACAAGCGUACAGUAAAGUUGGUAUUACUUCAACACUGUUAAUGGGGCAACACCUUCUACUGUUCUUGAAGGCAGCAAACUAACUUAGGUGGCACAGAGCAGGCUAUGUAGGACAAACAACCCUGCCCCCCCCCAGCACCUCAGUGCCGUUCCCCCAGCAUUUGCUGCCUGAGGCACCUGCCUCACUCUGUCCAAUGGUAGGGCCAGCUUGGGGAAUACAACCCUUAACAGAACAAUGGCGAAGCGAUGCCAAAAGUUUUUGUUUUGACUUAACAAAUUUCAUUAUAGCACAAGCUUUCAUGGUAUAAAAUUUUAUUCAUCAGGCAUAUGGUGUGUGAUCCUCAAUCAUCAUUGGAGCUAAAGUAUGAAAGAUCAUGGGGAUGGUUAUCAAGCUGUGCAUAAGAAGAGGUGGAUAUAUGCAAAUGAGAUCAGUCUUGAUGCUCAGUGGCUGGAGUCACCAGGGCCAGGGAGAGACUCCAGCCCCCAUCUUAGUGGUCUCCCUAAAUACACCCCUUUACUUUUCCUCCAUAGAUGUGAAUUGCAGCCAUUUCACACAUCACUACUUGGCAAUGUAGUGCAAAGCUUUCCAUCACAAACACAAAUGCCCAGCAACUUGGAGGAUAAGACUAGCCAUGUUGGCUAUGUUCUACCUCCACUGUUGGAGGCAGCAGGCCUCUGAAUAUCAGUUCCUGGGAACCAAUGGAAGCCAGUGCUGUUGCUUUCAGGUCCUAGGCUUGUGGGCUUCCACAGGCAUCUGGCUGGGCACUGUGAAAACAGGAUGCUGACCUAGAUGGGCCUCAGGCUUGAUCCAGCAGGGCUCUUCUUAUGCUCUUAAAUGAUUUGGGCCAAAGCGAGAGCAUCCCUCAAGUACGGAUGGAGAAGUCAAGAAAAAACAGGUCUCUUUGUUUCCUACCACCAUUAACAGUUUGAAAACAGAAACAAACCCCUUCUGUAUUUUCUUCCAACUCUGCUUGAGUUAUUGUUUUAUCCUCUGGUGGCAUCAAUCAUUUUAUUAAUUGAUUUGAAACAUUAUAAGCAAUUAUAAAGUUCUAAUAAAGAUGGAGCACCAGAUAAGCCUGUAAAGCAUUGAGGAGAUUGCCAAGAGUGAGGACUUUCUAUAGAGAAUUAGUAAUGGGGUAGGGGUGGAGAGGAGAGAAUCCACAAGCUUCCCACAAUUAUCUGUAUGUUGGGUAAUGAAGCAGAAACUUACACAGCCAUGAAGCAAUUUGCUGUAGUUUCUCAUGAGGCCUGCAAUCCAGCUACAGGAAGGUAGUAUGAUUGCUGCCGUGUUUAAAUGAAAACUUCAACAGUUGUUAUCCUAAUUUAUGCCACAGCCCCCCCUUGCUUCUUUUAUAUUUUAAAAUUGGAAUGGCGUCAUCAGACUUGUAUGUCAUUUUUGGAGGUUGCCCGUUUCGUCGUUUUUUAACAUGUUGAGAAAGCAAUAAAGCAUCUAGCUACCUGAAAAAUAUGCUCUUCACACAUUGUGGGAACUGAGCUAGCAGCUGCGUGAGCUGGAAGCCUGCUCUUUGGAUCUGUGUAAAUGAACAGAGCAUGUUUAUCAGAAGGAUGCUGAGCUGUACUUCCUCCUGCACUCCUUAAUUUUUAAUGCAUAAUGAGUAUGCUGAAAGAUUUUCACAUCUUUCUUAAGGCUCUGCAGCUUUCAUUAAUAAGGCCACAGAUUUAAGGUGCAAUCCAUUGCUGCUGUAUUAAUAUUUUACUACCGUACUGUAAGGUUGUUGGGAAAGGUCUCUUGGGUAGGAGUUUAAAACAAACACUUUUCGUGCCCCGAAUCCACUCCACUCUCCUUUAGAUUAUGCAGAAAAUGGAAACCCCUUUGCCGUAUCUGCCCUUGCAGGGGAUUAAGCAAAUGAACUUGACAAACUUUAAAAUAAAAAUAGAUUUAUGUCACUGAUUUCUUCAGUCUUUGUGGUUUCCAAACUCACCAUCAUGGUUAUAGUAAGCGACACAAUUCCAUGUUUUAUGUUCCUAAGGGCUCUUCUGAUAAAUUCUCCCCUUUGAUGGCAUGCAUCCCCCCCCCUCUCCCAAGUAACAAAAUGUAGUGUACCACUUGCCUCAACCAAUUCUAGGCCAGUUCUGAUCACUCACUUAUAUGGUGCACAGAUUAGUUUAUAUAGGAAAUCAGAGGUGUCUCUGAAAGCCUUUAAUCCAGGGGCUAGCAACCUUUUUCAGCCGUGGGCUGGUCCACCGUUCCUCAGACCAUGUGGUAGGCCGGACUAUAUUUUUUUGGGGGGGUGGGUGGGAAUGAACGAAUUCCUAUGCCCCUCAAAGAACCCAGAGAUGCAUUUUAGAUAAAAGCACACAUUCUACUCAUGUAAAAACACCAGGCAGGCCCCACAAAUAAUCCAGAGAUGCAUUUUAAAUAAAAGGACACAUUCUACUCAUGUAAAAACACGCUGAUUCCCGGAUUUAGAAGGCGAUUGGGCCGCAUCCAGCCCACGGGCCUUAGGUUGCCUACUCCUGCUUUAAUCCACUAACUGGCAUUGAAGUACAGUUCUUAUCUACACAGUCAACAAUGACCUGCUAUCUUAGGAGAAGAAUGUCGCUGUUUACAUGAAUUAGAGUCCUAGAUUUUCAGCCAUCUACUGUAUGUUAUUUACCGGGAUGUUUUGGAUGCUUCUCACUUCAUAUUUGUUAAAUAUACUGUUGCCAUAUCUUGUUGUGUGUCUGUAUACAUGUGCCCAUUAACUUUUCAGAAGUGACACAUUGGGAAUCUUUACUGGAGAUAAUUGCACACUGCAUAUAUUAUUUCAAUAUUGGAGUUCCAAUAUUACCUUGCUUACUUAGAAGAAUUAGCAAGAACCAACCAAUGCCAAUAUGAAUGAAAAAGCAGGUACUCUUUGACAUCAUUCAUGGAAGCCAGCUUUCCAGGCUACAUUGGUUUUAGAGUCUUCCCUGUCAGUCAUAUAUGGCAGGUAGAGGAACGAUGAUGAACCGAAGCUUGGCCUUGGCAUUUGUAGAUUCUUGAGCCUGAAUAGGUUGACAAAUGUUUAUCUUCUUCUCAAAAUAAGCUCUGUGGAAAUAGACAACUUGCAGUUUUCACACUGAACGGAUAUCUGCAAUAGAGGAGAGUCCCUAGACUAUGACUCAUUUCUGAUGCCAGUGUUUUAGUAUGUUUAUUUGUAUAUAUAUUUUUGAAAGUCAAAAUAAGGGUUGAAGAUGAAAAAAACAAAGUUUCUGUAAAAUACGCUGAUGCUGCACUUCAAAUCUCCCACAUCCUGUUUCUUUGCAUAUCUGUAGCUGUGCUGGUUCCCUUUGAUCUUUUUAAACAAUAUAUGAGAGAAAUAUGGAGUUGGAGGGAAGAAGCAGUAUCCCAAGGAAAUGAGAGUGCAGUGACCCUUACACAAACUCGUUUGUGCAAACUAAAAGGAAAUUAUCUGGUUCAAUUUUUUGUGAACACGUGUUGGUAUCAAAAGCAAUUGUUUUGUGCCACGCACAGUGAUUUUUCAUUUAUUUUCAUUUCCCCCCCUUCAAAAUAUUGAUUCCGCAACAUGAUUUAACUAGAUAGAUAUUGUGGUGGCUUCGCUACCAGUUUUUAAAAAGUGAAUCCAUAUGAUUGCACACCAGUUCCCUUUUGUUAUGACACCUAAAUGAAAAUUUUCUCCGCAAAGGCUGUGUUUGAGGAUUUCUCCUCUCUAUGUAAACAACCAGGAGGAGAUCCAUCUUCCCGACAUCUGUCAGGUGUUAACUUACAAGUCUGAUUACAGGAUGGCAAAGCAAUAAACUGCUAGAGGCCAAUUUCGUAGGGAAGAUCCACGUGAUCACCUGCCCCCACUUGGAUGUGUCAUUCACACAAAAUACUCCAGCUGUAUGGGAGUAAAUCGAGGAGAGCAUCUCCCAUGCAUCUGGACAUGUCUUAAAAAUAUAAUUCAUCAGUAGUUUCUUCUGUGGGGUUCAGAAACUCUGAAAUCCUAGAGAGCCUUUCAGUGUAAACAAUACUGACAUAGAAUUGGACAGAUAGCCUGCUUCAAUGUAAAACAUCAGUGUCCAUCUACAUGUGACUUAACAAUGCUCUUUCAUCCAGGGACGACUGUGUGGCACAAUAUGGCUCAACUACUACUUCACCAUAGCCCCCACCUACCUAUCUAUGUGUCUGAAAAGAUGCCCAUCCUAAAUAAUGCUUAAUCUUCAGACACUCUCAAGAUUCCUCGCUGGACCCAAGAUGUUUCAGCUUAAGGAAAGCUGAACAAACUGAUUUGAGUCCUGUUCAAGUGUUUCCUUUAAGGGUGUGGAACUAUUGUGUGAAGGGGAGCAGUGAGGAUAAAUGUGUGUGCCAGCUCCACCCACUCUCUUGCCAGCAGUUCCUGGAGGGUGACUGUGGGUACGUGGGUGGUGCUGUGGUCUAAACCACUGAGCCUCUUCGGCUUGCUGAUCAGAAAGUCAGCGGUUCGAAUCCCCACGACGGAGUGAGUUCCCAUUGCUCUGUCCCAGCUCCUGCCAACCUAGCAGUUCAAAAGCACGCCAGUGCAAGUAGAUCAGGGGUGCCCAAACUUUUUUCAAAGAGGGCCAGAUUUGAUGAAGUGAACAUAAGUGAGGGCUGACCAAAGUUGUUGAGCUUUUUUUUAGGAUUGAAGUUGUUGAGCUUUACCCCACGGGGGCUGGAUUAAAUCGACCAGGGGGGCCAGAUUAGGCCCCCGAAAUGGACUUUGGACAUGCCUGGAGUAGAUAAAUAGGUACCUCUGUGGUGGGAAGGUAAAUGGCAUUUCCGUACGCUCUGGUUUCUGUCGCUGAAAUAUACUCAGAGUCGCAAAGUGAUUUCAUGCUCUUUAUUCAGCUCAUAGUGGUGAGGAGGAAUGAAUGAAUGUCCCCUCAAAGUAUCUGCCUUAUAUACAUUAUUUACACAAUGGGCUGCACAUGAUUGGCUAAUUCCGGAAUUCUACUGUAAGCCAAUCAGGUUGUGGAUUCACUUCUAUCUGGAGCAUGAUUGGGUGGUUCCUGCCAACCAAUCAUACUGCUGCAUUUGGAUCCUAUUGUUCUAGGACCAAUCAGACUGCUGCAUUCUAAAUUCUAUUGUUCUAGGACCAAUCAGACUGCUGCAUUUGGAUCCUAUUGUUCUAGGACCAAUCAGACUGCUGCAGUUUGGAUCCUAUUCAACUCAGUACAUAACACCCCUCCCCUCUAAGUUCCAGUCCUGCCCGGGAGGUCGCAUUCAUAGUCCUCAAGGUACGCCGGCGGCCUACGUGUGCGUUGCGGCCUGGGGUGUUCCCUGGUCCGGGGUUCAGGUUCUGGCUCAUGUUCCAAGGAUGCUGGCUGUGAUGGGGCUGUUUGGUCUGGCGCAACCGGCUCGCUCAGUCGUGGUUCUGGUUCCGGUGUCCGUUCGGCCUCGUGGGUCCUCUCUGUAUUUACUGGUUCUGCCUCUCCUGCUGGCCCCUCCUGCUCUAUGGGCCUCACUGCCCCACUGUUCCCUUGGGACUCCUCUGACCUGUCCUCCUCCUGGUUUUCUCCCGGGAAUCGUCGCCGUAUCUGGUCGCAGUGGCGGCGCCAGCAUUGCCCCCAUCCGUUAGCACCUCGUACGACACGGGGCCAGUGACCCUGGUGACUGUGGCGGGUACCCAUGCUGGGCCUGCCCCAAAAUUCUUUGCGUACACUGGGUCCUGGGCCUCGAAGGUCCGGGGUUCCUGCCUUCCCCCACCACUACCUCAUCCUGAGCUCUAUCGGGGUGAAGGCGGUCCAAUCUGAUUGCAAGGCGCCGACCCAUUAGUAGUUCAGCGGGGCUCCGGCCAGUCGUUGAGCUGGGGGUGCUGUGCUGUGCUAGAAGGAAUGUGGCAAGGCGGUACUCCCAAUCCCCUUGCGUCAUGCGGCGAAGGGUGUCCUUGGUGGUCCGCACCAUGCGUUCUGCUUGGCCAUUGGUGGCAGGGUGGAAUGGCGCCGAACGGAUGUGGCGGAUGGCGUUCUGCGCUGUGAAGGUUUGGAAUUCUCCUGACGUAAAUGCAGUCCCGUUGUCUGAGACGAGAGUGUCAGGGAGCCCGUGGGUUGCAAACAGCCUGCGUAGUACCCGGAUGGCUGCGGACGUAGAAGUGGACGGUACCAGUGCGACUUCCAGCCAUUUGGUGUAGGAGUCCACCACUAUGAAGAAUGUUUUCCCCUGAAAGGGGCCAGCAAAAUCCAAAUGCAGGCGUGACCAUGGUGCUCAGGCAGACUCCCAGGACUGGACUGGGGCCCUUGGGGGAUCUGGGCGGGAUUCUUGGCAGGCCUGGCAGUGUUUGACCCAGGCCUCUAUCUCUCCGUCGAUCCCCGGCCACCACACAUAACUCCUGGCAAGGGCCUUCAUUCUUACUACCCCUGGGUGUGUCUCGUGUAGGGCUGUGAGGACCCUUUUGCGGAGGGGCUGGGGAACAACGACCCUGCUUCCCCAUAACAGGCACCCCUUGUGGGCCGACAGUUCAUGUUUGCGGGUUGGGUAGCCGGCGAAUUCUGGCCCAGGGCUGCUGCUGGGCCAUCCCCUCCACACCCAGUCCAGGACCCGGGAGAUGACCCUAUCUUUCUUGGAAUGGUGUGCAACUUCUUGUGCCUGAAUGGGGCGGUCGGGAAGCAGCUCCAGGCUCAUAACCUCUUGUGCAGGUGCUGGGUCGGGGCCUGUUUCCGGUAGUGGUAGCCUGCUGAGGGCGUCCGCAUGGCCCAUCGCCUUCCCAGGGCGGUGAAUCAGUGCAUACUGGUAGCUGGCAAGGAAAAUUGACCACCUGAGGACGCGAGGAGACAGCACUUGGGGGGUCUGCUUUUCGGGGGCAAACAAGCCAAGCAACGGCUUGUGGUCAGUCACCACGGUGAAGGGCCGCCCGUACAAGAAAUCAUGGAAUUUUUUUACUCCCUUCACGAUUGCCAGACCCUCCUUGUCGAUUUGCGAGUAGUUCCGCUCGGUUGCGUUGAGUGUCUGGGAAAAGUAUGCCACCGGUACCUCUCUUCCAUCCGGGAGUUGGUGUCCCAGGACAGCGCCAAUGCCAUAGGGCGAGGCGUCGCAUGCUAGCACCACCGGCAGCCUCUCGUCGAAGUGUGCCAAGACCGAGUUUGAGACAAGCAAGUCCUUGACUGCCUGGAAUGCGGCCUCCUGGCGCUGGCCCCACACCCAAGGGGCCCGCUUGUCCAGGAGUCUGUGUAGGGGCUCCGCUACCGCCGCCUUGUGGGGAAGGAAGGAAUGGUAAAAGUUCAAUAGUCCCAAGAAGGCCUGAAGUUCAGUCUUGCUCUUGGGCGCUGGGGCAUCACAAAUGGCCCGUACCUUGUCCCCAGUCGGGUGGACCCCUUCUGCGUCCACCAUAAAUCCCAGAAAGUCCACCUGAGGCACUCCUAGUAGACAUUUUUCCCGCUUCACCUUGAGACCCGCCGUCUGGAAACGGUGCAGAACGGUGCGGAGGCGGUCCUCAAACUCCUCUGGUGUGGGCCCGGCAAUCAACACAUCAUCGAAGAAGGGGGUGACGCCAGGAAUCCCUUUAAGGAGGGAGUCCAUUAGAUUCUGGAAUAUGCCUGGUGCCACACUGACACCGAAUUGCAGCCGCUUUACCCUGAACACUCCUCUGUGCGUCACAAUCGUCUGUGCCUCUGCUGUGGCCUCAUCUACUGGCAGCUGUUGAUAUGCUUGGGCCAAGUCCAGCUUGCCAAAAAUUUUCGACCCAGCCAGGGUGGCAAGGACAUGGCUGACCACUGGCACUGGGUAUGCAUGGGCCGUGAGGGCCUUGUUUAUGGUACAUUUGUAGUCUGCGCAGAUGCGGACCAAACCAUUAGGCUUGACGGGUGUGACGAUUGGGGUUUCCCAGGGGGCAUUAGGCACCGGCUCCAGCACUCCUUGCUCCACGAGCCGGUCCAAUUCCUCGUCUAUACGGGGUUUCAGGGCGAACGGGACCCGGCGGGCCUUGAGCCUGACCGGUCGUACUGCGGGGUCAAGCUGUAGAGCAAUGGGGGGGCCCGUAUACUGUCCCAAUUUCCCAUCGAAAACCCCCAGAAAUUCCUUGCAUAUGGGGGUCCACUUGUAAGCUAGUGUGGUUCACCCCAGUGACGGCUAGCCCCAGUGGUCCAAACCAUGCCAAUCCCAGUAAGCUAAUGUAGGGGCCCUUGACCACAAGCAAGUCCAGUUGCCGCUUCCGCCCUCGGUAUUGCACCCUGAAGGUCCCCACCCCCCUUGUGGGGGCCUUACGUUUCUGGAAGUCCCGGAGGGUGAAUGGGGCCGGCCUGAGUUUGGGACCCCCAGUAGGACACAGUUUCCUUAAGGUCCUUGCCGAGAUUAUGGAUAGAGUUGAACCCGUGUCAAGCUCCAUGCGGCAUGGGGCCCCCUCUAUCUGUACCUCUACAUAAAUUUUCUCUAUGUUGGGGUGGGGCAACUGGUAUACCUGGAAGUCCAUGAGCUCCGUCGAGUUGCCUUGGUGCGUUGGGCCCCGGGACCUGGGGCUCUUGGAUUGGUCAUCUGAUGCCUGGCGUUGGGUGGGCCGAGCUCGACACACCCGGGCGAUGUGUCCCGAUUUCCUGCACUGCCUGCACUCUGCGUUGCGGAAACGGCAGGUCCUCCUCUUGUGACUUUCCCCGCAGCUUGCACAGUUCCCUCCUUCUUGUCGAGGCAGCUGUGGUCUGUGCGCUGCUUGGGUGCGCUGCUGUACUCGGUGCACCUCCUCCCUGUCAGAUCCUGAGUUGUCGGUGAGGUCUUCAUGGUGGACCCUCGGUUGGGACGGCAGGCUCGGCCAUACCUCUUGCGUCGACCUCUUUGCAGCUUCCGUUGCCAGGGCCUCCUCCAGAGCGACCUGGAACGUUAGGUCCUUCUUAGCGUAGAGGCGCCGUUGCAGCUUCUCAUCCUUCAGGCCACCGACGAGGCGGUCACGAAGCAUGUUCUCCAGCUCUGAGAAGUUGCAGAACCGGGCAGCUUGGCAGAGAGAGGUCACAAACCCAGUUAUGGUUUCCCCAGGGGCUUGCCGCUUUGCGUAGAAGGCAUUUCGACGAGCCACCACUGAGGGCUGCAGCGAAAAGUGCCCCUUCAGCUGUUCCAUUAUUGUUUUGUAUGGAACAGUAGCGACGUCUUCAGGCGCAAGGAGAGCCCGGGCGAUUUCAAAUGUCUCCUCUCCGCAGACGCUGAAGAAUAUCGCCCUCUUCUUGGCGUCUUCUUCGUCGGUGACCCCUUUGGCUUCUAGGAGGAAGGUGAAACGGGAGGCGUACGCUUCCCAGUCUCCAGAUGCUGGGUUGAACGGCGAGAAGCUGCUGUCGGUUGCCAUUCUGAGUUCCUUGUGUCCCGGAGCUGAAGCCUGGAUACACGGUGCGAGGCAGCGGUGCGGCAGGUGGUGGUGCUGCGGUGCUGAGUGUGGCUGUCAGCUCAGCGGGAUUCCACCUUCGUCGCCAGUGAAAUAUACUCAGAGUCGCAAAGUGAUUUCAUGCUCUUUAUUCAGCUCAUAGUGGUGAGGAGGAAUGAAUGAAUGUCCCCUCAAAGUAUCUGCCUUAUAUACAUUAUUUACACAAUGGGCUGCACAUGAUUGGCUAAUUCCAGAAUUCUACUGCAAGCCAAUCAGGCUGUGGAUUCACUUCUAUCUGGAGCAUGAUUGGGUGGUUCCUGCCAACCAAUCAUACUGCUGCAUUUGGAUCCUAUUGUUCUAGGACCAAUCAGACUGCUGCAGUUUGGAUCCUAUUCAACUCAGUACAUAACAGUCGCGGUGUUCCGUUGUGCCAGAAAUGAUUUAGUCAUGCUGGCCACAUGACCCGGAAAGCUAUCUGUGGACAAAUGCCGGCUCCCUCGGCCUGAAAGCUAGAUGAGCACCACAACCCCAUAGUCAGCUUUGACUGGACUUAACCAUCCAGGGGUCCUUUACCUUUUUUUUACCCCAGGUGUUUUGGAGCCCCAGUUGUGUAGGGUUCUGAAAUGCAUGGUGAGCCUUCACGGAUACAAGAGCUUCCCCUUCUACAAGUUGAAGACGAGGGAAGCAAUGAUGGGGAGGUGAGCUAGUGAGGUCAGCUCCACUGCCUGCACCCGUCUCCAACAUGUUUUCCACACCCUUACGGAAACACUUGAAGAAGGCUUUGGGAGCCUAGAUUUCUCGUGUCUGAUUUAACCGUCUUUGUGUCUGCAGCACACAACAGUUGGGGUGGCAGCGAGAGUUUUAAUGUUGUUAUAGGCUAAGCCUUUCAUUGCUUAGUUUUCAGAUAAGCACUUCCAGUAUUUACUUUUUAAAGCCUAUUGAAGAAGUUGUUUUAUUUCACAGCCACCUCUUUCCUCACAAGUUGUUUAUGAAACCCAUGUGGUGGUACCUCUGACCUUCUUAGUGCUAUUUGUUUGAGUCUACCGAAAUGCCUUCCUUUCAGUGAUGAAUUAAGCUUGACAGCUCUCUUGGAGGGCAAAAUAUAAGACAAAGCUGGUAAUGAACCACCUGUGUUUUAAUAGGGAUUUUCAAAGAGGGAUGACUUUCUUCCACAAGCCCAACCAGCUGGAACAUGGCUUUGGAUGAUUAGGGGCCCAAGUGAUAGUCUUCUAAGAGCCUUCAUAGAUGAUGAGAUUUUGUCUCCUGGUGUUUUAGGGAUUGAAAACAUGUUUCCUGUUAAUAUUUCUGUGGUUAGAAGGAACCUGAAACCCCCAGACAGGGGCAAGCUUGGUGUCCAUCCAGCCCACAGUUCUAUCACCGAAACGAACAAAGCAUACAUUUAAAGUACACAAACUCACAAAAAAGUAUCCUGGGAACUGUAGUUUACCCCUUACAGAACUACAGUUCUCAGCCCUUAACGAGCUCUAGGAACUAGGAUUCUUUGAGGGAAGUCAUGUCCUUUCCCUGUUGUUAUUGUUAUUGGCCUUUAUUGGCAUAAGUUUAAACAAAUCAUAAAAUCAAACAAAGUCAUCCAAAUACAUUGAUCAUCCAAACACAUACAAUAUAUAAAAGACCACAUAGCCAUCAUUGAAUAAAUCAGGCAACUGUAGAUUUAGCUUUAAAGAACUUGGCUAAAUACCCUGAAACAAUCUUGAUAGUUUCAGGAGUAUCAUCCCUCAACAAAUAUUGGAUUACAGACUCUAUGUACUUUAAAUGUAUGGUAGCUACACAGUCAAAGUCUUGGUACGUCUGAGGAAUGUGCUUGCCCAGAGCAUUGAGGAUCUCAAUGGCAGUGUCUUGUCCCUCUAAUCGGGAGGGAGGCUUUUUAAGCCCAAGGGCUGAAUUCGCUCAGGAGCAGCCUUCCAGGGACUGCCUGCAAGUGAUGGUCCUGGAGAAAGUCCUAAGAGCCAGAUACAAAGGCCUCUAUCCCCCUUUCCCUGGGCGUGAGAAUUCCCAACCCUUCAAUAAACAGCCUUUUACUUUGAAGGCUGCCUUCACAUAGACAGUUGUAAAUCUAGAUAUGGCUGUCAUCUUCUUUUCCCCUAGAAUCUUACCAAAGUCUAAGCAUGUGCUACAUCCUGUUACAACGGAUUCAGAUAUCUAAUUAUUAUACACAAUGUUUGUUUGUUUUUUAAAGUGGGAAAGGUUGCUUUGAUUUCUUCCCCCCGACAUCUUUUGCUGGUUGUAGAAAAUUAGUUUCCAGGUCUGAGUCUUCAAUUUCCUGUGGACAUACAGUACUAGUGACUCAGGCUGCAAUCAUAGAAUCGUAGAAUCUGUAAAUGCAUCUUGGGGGAAUAAGCCCUUUGGGACUUACUUCUGUGUACAUAUGCAUAUGAACCCACUACAACGGUGUUUUUUGUUUGGUUUGCAGUCAUGUAUCGCUUUAUGAUUAGGGCAAUCUGUCUGUGAGCUGAAAUAUUGCACUUGUCUGAAGUAAAUUCAGAACCUGCUUUAGACAGACCCUUUAAGGAAUCAUUCCCCCUCUAUUUCCAUGUCUUAUAAAUUCUCUGUAAUUAGGUCAGUGCAAUAUUUAGAACCCUGGCCACAUUCUUUCAUCCCUCGGAAAAUUAUUUCCUGCCUCUUCUAAGUACUAUAAGAUCUAAUACACGUUUUCAGAAGCCAUAUGGUCAACAACACAAAACAGGAAAUGUAAGGUCGGAGUAGCCAAACAUUAAGUUUAUCCUGCAUAUCCUUAUUCACUUGCUACAUGACGUUGCAUGGGUUUUCGUGUCUGUGAUUCCUGCAUUUCAAGGAGUUGAACUAGAUGACCCUUGGGGUCCCUCCCAACUUUACAGUUCUGUGUUUCUGUGACCUCUGUGCCAAUUGUCUUAGUGUGUCACCUCAGCAUAGACUUGCUUCUGGGUGAUCCUCUGUGCAUAGUGUGUGUGUGUGGGGGGGGAGUGAUAGAAGUUUCCUCUGUGCUACAAAAAAGCCAUGGUAUGUAGUGUGGUAAGUUCAGUGUGUAUCCACCUUUCCUCUUGCUCAUUGCAUCUGCCGAGUGACAUAAGCUACUUGGACAAAUCUACACCUAUCCAAACUCCUCUGUCUGGAACCCCAGUACUGUUUGUAUGCACAGCUGCAAUGGGGAGCAAAGCAGUCAUUACAAGACAGAUAACCUUCAUCCUGUUCUAGGCUAGUAGUGGAGGUUCACCUUUUAUGAUGCGUGUUGGUUGCAGUUCUAAUGAAGUGCUUUGACGUGUAUUCCAGGAAGGCAGUGGCGUAACUUAUACCAUAGCAGCCACAAUGGCUCUCGGACUUCACUGAAAAGAGUUGUCCUCCGAUUCUACUGCCUCCUAUUUACAGUAUAGAGGACCAUAGGGAGAGAGCUUCACAUUUUUGCAUGAUUUUUAGACAUACCUAGUUAGGAAUAACUGCCGCAAAUCACUGGUGCAGAUUUGGAUUAGUAAACAUGGAUUUUUUGAAUGGGGGGGGCCCAUUCUUUUGCCGGUUGAGUUGUUUGUUUAAAGUAGCAUAAAAAGGCUAAUAGUAGACAUGAGGUAAUUUUGAAUAUACCGUACUUAGGCCUAAUUUUGACAUCUCCUGGAGUCUUUGGGUGCUGGAGGAGCAGACAUAGUUUCCUGUGAUUAUUGCCACUCCAAAAAUGAAAGAGAUUUCAUUCCCAUUUCUCCACUGCAAAUAAGACUUUCACCAGCAUAGCGUAAAUGUCUGAAAUAAACCUUAGAAUAUUUUGAUUCUGCAAGAACUGACAAAACUGUUUGGGGCAUGAGCAGACCAAACAUAAUUGUUUCAAAGAACACUUUAAAUUAUUAUUUUUCAUGGAUUGUAAGCUGGAACAAAGCAAUACAUUCCCACCCCCACCCCCCGAAUAGAAGCAUAUGUUUAAUACCUCUAUCAAGCUAUCUGUAAUUUUUAUUGUAAUUCAACUGUCAAAGCUGUGCCGGAAAAGUUGCUUUGUCCUUAACCCUUUCAGAAUGACUUGAAUUAACAUUUCCCUGUGUGGCCGAGCCAUUCAUUCUUCUAGAUCAGAUGCUGCACCAGCAGACUAUUUCUGGCAUUUGUUGUGUUUUUUGGCAAUGCUCUUCUUUCUGCUCCUUCCGCUCAUUAAAAUAUAUCUAGAGAUUUGCUAUGGACUGCAAAACAGGGGUGGGGGAAUGUGCAGGAUAAAUGAAUCACAUCUCAGCUGCACUGAGAUAAUAAGUCAAGAAAAUUCAAGAGAACAAAAUAAUCCUCAGUAUUUUACAGAGCUUAACUUGCAAUUUGAAAGGGGAAGCUGAUCAAUAAAAUGCUGGCUAUUGUUAUACUGAGCCUUGUUCAGAUCAAUGUAAUGAGAGUCCUCUGCACCCUAAUAUGAUACCAGGAAACAUCACUCUUUGUUCCUUAGAGCCACAGAUUGAUAAUGCUUUGCUUAUGGGUUUCUUGGACUGCAUAUUCCAGGGACAUCUCAGCAAGCCAGAUCCUUAUUAGCACCCAUCCUGUGGGUCAACUUGGACAGGUGGGCAGGACAACCUACCUUUCAGUCACCUGAUGUCCUUCAGUUGUCUGAAGCUGCCCACUUGCCAAAGUCUGUUGUGCACCGCUUUCAAAGCACCCAACUUCCAGCUGGUUUUGGGGUGCUUGGGGAUUACACUGCAAGGGGCUUUGCUGCUCCAGCAAAGGAACAACCAGGAGCUCACUUGAAGCUCUCUUCCUUUGUAGCAUUAUCUGCCCCACACCUGACAUCUCAUGUGCCACAAACUAUGGGGCAGUUACGCAUGAUUUAGGGGAAAUGAACUUGCAGGCCAAAUGAUCACAUGCCCAUUGUAUGUUUUAGUGUUAGCCAGUAGUUUCAGCUACAGUGAAUAAAAUGGGCGUUGCAUCAAUUAAUCAAAUGCAUUCAGGAUGCUUUAUAGUAAUUGGAGCAAACAAGAAACCACAGUUGUUUUUUGUUGCGGUUAUGAACCGAAAAUACUAUCCUAGGUCACAUUUGUGGAGUACAGAGAAAUGUCAUAGGAGCAAAGGAACUGAUGGGCACACUUCUACAUCAGAAGGCUGAUGCAAUUGAGCAGGUUUGAAUCUUAUGCUUCUGUCUGCUUUCCCCCAGGGAAACUGCACCACAGUGAUACAGGAUCAUGAGUGUAUUAUGUCACAGCUAAGGUCAGGGUGUUUGCAACUGGUGGCCAAAGCUACAUCUCUAUCUGUGUUGGGCAGUCCUUAACAAAGAAUGGUGUUUGCUAUUUUAGCAAGAAGUGAUAAUUGUAAAACAUAUCUGCUCUUGAAUGUAUACUUUUUGCCUGUGCGCUUGACUGUAACUGACUGUUUAGGAAAGAAAAAAAAGUGGGGGAAUGGACUAACAGGAUUUCAUAGUGGGCUUUUAUUUCCUCUUUCUGCUCUGCUGUUUUGCUUAUUAGAGUUUAGAUCUGGAAUAAAUUUGCAUUUUAGGCAGGCUGCAAUGUCCCAUCUGUUCUCCUUGUUUCUCCCUCCCUCCCUUACCCUCAAUUAGUUGGCUAGUGUACUGUGUGAAAAAUCUGAUUUGCUUCCUGAUUAGUGUCUUCAUUACAGAAUUUUGAUACAAAACCGUAUGUUGUUUCAUUACCUCCUCUGCGUCUUCAUUUAUUCCCUUUUCUUAAACUGUGACGCUAAUGUUCGCAGAUUGACAGAACAGGUGGAUCAAUAGCACCACAAGCUUAUUCAGUAGAUGCUGCCAAUGUUCUAUCAGCUGCGACUUGCAAAGAGGAAUGGCAGCCUUCUGAAGACAAGGGGAGAGAUGGAAAACUAGAAGCACUGUUGCUAUGCCAGAUUGUACUUAAAACAACAAGCAAACAACAAAGCGGGUAGUAUAUCUUAGGAAAAGAUACAAGUAUUGUUAUUUUUUAGACUUAGUAUUCCAGACCAGAGAAAACAUGAUACAAGCAAGGUUAAAAAUCCUGCUAAUCUUAAGUACAGUGCCCUGGCAAAAUUCAGAUGAGUGUGAAUUUCGAAGAGCAGUUAUGUUUCAGUCUGUAUAUUGUUUCAGAAAGUGCAGAUCUGACAGAUUCUUCUUUAAAUGUGCACUGAAUUGAAUUUGUCCGUCCCUAGUCUGCACAUAGUCUAGAUUUGCUGCAUAUUUUUUGCCUCUGAAAAGCGCUUCUUGAAAAACUAGUUUUACUCCAAAGUUCAUUGCAGAUUGAUCCUGUAUUGCCCUGCAGUGUGUCCCUUUGAAAACAGGUGAAAAGAGGUGUAGGUGAUCCUGGAAAUGCAGGUUGUAUCCACACCCACUGGUGGAGGAAGAGAAGUGUGGGGGGGAGCGAACCGCCCACGGCAGCGCGAUCCCAGUGGGGUGCCAUCGCGGCUGCCCCCCUGCCCACGCUGGGUGCCACGUCCCCGCGGGCAGCAUGCCAGCCCCGCCCCCACCUGCUGUCCGCCCCCCAGUGCCGGAUCAUGAAGCUCCGCCACUGUCCACAACAGUAUCUUUGUGGGUGAAUGUAACUCAAUCACCGCUUCCUUCUUCCUACACAUGGGGAGGGGGUAUGCAAGGAGGAAAAAGCAUAGAUAACCUAAUCAAGGGGAGUAUAAGUAUUUAUUUAUUGAAAGUAGCAUAUUGAGGAAUCAGCAUGAGCAGUUCUGAACUGAGCGAAACUACAUUUUUGAGCUACAAAUAGGUUUGUGUGUAUGUAGCCUUACGUAAAAGAACAAACCAGGGGCAAAAAAGUGACUUUUGAUAUCAAUCAUCAUAAAUGUGAAACAUUAGAUCAUACAUAUUUGUUACUGUGCUAAACUAUGAAUAUUUAGAUUGCCAUCCAAAUAGCGUGAAGAUUUAUCUUUCCAUUUUCCAAAUAAAUGCUUUUCUGACCAGUAACUACAAGCCUUUGCUUCUGAAGAGUUUUGUCACUUGCAGCCCAAUCUGUAUCCAUGUUUCCACAGAAGUAAACCCCACUGAGUUUACUGGGGCUUACUCCCAAGUAAGUGUGCACAGAAUCGCGGCUUUAGGUUCUGAUCUGUCAAAUAAGAUUUACUUCUUUGGAAACAUGUUUAGGAUUGUGCUUUAGGUCUUCAACCAAGUUAUCUCACCUAGACUUCAAUCUUGUACACACUUACCUGGGAGUAAAUUCCAUUGAAUUCAAUGAGACUUGUCUUCUGAAUAGAUUGUAUAGGCUUAGACGCUUGGUAGCUUUACAUGUUUAUGAAGAGAACUAAAUAUAAAUCUUUAGUUUUACAAAUGCCCCCCUGUUUCUAAGUCCAUAUAAAUAUCCUGUGGUGCAAAAGGCAUGUGGCAUAACCAGAAACUUUGGAUUAUUCUUCCCGGCAGUAUAAAAGUUAUUUUUGGUUUCAAGACAGUGUGUUUUAAUGGGUAUAGAAACCAAUUACUAUGCCACUUCCGGGUUAGCGCCAUCGCCGAAUGGCGGACUCCCUCCGAGCUCCGGAGGGAGUCUGCUCGGCAGGGGCUGGGUCCUACCGCGCCGGCAACGCGGGGACCCUUCAAAUCCACGGGCACGGAGUCCGUGGACAUGGGUGACUCGGCUUGCACCAUUAGCGCCCUCCCGACUCGUGAAGGAGCCUUUUUAAAGGCUUCGGAUCGGGUGCCGGGGAGUGGCGUGGUGCUUUGAGUCCACUGCUUUCCCUGCCGAGCGCAGCCGCAUGCCAUUCGACGGAGAGCGCUGACUUCUUCUAUUGAAAAUUUGGACUAUUAACAACAACCCGUGAGUAAUUGGGAAACCGGGUUCAAAAUUUUGGAUUUGGCACGAGCGGGGCGAUUUAAAAGGAAGUCAAUCCCCCCCCCCUAUUGUAAGCAUUCCAAAACAAGGACUGGGUAACCAAGGUCCAAAGGGAAGUAUGUCUCUGAUAAAAAUCAUUAAUUUCACGAUGGGAAAUUAUAAGAAAUGUGCUGGAGGAGAAGAGUGGAGGGUGAGAAGAAAAUGCAACCCCCCCCCCUGGGAACCGGGGCGAUUCGUGGAGCCUGGUGAAGAGAGACGGAGACUUUGACAGCUGUCAAAGUGGCUGUCAAAGCUGGAGAAUAUAAAGAGGACUUUGUUAUGAGGACCUUGCUGGUUAAUUUUGUUACAAUUUGCUAUAAUAUGGAUAUAAACUGUUGGAAAAUAAGCAACAAUUUGACUUUUGGAUUAGAGGAUACAAAGUUAUUACAAACCCCUAGAGGGGUUUCGGGAUACUACAAGAACGGUCGUAAGUGGAAAAAUACCCUGGGAUUCGCACAGGAUUUGUUAUCUUCUGGGAAAGCUGCAAAACUGAAAGAGUAUUUUGUCUACAGAGGAAGACAAUGGAAUUUUUAUUGAAGAAAGAAAGGGACUGGACGUAAGUUUUUGUUCCUGAAUAACAAACCUCUGCAGAGACACUAGAUUUCUGAAUUAGAAAGUUUUAGCAGCUGAACAGGACAAGAAACCUGAGAAAGUGAGGAAUAAGAAGAAUAAAGGACUGAUUACGACACGGAAAGAACAACGGGAGGAGUGGUAAAGAUCAAGGAAAUUAAAGGCCUUUGUUAGAUUGGACAUUUGAAGUCAAAUAUUAUUUAAAUUAAUAAACUAAAAGAAAACCGGCAAGAUGGAAUCGGGGAGAAAUCUGGUCAUGAAAUGAGACUUCCAAGCUGAUAAUGUAUAGACUGAUGGACAUGGGGAAUUCAAACCGGGAAGGGGGGAGAUUUGAAAUCCAAAGGCUGUGUAACCAUUUUUUGAAUUUUUCUAUAUCUCUUAUUUUCUAUUUCUUUACAUAACUUACGCAUGUUAUUUUACUUUGAUCGGACGUGUUUAAAAAAAGGGAAUUUGUGGAAGGAACUGGGGUGGAUCUUGGGGAAAAUCUUUUUUCUUUUUCUGUUAAUGAUGUGGGACGGUGGUAAGAUUUGUACAAUUCAAUCUGGAUAGUGGGUUAAACAAAUUAAGCUUUAAAUUGGGAGUGAGAGCUUGUAGAACCAAAUUAAGGAAAGGGGAAUACAAUUGAGGGGGGGGGAGUCCCAGAAAGGAGGGAAUGAAAGUAAGGUUUUUAAAUAUCUUCUUUCUUUUGUCUUUUUUCUUUGUAUUUUUAUAUUUUUGGAAACUUUAAUAAAUAUGAUUUAAAAAAAAAAAUAGAAACCAAUUACUAUGCGUGCUUGUUCAGGAAAUAUACAAGUUAGAAAACUAGAAACUUGAUUAAUGGUUUAAAUUAGCCAAGGGGGAGUUCAUUGGUGAUUUAAAUUAUUGUUUAAAUUGCUUUGAUUAAAAUCUGUCCACUCCUGCUUGGUGCCAGUGGCACCCAUCUCAAACAUGCCACUCUGUGUCACCAAACCUUGAAAAAAACACUCGCACAAAGACGUAAAAUUGGGGCAUUGUGAGUAAAAGGAAAAGCUGAGGCAUUUUUUGGCCUGCUCAGGCUGCUCCACAGGGUGGAACUUGAUGCCAAAGCUUGCUGCUUUUGUACUCUUUAUCCUUGCCCUUCCACCUUGCAGCAAAGCGCCUCACCAGUGCUCAGCAAUUAUAAUAAUUUUCAUUUAUGAUUCACUUUCCAUGAGACAUCCCAGAGCGAUUUACAAUAUACUAACUUAUGUAAAAAGAGUUACAUAUUCCCUGAUGCUGGAAUAUGAACAUUAUUGACAUGGCCAGUGCUAGGUUUGACUAAAGUGCUACCAAUAAGCCUCCUUGUUGCUUCCCUUCCAGUGACCACAACACUGAUCCCUAGUCUACUUGGGUUGGGGCCUGUGACCAUUGCCAUUGAUGGGACCCCUAGCAGCACUGGUGCUGCCACCACCUGCAGUCUGUUGCUCCUGGGCAGGCUUUCUGGUGGUACUGUCUGUCUUAGUAGGGGAGCUGAGCAGCUGAUCAACCCCUGUUGAUCACCAUGUUGAAUUUCUCGUGGUGUGGAAAAUACAAUGCAGCAGCCUCCCAACGCUGAUCAAACCUGAAUAAACAGCACCAAGGCCAUUGACUAUGCCAGCCCAGUGUGGGGGAACAGUGGUUGAUGACAGCAGUGACAAUACCACCAAGGCUGGGAGGGGAGGUGAAGCAAUGUUAGCAAUGCUGGGGUGGGAGCAGAUAAACCAGGCCAGUGUCUCCUGCUGCAAUGGGUAUGUAUGUUGGGUGCUGACAUGAGGCCUGAUUACUGAAGUUAGAAAACGUCACAUGAAGCAUUGAGAACCAUGCUAUAUAUUACACAGAGGCUUGGUAUUUUAAACCCUGAUGCCUGAUACACCUAGGGAAUCCUAGCUUUUGGCAUGUGGAAGGAUUGCUUUAAUAUUUUCCCUACCUAUCACAUUUCCACUCCUGCCCCUAAGCCAAGCAAGAGUAUUCCCUCUGCAUCUCCUUUCCAAUUUCCUCCCUUUCCCCUAAAAGAAGCGCUUGAUUGGAGGUUAAUACACACAGUUGUGUUCAAUGUGUAGUCUGGACCUUGCCCUUCAUGGUUUGGCUUGUGUUCAAUACUUAUGUUGCAUAAGUGCAUUUUUCUUUAAUAUAAGGACAGCUGUCUUGAAACUGUCUCAUCUAUUCCCUCAUUGAUUUAAAAUUUAUAUUUGACAUGCCAGUCACUUCAGUGAAACUAGAUAGCAGUUCUUUCUAUAAUAGAAUUAUGUUGGAUUACUUGGUUGUUAAUCCUUCUAUAUUAUCAUUAAGUCGUGUUUUCAGAAUUAAUGUGGUUACAGAAAUAAGUAACAAACAGAGGGCAAUAGUCAUAGGGAGACAAAUUGGGCUUCUUGAUAAGGCAGGAGGAAAAAACCAUCCUCUGUGUAAUAAGAAGGUGCACGAGCAAGCUCUUUAUUGAGGCUUUCCUCCUUGGGAGAAUGCCAUUAUGUAGACAGUAACUUUUCUUAGAAUAACAUUACAAGCGGAAAUGCAUAUGGUCUUUCAAACUGCUUUGAAUGUAUACAGUGCCUGUCUUGGUCCAAAACAGGUUGAUCAAAUAUUUUCAGCACUGAAGCAGGUGGGAGGUGGGAGGAAAUAGGCAAAAUAUUUCAAGGGUUAUCCCGCUUACCUUCUGUUUCCUCCUUUAAAGUAAUGUUGUUUGUUUGUCCCUCAUUAAAAUUGCACUCUCCUGCAUCUGGGGGGGGGGGCUUUCUCAGCCACCUUGCCAAAAAAUAGCUAAAACAAUCCUCCCCAUUUUGCAGCCUCAAAAUAGGUUGUUGAAAUGGUUCAGUUCAGCCAUGACACAGCAAGUAAACUUCAUACAUUUCCCAUUUUCAGUGUGAUUUCAGAAGCAGUGGAGACUGCAUAUUUGUACACUGUGCCAUCAAGAUUGCUAUGAGGUGCCUUGCAAAACAAUUCAUGGAGGACUUCCAAAGGGUCUAAAACUUUUAUUCCCUGAUAUAGAGUCCAUUUCUGAACUCUGUUGAGCCUGCAGAGGGCAGGCACAACCCAGCCCUCUCCUCCAUGUAUUCUCUGUGCAUGUCAUGUUGCAUGUGGCAUUUUUGUAUUAAAGUCAUAUUUGCAGCCUUAUUUAAUCCAGUACCUUUUGUGUGAUGGUACUCCCUGGCAUGGAGUACCAGCAUUUAUUUAUUUCCCACAACUCCCCACUGAUUUAAUCUGUUUCAAGGUUAAUUUUAUGCUAUGGUGUAAAGUGAGAUUGUUGAAUUAAGCAUCAUCUAAUGCUGAUUAUAAGGGACGUGGGUGGUGCUGUGGGUUAAACCACAGAGCCUAGGACUUGCCCAUCAGAAGGUCGGUGGUUCGAAUCCCCGCGACGGGGUGAGCUCCCGUUGCUCAGUCCCUGCUCCUGCCAACCUAGCAGUUCAAAAGCAUGUCAAAGUGCAAGUAGAUAAAUAGGUACCGCUCCAGCGGGAAGGUAAACAGCGUUUCCGUGCACUGCUCUGGUUCGCCAGAAGCGGCUUAGUCAUGCUGGCCACAUGACCCGGAAGCUGUACGCCGGCUCCCUCGGCCAAUAAAGCAAGAUGAGUGCCGCAACCCCAGAGUCGGUCACGACUGGACCUAAUGGUCAGGGGUCCCUUUACCUUUACCUUUAAUGCUGAUUAUGAUUUAGGAUCCAUAAACAACUUCAUUCCUAAUUACUGGAUUGGUCUUCAGAAUCAUAAAAGCAUAUUAUCCAGCAUCAGUUCUACAAAUCCAUAGUUGUCUUGACCCCAGCUCAGUUGUAUAUGUGUGCCUCUGUCAUUGAGAAGGAGGAAAACUGAGACCUAUGGAAGCUAAGUUUCCCAGGACUGCAAAGUGAGCCAGUGGUUAAGAUAGGAAUACCAUGUAUUCCAUGUGUGAUACCAUGUCAUAAAGUUUGUGCCACAUGCCCACACUUUUACACCCUUUUACAGCCAUUUACAUCUGCUCUAGAAUUUGUUUUUCAAGGCUUGUCUUGCCAUUCUAUUUGCCUUUAAAACUACUGCUGAAUUGCAAGUGGGCUCAGUAUGUAUAGAAGAGAAGGAUAUGCUGAGCUGCUGAAUUACAAACAGGCUUGGAAUGUAUAUAGCACCAAAAAAGCUGCCCCUAGAUAUUUUCUUUCUCCUUCCGAUUGGCAAUCAAAACGCCCUCCUACUCCUUUCUCAUGUCAGGCAGGGACAUGGCAAAGGGCACCGGGCAGUCAAGAACUAGUUAGGACCAUGGAUAGCUCCCUGUGGGGCUGGACACAGGAAGAAACCAGAUGCAAGGCUCACUUAGGGCUGAGCUACACAUUUUAUCUUCAUGUCCUUUGACUGGGAUUUUGUUUUAACUAACAUCAGCUGCUGCAGAGCAUGUUCUUGUUCGGGGCUGCAACAUAGGUGGGAGAGAACCCUGCCCUGUUAACAUGAUGAAAAUCACUACUCUGACUGCUGUUCCGGGGGUAGAUGGAAGCUUCAUGGGAUUCAAAGACAAAUUAGCACCAGGGAUCAAGCUUGUUGUUGCAGCUUCUUUCUGGAGCCAACUCAUAUUAUCAUUAGUCCUGCAAAGAAAGGUUUAUAUGAACCUCCAGCUUUCUUCAAGGAGCCUGCUUGAAAGUUAAAUGUGGAAUGCAGGCUGUGUUUGGAUGGGCUGGCCUCCCUUCCGUAAUCCCUGGGAUUGGUGAGGUGGUGCAGGGUUGUUCUCAAGGGCUGCCGAUGGUUCUGCGUAAACGGAGAAUCAGUAGGUGGAGGCCUUUCACCGGGUCAAAUAUAUGUUGGAAAUGUAAAGAAAAAGAAGGGACUUUUUAUCAUAUGUGGUGGGAAUGUAGAGAAGUUUAAAAAAGGGGGGGGAAUGAUACACAAUGAAUUGAAAAAAAUGUUUAAAAUGACAUUUGUAAAAAAAAACCAGGAGCAUUUUUGUUAGGGAUUGUAGGACAAGACCUGCCAAGAAAAACAAAGAAUUUAUUUAUGUAUGCUACAACAGCGGCAAGAGUCUUGAUAGCACAAGGAUGGAAGAAUGAGGAAAUCCCAACGAAAGAACAGUGGCAAGAAAAAUUGAUGAGCUGUGCAGAGUUGGCUAAAUUGACAUAAAAACUGCGGGACAAGGACAACUGUGACUUUAAGGAAGAAUGGGAGCUUUUUACAAAUUAUCUAAAAAGACAACAAAAUGAACUGGACUCCUUGGCAGGCUUUGAAUAAACAUACACAAAUGUAUUGGUUGAUAACAUGAUAGAUAAAUAAGGUAAGGAUAUGUAUAACUUUAUAACAUGCAGAGAAUAAUAUGUGUAGAGAAAUCAGAGAGAAGAGCUGAGGGAAGUCCCUAGUGGGAGGGGGAGGGAGGGAUGGAAGGGGGGUAGGAAAAAAGGGGGAUAAUGUAUGUGAUUAUAUGGUUUGAUAAUUGGUUAUGUUGAAAUUGCUUAAUAAAAAAUAUUUUUUAAAAAAGUAGGUGGAGGCCUUGCUAUAUCCUUCUCCACUGCUUCCUCUCCAUGGAAGUCACUAGCAGGGCAGGUACUUCACUAAAGUGAUGUAAGAGACCAAUCCUACCCCUUGGAGUCCCCUUGGAUGAGCCAUGGCAGCCAAUGUUUUAGUUCAUUUUUUUUUACAUAUUUUUAUGUUUUAGUUCAUAUUUAUGCAGUACUGAAGAAUUAAAUGAGAAGACUGAAUAGUAGCUGAUUAAAGCAGCCUAUAGAUGGUGGAUAAAUGAGUUUAUCUGAUGCCCAGUCUCCUUUUCAGCCAUGUGGAAUGGUUAGAUGCAAGGGAGGAUUUUCAUUUAUCUAUUUAGGGCAUUUAUAUACUGCCCAAUUAACCAUGUCCUUUGGCCCGUUCACAAACUUAAAAUCAAUAAAAUACAAAUACGGUAAAAAAUAAAAGCUAUCACCAGCAAAAAUGUUAGCAAAAACCCAGUGUUAAAAACAUCACAGAGCAGCUAAGAUCAAUAAAAACAUUCUUUUUUAAAGCACUAAAACCAACAAAGUGGGAAACAAAAUAGAACUAAGAACUAAAAUUCACUAAACCUCAAUUAUUAGAAGUCCUGGAAGAAUAAAAAGCUCUUUGCCUGAUGCUGAUCCUAAUGUAGGCUCUAGGUGACCCUCUCUGGAAAUAUCAUUCUGUAACUGGGGCGCCGCUUCUGAGAAGUCUCUCUCCCCUUGCCUCCCCCAAAAGAAGUCUCCCUUCCAAGUAACUGCUCACCUCACCUCACCUCACCUCAUUAGGUCAGAGAACGUAGAGAAUAGCCUCUAAUAAAGAUCUUAAAGUCUGCUGCUUGAGAGGAGGCAAUCCUCCAGAUUUGAGGAUGCAUCUGUUUGGCCAGGACAUGGCAGACAUUAUGGCUGAGAAGAGUUAACAUUGGAUCACUCUCUCCAUAGUGGCAUAUGUUCACCUUGUGAACUAUCGUGCAAAUCUGGUCUCAUCUUAAGAAGAGUCUGCUGGAACAGGCCAGGGGCCUGUGUGGUCCAGCACUGUUACCUCACAGUAGCGAACCAUUUGCCUAUUGGAAGCCCAAAAGCAAAAGCGUUCUGCUUUUCUUCCCCAGUUCUCUUUCUAAACCAGCCUUCUACAGUCUCUCAUAACAUUUUUCACUGUGUAUAUAAUCUCUCAUUUCUAAUGUGUACACAUUGCAUGAUGAAGGGUGGGAUGGUGUGUGUGCGCGCGCAUGUGCGCGCCACUUGUCUUGCUUUUAAUGUGCUUUGCUGUUUGUUCACAUUGCAGAGUCGGUGGGUCUGUGCAUGCCUACAGCAACAUAUUUAUUUUUUAAACACAGCAAAAAUCUGGAGGCCUAUUCCAUUCUCUCCACACAGCAGGAGAGCACGCAUCGUGUUUUAAUUGCUGUAACCUGCCCUGGGACCUGGGCAGAUAUUAAGAAUAAGCAGCAGUGGUUGUUCCAGUUAUGCACAGCAGGAACUUGUUCCAACCUCCCUCACCUCACUUUCACAAGCAUGCCAGCAAUAAUGCUUAUUAGUGAACAGCUGUUUUCUGUUUGGCUUUAAAAGCUAGGCUUUUUUUUUUUUGCUUAAGUUGUUUUUUUAAAAAAAAAUCACACACCCAAGGCACACAUGCGCAGCAGGAAAAUUAUUUAUUGUAAACAUUACAUAUAUAUUUGGAAGCCAGUGCAAACACCAUUAUCAGUAUUAAGAGAGUGAGAAUAGAAUGUUUCAUAAAUAAACAACCAGAAAAUACUCAAAUCACCAGCCAGAACCCUGCAGCAAUGCGUGGAGGGUUAGGUAGAGCUAACAACUCCAUAGCAACAGAGCAAACCAGUAAUUGGAGGUGGAACAAUGUCCAUGGAAUUUUACGAAAUAUGUAUUGCAAUGGGGUGGCUGGGAGAAGGGAAGGAUGGUGCUGCCACUUUGGGAGAGUAGGAUGGUGGGCAGCAGAAGGCAGAGUGGCAGCCCAAUGCCUUGUCCACCAGCCCUGGGAGGGACACAAGUUUCUUUUGCCUGAUCUAAAGGUUUUUCACCUGUGACAGUUAGGUAGGUACCGGUAAGUUGAAGUUCACAGGAGAGCAGUAUCUAGUGUUUGCUAUACCACAUUCAAGUUUACUGCAAAUAAAAGUUUCACUUGUUACAGAGCUAAGCCACCAUUAUACUGGACUCACAACUGAGGAACCUGCACCAAGUAGGGCUGGUGUUACAUGCUGCUGUCCACAAUGUGUUUAUGCUUUUUGUGGCAGCUAGAUCCUCCCCAUAUCAUCUUAUUUCGCUGUUACAUUUAUCAAUACCGUAUUGUUUUUGACCACCCGAAAGGUAGGAAUAUCAAGCGUGCCAGUGAAAGUCUGCGUGCAGUCCGAAGCUGAAUGUGCCUGCCUUUGCAUCUAGCUGAUGAUGUGUGUCACAUUAGAAGUGGCAGCUGCCUUGUCUUCUUCAUGAAGUUAUGAGAAGCCACAAGGAAAGGGCUUAAAUUAAUAUAUGGGAGCUGGCAACACGUUGACACUUCCUAUUUUUCAUAUUGUCAAUCUGCGGUGCUAUGUCGAGUAGGAAGAAGAUUGUGUGUCCAUUUCUUCAGCAGCUUUUUGAUUGCCCUUAAUUUGUGCAGAUGGGAAAAACAAAAUGUUGUGGUUUUACCACUAGAAUAACACAAACGGUGCUGCAGAGUAUUGUUGCUUUGAGAAAGGCAUUACCUUGUGGAUUUUCUUUUUUUAUUACUCCAUAUAACUGUCUAUAUAACUCCAGAACAAUUCACAAGGAGCUGCAGAGUGUUUCAUAUAUGAUAGGUGCAAGAAUAUUCUUAGCUAAAAUCUCAAUCGAAGCUGAUGCUUAAUUUUUAUUCUUACAAAUGUAACAAUAAAAGAGGAGGCCUUGUUUUGAUCAGACCAAGGAUCCAUAAAGUCCAGCAGUGGCCAGACAAAUGCCUCUGGAAACCCACCCUAAACUGGUCUCAGCAUGAAUAUCCUUUUCUCAUUAACAUGAACAAUAAUUUGCUUCCAGCCAGUCAUGUUAGAUGUAAGCUCCCUCAGGGUCUUUGACAAUAAAAGGCGGGUUCCAACAUGAUCGCUCUGCUGCCUAAUGUCUCACACAGUCAGCUUCCAUUCACAGAAAGAGAGAUACACUCAUGGAAACCACAUCUGCCAUUCUCUGAACAGAAGCUUCAGCCAUUUGCAGAGCAACAACAUUUGAUUCUGGUCAUAGGAUAUUGAGACUCCUGGAUUAGAAAUAGGGGUGAAAGGACUAGCUUGAUCUCCAGUUUUCUGUCUUUUGGUUUACAGUACGCCACUAUUCUAUGAAAAGUGGUGUUUCCUUUCCUUUGUACACACAGAUAUAUUCAUGAAUCCAUCAAGCUAUUCCUUACCUAGAGCCAUGAAGAUUGCUGAGAUUUGACAACAAUGGCAUGAAUAGAUUACAAAAGGAGAUAGAGUGAUGAACUUUUACCACUUCCGGUCGGCGCCAUCGGCUAAUGGCGGAUUUCCCUCCGAGCUCCGGAGGGGGUCUGCUUUACAAGUUCGGGUCCUGUCGCUACGGCGAAGCGGGGACCCUUAAAAAUUACAGGCGCGGAAGCCUGUGAACAAGGAGGCUCGGUGGGCACCAUCGCGCCCCCCCGAAAUCGCAAGGGAGCCUUUUUAAAGGCUCCGGAACGGCAGCGGGGGGAGAAGCGGUGCUGAGAGCCGCUACCCAGCUUGUGAGCGAAGCCGCAUCGCCAUAGCCGGAGAGCGCCGAUUCCUUCCUGAAAAUUGGAUUACAAAGUAAAACUCGUGAGUAAGACUGAGACCUAAUUGGGAUUUACAACUAUCUUUUGAAAUUUGGCUGAAAACGGGAUUGGUUUAAAGUAAGGAAGUCAGCCUUUCCCGGACUGCAUAAGGAUAAAGCAAAGAAGGAUUAAAAGCUGUAACCAUAGAGAGAUCGCAAAGAGUUAAGAGAACCAGACAUAAACUGUGAACUUCCCCCCUUUUGGUAGGCAGGAGCAAAAGGGGAGGAAACUGUGAUUAGAACCUGCCAGAAAAGGACUUUAAAAACUUUUCACCACUGUGUCAAACACCCCUGAAACGGACUGCCGGGGCAAAGGAACCUGGAGAGAGAGAACUGUCAGUGAACUGUCACUUGGAUUGUUACAUUGUUUUAAACUACUCAGCUCAAGAGAGAUACUAAAUUACAGGUUUGUUGAACUCUGAAAAUAUAAGAACUGUUACAAUUGACUACUGGGAAACCUCAGGGGAACUUUUGGUUGUAAGACAUUUUGUUUAGUUUUGGAAACUUUCUUCCCCUAGAGGGCAAUUUGAGAAUUGUUGCAAAUUGGAUUGUAACUACUAAGGCAGUGGAAAUUUCCCUUGAAAAAUAACUAACAGCUGUGAGAGUGACCUUGGCUAGGCAUGAGUGGUGCACCAGAAGAGACAACAACCAGGUCUGGGAGACAAUACAAAGUAAAAUCUUCACAGCGAAGAGUUUCAGUCCCAGGCAUCCCAGUGGCACCAGCUGCAACUGGUCAGACAAGAACAAUAAUGUCAUCAGAUCCUGUAACACAAGCUUUGGUUAAAAUAAAUGAGUCUUUGGAAUCUUUGACAAAGCAGGGGGUGGAAAAUAGCAGAAAAUUGACAGAACUCUCAAUUAAACUUGAUCAGAAUACACAAAGUGUGAAUGAAUUAGGGAAAAGGGUGACAUCUAAUACAGAAUCUAUUAAUAAAAUAUUAGAGGACUCUGCUAAUAUACGUAAAAUCGCAGAAGAAGCCAAAGUCUCUGCUGAUGAGGCUAAAGUCUCGGCGGAUGCUACACAGGAAAAUUGUACCAGUUUGCAAAAAGUUAGAAGAUCACACAUUGGCCCUGUCUAUGCUUGAAUUGCAGAGAAGAGACAGAAAUUUAAGACUACGAGCGGUGCCUGAAAGCGAAGGAGAUAACUUGGCGAACUUCCUUUCUAAAGAAUUUGCGGAUUUUUGGCAACAGGAGUUAGAGAAAGAAGAAAUUAAAAUAGUCACGGCCUUUAGACUGGGAAGAGCACAAGGCAGGAAGAAGCCAAGGGACUGCCUAAUAACAUUAGGAUCAAGAGAGGAGAGAGAUAAAAUAUUGAGUCUGCAUUUUCAAAGAACACUCGAGAUUGAAGAUUCUUUUGUGGAGAUCUUUAAAGAUAUUCCAAAGGAAAUUCUAGACGCAAGAACAAACUAUAAAGAACUGGUCGGACUACUGAAGAAGAACGAAGUACCUUUCAGGUGGGAAUUCCCGCAAGGCCUAUCUUUUAAAUUCAAAGGUAGGAAAAUAAGGAUAAGAUCAGUAGAAGAUCGAGAUCAAUUUUUAAAUCACUAUAGGGAAGACCUUCUGAAAGGAACAGUCGGAGAGGAAAUAACACCAGAAUCGAAAGACGCAACAGACAUUUUAAACUUGACGUUUGGACUGAAAUCACCAACAGAAGAAGAACAACUACUCGGAGCAACAGGAGGCAAAUAGCUUCAGGAUGGCCCUGCAACUUCUAAGUUGGAAUUGUAACGGACUUAACCUUCCGCGAAAGAGGAAAAAUAUAUUUCAUUUAUUGAAAAAAGAGCAGUUGGACUUAAUUUGUUUACAGGAAACUCAUAUAACAAGAUUGCAUAGAAAACUACUCGUCAAUAAGAGAUUAGGCCAAGAAUUUAUUUCAUCGGAUAAAGUUAAGAAAAGAGGAGUGGUAAUCUAUGCAAAAGAAAAACUUUCCCCAAAGUUUAUAUUUAAAGAUGAACAAGGAAGGUAUUUGGCAAUUGAAGUGCAAAUUCAAGGUGAAAAAUUUUUGAUACUAGGGAUUUACGCACCUAAUGAAGGGAAGUCAGAAUUUUUAAGAAGUUGCAUGAGACAUUGUUGGACUAUUUGGAUUACAAAUUAAUCAUGAUGGGAGACAUGAAUGGAGUGGUAUCUACAAAUAUGGACAAAGCACAAAGACAGGUAAUCACUAGAGAUGGGAGACUACCAAAGACUUUCUUUGAAAUAACUGAAAAUAUGGACUUGAUUGAUAUUUGGAGAACAAGGAAUCCUCUCGAGAGAGAGGGAACCUUUUUCUCUGAAGCAAUGAUGACCUGGACCAGAAUCGAUCAAAUUUGGAUUACUAGUGGGUUGGCCCCAAAGAUUAAAAAAGUGGAAAUCUGCCCAAAGACCUGCUCCGACCAUAACGCCGUGAAGAUGGAAAUGAAACUUACAACAACUGGUCAAUUCAGAUGGAGGAUGAAUGACACCCUGUUUCGAGAUGAGGAGAUCCACAGAAAAGCCCAAAAACUUUAAAGGACUAUUUUGAAAUAAAUCUAAAAACUGAUGUAGAAAAAAGAGUGAUCUGGGACGCAAGUAAAGCAGUGAUGCGAGGAUUUCUAAUUCAACAAAAUUCUGUAAAAAAGAGGAAGCAAAAUGAGAAGAAGGACAAGAUCUUGGAAAAGAUAAAAGAAGGAGAGAAGAAAUUGAGAUCAAAACCAAAGUCCCAGGAGAUCUUGAGAGAGAUUAAGUUAUAUCAGACACAAUACAUGGAAUUGAUGAAUCAAGAGAUUGAAUGGAAGAUAAAACAAAUGAGACAAAAGACAUUUGAAUCUGCAGAUAAAUGUGGUAAACUUCUGGCUUGGCAAUUGAAGAAAAGGCAGAAACUAAACACAGUCACAAGCCUAGAAGUGGAUGGAAAGAAUAUAUCUAAACCUAAUGAGAUAAGAAAUUGUUUUUUGAGUUAUUUUAAAAAAUUAUAUUCACAAGGACCACAGAAGGAGGAGGAUAUAGAAGAAUUUCUUAAAAAGUAUGGACUACAAAAAUCUCUCACCAAAGUAAGGUGGAUCUAAAUCAGAGAAUAACAGAUCAAGAGAUAGAGGGUGCCAUUCAAAACAUGCAACUGGGCAAAUCUCCAGGACCAGAUGGAUUGACUUCCAGAUAUUAUAAGGCUUUGAAGGAAUGGUUGGUACAACCAUUAAAGGAAGUCUGUAAUGAGAUCUUAGAGGGGAAAAGGGCACCAGAAUCGUGGAAAGAAGCGUACAUUACACUCAUACCAAAGACAGAGAUUGAAAAGAAUCAACUUAAGAACUACCGCCCAAUAUCAUUACUUAAUGUGGAUUACAAAAUUUUUGCAGACAUUUUGGCAAAAAGAUUGAAAAGAGUGUUGAUGGAGAAGAUUCAUAAGGACCAAGCAGGCUUUCUCCCUAAAAGGCAUUUAUCAGACAAUGUGAGGAACAUAAUAGACAUUUUGGAAUUAUUAGAGGUGAAUAUAAACACUAAAGCAGUUCUGAUCUUUGUAGAUGCGGAGAAAGCCUUUGACAAUAUUUCUUGGAGUUUUAUGAAAAAGAAUCUUCAUGGGAUGGGGGUAGGCCAAGGAUUCGAGAAUGGUAUGGGUGCCAUAUACACUGAACAAAAAGCUAAACUGAUAGUAAAUAAUGUGAUAACUGAAGAAUUUAAAAUAGAAAAAGGGACACGACAGGGGUGCCCUAUUUCCCAUUACUUUUUAUUUCUGUUCUGGAGGUGUUGCUAAAUAUGAUUAGAGAUGACCAGCAGGUUAAAGGUGUACAGGUCGGAGCUAAACAUUACAAGUUAAGGGCCUUUGCAGAUGAUUUAGUACUUACUUUACAAGAGCCAGACACUAGUACAAAAAGGGUGUUGGAGCUAAUUCAAGAAUUUGGCCAGGUAGCUGGAUUUAAAUUGAAUAAACAAAAGACUAAAGUCUUGGAAAAAAAUUUAACAGCCAUGGAAAGGGAGAAAUUUCAGAAUGAAACAGGUUUGACAGUGGUAAAGAAGGUGAAAUAUCUAGGGGUUUAUUUGACAUCUAAAAAUUUGAACCUGUAUAAAGACAAUUAUGAAAAAUGUUGGUCGGAAAUUAAAAAAGACCUAGAAAUAUGGUCAAAUUUGAAAUUGUCAAUGUUAGGCCGAAUUGCAGUUAUCAAGAUGAAUGUAUUGCCCAGAAUGUUAUUCUUGUUCCAAACAUUACAAAUUCUAGACAAGAUAGACUGUUUUAAGAGGUGGCAGAAGGAUAUUUCGAAAUUUGUCCGGCAGGGCAAAAACCCAGAAUAAAAUUUAAAAUACUGACGGAUGCAAAAGAAAGAGGGGGGUUGCCCUGCCGGACUUAAAACUGUAUUAUGAAGCAGCAACUUUUUGCUGGCUGAAAGAAUGGAUGCUCCUCGAGAAUACAGACAUCUUGGACUUAGAAGGUUUUAACAAUACAUUUGGUUGGCAUGCAUAUUUAUGGUAUGAUAAAAUCAAGGUGCAUAGGGCCUUUAAAAAUCAUAUUGUCAGGAAAGCACUAUAUAACGUUUGGAUAAGAUAUAAAGAUUUGGUGGAAAGUAAGACUCCUAGAUGGUUGUCACCUUUGGAAGCCACGGCGUUGAAAAAACUUAAUAUGGAAGCCGAAUGGCUAAAGUAUCGGGAAAUUUUGGAACAAGAUGGAGAUAAGUUGAAGCUACAGAGCUAUGAGAAAUUGAAACCCAAAGUACGAGAUUGGCUCCAUUAUUAUCAAAUAAUGGAGGUGUAUAAACAAGACAGGAAAAUUGGCUUCCAGGUGGAGAAAUCAAAAUUAGAAACUGAACUGUUAGAACCCAAUACUAAGAACUUGUCAAGAAUGUAUAAUUUGCUGCUGAAAUGGAAUACACAAGAUGAAACAGUUAAAUCAGCUAUGAUUAAGUGGGCACAGGACAUUGGUCAUAACAUUAUGUUUGCUGACUGGGAAUGGUUGUGGAACACCGGUAUAAAAUUUACGGCAUGUAAUGCCUUAAAGGAAAAUAUUAUGAAAAUGAUCUAUAGGUGGUACAUGACUCCAGUCAAGCUAGCAAAAAUUUAUCAUUUGCCUGAUAACAAGUGUUGGAAGUGUAAAGAAACUGAAGGUACUUUUUAUCACCUUUGGUGGACGUGCCCAAAGAUUAAGGCUUUCUGGGAAAUGAUAUAUAAUGAAUUAAAAAGGUACUUAAAUGUACUUUCCUGAAGAAACCAGAGGCCUUUCUCUUGGGCAUUGCCGCCAAUUGGUAUCAAAGAAAGACAGAACUUUUUUUAUGUAUGCUACGACAGCAGCAAGAAUACUCAUCGCAAAGUAUUGGAAGACAGAAGAACUACCCACCUUGGAAGAGUGGCAGAUGAAGGUUAUCGACUACAUGACAUUGGCGGAGAUGACUGGCAGAAUCCGUGAGCAGGGGAAAGAGACGGUGGAAGAAGAUUGGAAGAAAUUUAAAAUCUAUCUAAAGAACUAUCAUAAAAUUGAGGAAUGUUAAAAUGUCGAGGUUUGGAGAAAGAAAAGGAGAUUACAGCGACAUAAGAUUAAGUUGAAGAAAAAAAAAAUAAGAAAAAUAUAUUUGAUAAAAUUAUUUAGAAUUUGCUGAAAUAAUUUUGGGAAUUGGGAUGUAGGAAGGGGAGGUUUGGGGGAGUCCGAGAAGAGAGGGUUAUGAAAAAAAGGUUAUGAAACUAUACAUGUUUGUAUGUCUUUUUAUUUGUUUGUACUGUAUAAAACUUGUUUGUAAAAUCAAUAAAAAAUUAUUUAAAAAAAAAAAAAUAGAGUGAUGAACUUUGCGUCCAUCUUCACUGCAGGAGAUGUUGGGCAGAUACAGACCCCUGAACCACCUUUCUUUCAGAUAAAGUAUCUGAAGAAUGACAUUGAACAGAAGUGUCAGGAAAUGGCUAAACAAACCCAAGUCAUUGGUUCUGCAUGGUAUAUACUUAAUUUCUCAAGAGUGAAAUUUUUUGUUACUGUUCUACAAAAAAUAAUAAUACAUCACUCAUCAUUAAAUUGGCCUCCUUAUCAGAAUAUUGGUAUAUAACACCAAUUAUAAGCAACGGAUUCCUGGAAGAUAUUACAGGCUCAUCUACCUAAGUUCUAGGUGCAUUGGUGGGGGAAAGCAUUGUUAAUGCAAGAUUUUUUAAACAGAUAGAAGAACAAGCCUUACUAAGAAAGAAUCAGCAUGUCUUCUUCACAAGGAAGGCCUUUGGAGGUGUCAACAACCAUGUAGGUGUCAUGUAGCAGAUAGAAAAUCUAUAUAAAAUCUCAAGUGGGGAAGCAAAACUGCUGUGUGUGUGUGUGUGUGUGUGUGUGUGUUGUAAAAUAGUUGACUAUGCAUCUCAUGUCUUCAUUGUCCAAGAGCAGCACACCUUGUGGGCCAGAGCCACAGCAAUAGUCUCUUGUCUGCAACGUCGCUGCUGUAUACCAAGAACACCUGCUGGUGUACCUGCCCAGUGCUGACCUUGCCACUGUCUCGCCCUUCCCAUUCAGCAUCCCAGUAAGCACCAGUGAUCCUGCUGCUGCUGCUGCUGAAGAAGAGUUUGGAUUUGAUAUCCCACUUUAUCACUACCCUAAGGAGUCUCCAAGCGGCUAACAUUCUCCUUUCCCUUCCUCCCCCACAACAAACACUCUGUGAGGUGAGUGGGGCUGAGAGACUUCAAAGAAGUGUGACUAGCCCAAGGUCACCCAGCAGCUGCAUGUGGAGGAGCAGGGAUGCGAACCCGGUUCACCAGAUUACGAGACUACCGCUCUUAACCACUACACCACACUGCUGGGAGGCUAUUGCUGUGUCUGUGUUCCACCGGGUGAGCUCUUCCUCCUCAGCAUUCCCUUUAUGACAAACUGAGCCUAAAUCCGACCAGCCAUCUUGUUUGAGAGUGGGUGGCUGCCUCUGACUCCUCACCUGAGCCAGGUCUCAAGAUGAACAGUAUCUUUGGGAGCCCAAAAUGAAACAAGCCCAUAUAAAGUAAGCAAAAUCAAAUAUUUUUUGGAUUGAGAAUUUCCUACUUUUUCUUUCUUUGGAAGGGAGAUUCUUCUGAUAUUUCUGCACCGUUCAUUAUCUGCUGACCAAUUAGAGGCUUUGUCGCGGAAAUGCCAUCCUGAUAAUGAAAGCCAAUGCAAAGUGAGAAUGUGAUUAUAUUGUCAGUUUACAGGUACAGUAUAAAUAGAGUUUUUAACAGAUCUCCUCCUGCUCGCCGGGCUCCUGCUGCUUGGUGGUGAUGCCUCGAAAUGUUCAUUAAACUGACAUGCCGUGUUGUUUAAGCCCAGCGCCUCACACAGCCAGCCAGGUUUGCCGCUAUUUUCCAUUCACCGUAUCAAUCAGGUUCUACAUUUUAAUUUCUUCGGCAUCAGAAAUGACUUUGCAGACUUGUUUGUGCACCUCGGUUGCAUAAAUUGCCUUUUCGCCUGUCAAAAGUUGGUAAUGGACUGCUUUGUAAGAAGUCCAUGUUUGGGAGGGUGUGUGUGUGUGUGUGUGUGUGUGUGUGUGUGUGUGCAGAAAUCCAGCAGCCAAGAACAAAGUACAAAGUGGACCUCAGCUAUAUCCUGAAGCUCAACACUCGUUCUUUUCUUAGAUGAAAAUUCUGUAUGCGAAGAAUUUUCAUAAGCAGAUAGCAUCUUGCUGGAGGCUGAGUGCUGUUCACUGGGCUGACUUGAUUUGAGCAGGUAGUCUCUCCACAAAUAUCUUAGCCCUCUGGUUUCUACCUGCAGAAAAUUAAAUGCUGUUUUAAAUGUAAAAGCAACUCGCCCUACAGGAGUAAAAUUUCUAAGGGAUCUAACCAAAGCAAUUAAAGACAUAAUAGGCAUUUUCUCACUCUCAGGUCUCUCUGCUUUGCUACUGGGAUUUCUAAAGAACUUGUAAGGCAUCCAAGUGUAAAGUUUGUCUUGAAUCUUUCAGCAGCAGCAAAAUUAUUGAUGCUGUUUUUGAAACAUCAACAUGUUAAAAUUGGCAUAUCUGGGAUAUGGAGGAAAAAAUGAAAAUGGUGGCAAAUGAGGCUUUUGGCCUGAACCAGCAGGGCUUUACUUAGAUACUUACAUUUUGACAUCCCUGGGAAUAUUUUGCUACAUCAUUAAUAGCAAACUCCAAUUCAGCGUGUGAAUAAUGAAAGAUGCACCCAGUCUGAGGAAGAAUUCUUAAAAUGGAAGCGGGGUAAGUGAUUAAGGCAAUUCCUGCAAAUACUUGCAAACUUUUCCUCUUUUGCAUGCCUGAUGAUGACCCGAAGGUCCCUCCAGGCACUCAUGACCCUCCUGCCAGCUCACCUGCUUUGCAUUACUUUGCCAUUGAAGGGUGGAGAUUAAAAAAGGGGGGGAAGGGGAAAAUCAAUUUAUUGAUGGAAAUGGUAUUUCUUUGUUUGUUUUAUUAAAUUUGCAUCCUGCCCUUGCUCCCAAAGGGCGCCAGGGUGACAAAUAUCAAAUUGUUAAAACAUUAUGCAUGAGAGAGGGGCCCUGGCCCAAAGCCCUCCCUGUCUUCCUAUUCCUGCUUCCAUGUAAUGUUUUGACUGUGGUGUAUUAAUUGACUAUUAAGCUGACUAUGAUUCUAGUGCCUGAAGAGAGCCUGGUGCUAGAGCUUUGAGGAAUCCCUCAUUUUCUGAAGAAACUGGAGGAAGAAGAGAAUUAAUUGCGUUGAGCUGCCAGCUCAGAACUGGCUACGGGUUCUCAAGAGGGAAAAAAGCAUAUAUGAGUGCUAAAAAUUCUGUUUCCAGCAUGAACCCUAAGCAUCCCCAAAUGCCUUUAUUGUGUAUAGGAAUUUAAUUUCACUGCUUGAAUUGAGCACUCUUGAUUUGCUUAUGGGAAAUGGUGAUGCCACCACCAGCUCGUCUACUGUGCCUGCGUGUCUCACUGAAAUCUUGUUAACUGCAAGGAGUCGAUAGAACUGCACAAUUGAAAUAUGAAAGGCCCUUCCCUAGUGUCUCUUUGUGUGCAUUUCUAUAAACUGCUAUAUGUUUGUGUUUGAAAGGCAUAUGAAUAAUUGCUUUCUAGGUUCCUAGAUUAGUUUUUCUUUGAAAUUUGCUAGGUCCCAACUUUGCUCCAGGGACCUUUUAGACAACAGCCUUUAAUGCAUAAUAUUGUAUGGGGCAGCUCUUUGGAUACAGCAGGAGGUGGGGAGGAUUUUCCAAGUGUUGCUUUGAUGUGGUUGCCCUUGGUGCUCAGGAACAGCAGGGGACAAAAGGAGAAUGUGAGGCCGGAUGCUAUACAGGGUUCGUGCUAGUCUGUUGUUGCAGAAAUAAUAAAGAGUGUCUUCUGGUACCUUAAAGAUUGACAAAUUAAUGGUGGCAUUAGCUUACUUCAUCAGAAGUAGGAAGAUGCUGGGUGCAUGCCUCCUCAGAGAUAUACACGCAAGGGCAAAGUUUUAAAAGAAUGAGCGGAACCCAAGAUGCUAUGAAACCAAACCAGCGAUGAUAAUAGGAGUUUGGUGGGUUCCGGGAAAGGGAUGAUGUGUGUCUUGCUUAACCAUUUGUGAGGAUGUGAGCUGGGAUCUUGGAGAGUUGAUUCUGAGUGUGGGUAAGUGUGGCUCAAUGCAGCCUGCCACGGCAGAGAAAGGUUUGGGAGGCCAACUUGGCAUCUGUGGCCACGAUAGCACCCUUGAGGUCUUCCCCUGAUAUCGAUGAAGCCUCUGAUCCCUGCCCGCCCAUCACCAUCUCCUUUGAAAAGCUCACAGAGCCAAAGGAGGAAACUGCAAGUGUAAACUCUCCUUCCCACUUCCUCUUUUAGGUUCAAGCGAUUUUCCAGGCUCAGGUUUAUUCUGCAGGAUCCAGCUUUUAUCUAGAUUCCAUGGAAAAGCAAUGUUUGUGAGCAGUGCUUUCUCGCUUUGUGUCUCUUGCAAGGGGGGACUGAUACAGGGGAGGGAGGAGAGAAGUGACUAGCAGAGUGGUGCCAAAAACACUCACUCAAAAAUCCAGUGGCCACCACAGGCUCGUAAAGGUUGGCAACCUCUGGACCAGAGUCUCAGGAUAAAUGAAGAGUCAUGAGCAUGUGAAGAUGCCUUACACUGACUCAAACCAUUGGCUCAUUUGUACCAGCAUUGCCUACUCUGGCUGGCAGCAGCUCCCCAGUAUCUCUUUCCCAGGCUGUUUCUUGAGAUUGUUUAACUGGAGGAUUGAACCUGAGACCUUUUUACAGAAAGUACGUCUUCUACCACUGAGCUAUAGCUCAGCAUUUAAGCAGGAGCAUCUCUGUAUACUGGAUGCUCUGCAUUCAAAGCACUGAAAUCUAGUUGGAGAGUACAGUGGUACCUCGGGUUACAAACACUUUGAGUUACAGACUCCGCUAACCCAGAAGUAGUAUCUGGGUUAAGAACUUUACCUCAGGAUGAGAACAGAAAUCGCAGCCGACGACAUGGCGGCAGUGGGAGGCCCCAUUAGCUAAAGUGGUACCUCAGGUUAAGAACAGUUUCAGGUUAAGAAUGGACCUCUGGAACGAAUUAAGUUCGUAACCAGAGGUACCACUGUAUAAAAAUGAUUAAGGUAAAGGGACUCCUGACCAUUAGGUCCAGUCAUGACCAACUCUGGGGUUGCGGCGCUUAUCUUGCUUUAUUGGCCAACGGAGCCAACGUACAGCUUCUGGGUCAUGUGGCCAGCAUGACUAAGCCGCUUCUGGCGAACCAGAGCAGUGCACGGAAACGCCGUUUACCUUCCCGCUGGAGCGGUACCUAUUUAUCUACUUGCACUUUGAUGUGCUUUUGAACUGCUAGGUUGGCAGAAGCAGGGACCAAGCAACGGGAGCUCACCCCGUCGUGGGGAUUCGAACCGCUGACCUUCUGAUCGGCAAGUCCUAGGCUCUGUGGUUUAACCCACAGCACCACCCGCGUCCCAUAAAAAUGAUUAUGUAUGUGUAAUUAGUUCAGAGUUCAGAGCUUUGUCAUUCUCCAGCCUGUGACAGGUGUUGUCUUCAUUAUGCAUAGUUAUGCUAUCUGCACUAACCAUGAGGAGGGAAGCUAUAACCAUGGACGGCAAACUGUCAUGUCCCAGGGAGAUCACAGGCAGAAAGCAUAGGCCAAGUGAAGUGCAGAUCAAAUCUAGAAGCAACAACCAGAGGUUCCAAGGGCUACAGGCAGCUAAGUGGCAGGUUCUGGGGCAAGCAGACAAAGCUCAUAGAAACCAGGGGCAGGUGACUUACUCUAGUGGAGGCAAAGGACCAGAUUCUGGAAGAGAGAAGUGGGUACAGGAGUCUGUACUUGGGUGAGUUGCUCAGGCUGGGAGGCCAAGCUAGGACCGUUUCAGUGUUAGGUCAACAGACUUCUCCAGGCCACCCGAUUCAUCUGGGCUGACCAGCUCCAGUCUUUUUUCCUGCCAUUCUUUGGAUAGUGCCAUGAAGCAGCAGAACUCUGGUGUUCCUGCCAUCCUUCAAUCUAUCUGAGAGGUGCAGAGAAUAAGCUACCUGGGCUGUGAUGCCAGGUUCCAUGGUUUGAGCCUCCAGGCACCUUACUUCACUCUUCAAAGUGGUUGCCACUUGCUCCAUCUAAAAUGGGAGACAGGUUGUAGGGCAUGAAGUGGGAGCAAAAGGUUCCCUUGCCUGUCUCACAGGCCAUCAUUUGGGUUGUUGGCGCUGCAGCAGAACAAGUUGAGAGGUCAGGAGAACAGAGCCUGUCCCUGUCUCACCCAAGUACAGACUCCUUCACCCCAUGGCAGCAACGAUCCUGGUGACAGGUAGCAGGAUGGCAGGUUGAGAUGAGGAGACUGCCCUACUGCCCCAUCCUCCUGUUUCCUGCCGUAGGGCCUCCACUGCCCCUGCAGUGCUUUAGCAGAGCUGAGCUUGAUUCUGCACCCUUUGAGAGGCUUCUCUGACAAUGCCAAGCUCCCCCAAAUAUCAGAAGUCACAGUGACUGGGAGUAGGGCUUUCAGUGCAGCUGGCUGCCUCUCUUUUGUAGAGCAGCAUCCUUGCUCACAUUUGACAGGUGCCCACUAUCUGUAUUUUCCGUAAACAAUGAAAGGCGUUUUUGCUUUGACAAGCUUAUCUAGUUGGAUGAAAAGCUCUCUGCCUUCGAUGUUCAUUUUGCAUUGUUUUUCGACCUGUCUUGUUAUUCGUAUGGUACCGUUUUUUAAAAGAACUACUAGCCAUUUCUGCAAAUCCCCUUGAUGCACAUGUCAAGGCAACCCACAAAUUAAUUAAUUGAUUUUUAAAUUAAUGAUUAAUUACGGACGGGCACUGGCUAUGCUUACCUGGACCCAAGCAGUAAAAUGCUGUGUCUCUUCACCUUCUUAUUCCAAGACAUCUAUUUAUUUUAGAGCAUCAACAGCAAUGGCAUUUUCUUGCUUGUGUACAGGUAAGUUUUGUCAGCCUGGCUGGUUUCUGUAAAAGGGAAUGUUCAAAAGACAAAGUGCAGAGCAGGUCAUGGGUAAGAGCAAGCAUUAAAGGGACACAUGCUGAAUUAAUCAAUCACUGACGGCCCUCGUUUUGUUCUUAAUAAUCCAUCUCGCCAGAAGAAAAACUUUCAGGGCACAACCUUGAAUUAUUUUACAUCUAUCUUGUUUAGCAAUCCUGGCACUGCCUCAGAUGCUGAUUUUUCAUCGUCUCCUUCAUCUCCCAGGUAAAUUAAAUACUGUUGAAACAGCUGUCUGUUGCCUCACAAGGUAUUGCUUGUGUGGGGGAGAUAGCAGCUUCUACUAGGGCAGAAAUCAGAUAGGUUUCUCCAGGGGGAAAUAUUUGCUAAGUUGAAAAUGUCAGGCAGUUGAGCAUAGCACCCUGGUUGUGUGUGUGUGUGUUUUCUCUGCAUCGGUGGUACCUCCGAAAAAAUAUAUAUCCUUGGCUUCAUCAGGUACCUGUGAAGAAGCGUCAGUUCUCCCUGUGUCACAUUCAAGUUAAUUUUUCACAAAAGACUUUGAAAGAUUUCAUCAAAAGGGAAAGAACUUGAAGCCUGUGUCCUGUUGAGUCUGCAGUUUAACAAGACAAAGAAGAUGAAAGGUGCCAAGAGAAAGUAUUAGUAACUCCUCUCUCUUUUUUUGCAGAGAGGGAAUUUGUGGCACAGAUUAUCAAGUGAUAUGUUCAAGGUCAUGCAAGGAAUCUGCAAGAAAACAGAACCCUGGUCUCAAGAGUCUCACACCAAAAAGGCCUCAAAUGUUCAUUAACAGCAUCUUCUGAACUUCUAGCAAAAGCUUUUUGAAAAUGCGAAUGCUUGACAAUUCCACUUUUUAUGUUCCAGCUGUAUUUUUAAGUAAUAAGCUGGGGGUGUAAAUAAAGCUGUUAUAUAUUCCAG